ACUCGGCCUUACUGGACAUGAGCGCUACACCAUCAACCUUCCCACCGAUGUCAGCGAGAUCCGCCCUGGCCAGGAUGUGACCAUCACCACGGACAACGAUAAAUCCUUCACUUGCAUACUUCGCUUUGACACAGAGGUAUAUAUCAAAAGCUUGUUGGAUCUUUGCUAUCAGUCCUACAGUUUUGUAUGAAUUGUGUUAGUUAGGAGCUUCUCCGUUGGGUACUUGGGUUGACACAUUCUUUGUGGUUGCAGGUGGAGUUGGCCUACUACAACCAUGGAGGCAUCCUGCCCUAUGUAAUCCGCAACAUGGCAGCAGCUCAGAACUAGGCGAAGGCGCACACACCCUUUCCGCCAACGAUGGCGGCAUGCCAAUCUUGUUAGUGCCACCAUCAACGUCGAGCGUUCACUCUUGAUUUUGUGGCCUUAUGAAUAAACCGAAAAUAAAGCCGGCAUUUCCAUACCUGGCGUGGGCGCAAGUUGAUUUGUGGGUGUUUGGUUGUGGUUAUGAAACCGUGUGGUCAUUCUGAAGAGACAUCCAAUUGUGGAGGAUUAAAAUCGUAGAGUCUGGUGUACAUUGCUUUGUGCCAAAAACAUAUAUAAACUGAUAGCAAUCUGGAGUUCUUUUUUAACCUUUACCUCACCAAUCUACUGCCUGCCUUUACAUACCUGUAGUGACCUUUAUAUUUACUAAGGUUGCCAACUGCUUUGGCACGGAUGCAUGCACUUCCGGUUUCUUUUCUUCAUUCUGUCCCUUGCUUUAUUUUCGUCCUUCCUGAUGUUUUUAGAUAGAUUUAACUCAGAAAUUUUAAAAUCACAUAUUCUGAUAUAGUCAUUGGCCAGAUUGUGCGAUCUCCUUUACCAUUUCUUCGAAUCGUUAACAUAUAGCCUGAGGAGUUGAGGUUUCACGCUUUCGUGAUUUUUUUACCUUUUGUUUUUGUUUUUUCCUAGAUNNNNNNNNNNNNNNNNNNNNNNNNNNNNNNNNNNNNNNNNNNNNNNNNNNNNNNNNNNNNNNNNNNNNNNNNNNNNNNNNNNNNNNNNNNNNNNNNNNNNNNNNNNNNNNNNNNNNNNNNNNNNNNNNNNNNNNNNNNNNNNNNNNNNNNNNNNNNNNNNNNNNNNNNNNNNNNNNNNNNNNNNNNNNNNNNNNNNNNNNNNNNNNNNNNNNNNNNNNNNNNNNNNNNNNNNNNNNNNNNNNNNNNNNNNNNNNNNNNNNNNNNNNNNNNNNNNNNNNAGCAUGCUUUGUUUUAAUUAGCUCACGAAGAGCAAGGGAAGAGCAAAUGUGUUAGAAGUCAAAACGAUCUGAACACCUUAUAGAUCUCCAGCAGAACAAAUUUAGCAUGUCUGCUCACCAAAAGAUAAAGACCAUAACCUAUCUUGUGCACAGAGAUAGUGACGUGUUUAAAAGGUACACCCUCCGAUGGAAAAAAAGUGUAGUGGCUUUAUUUCAGUAUUUUUUAAGGGAAAUGCUAUUGCUCAACCGACGGAUCAUUGUACGCCCUCUGACCUCUGUGGCUGUUAGAUUUGAUUUGGAUCGAACGACUCACAAACAAUCUCUAUCCUAGUACAGGUCUUGCAGCUGACCCCUUGACCUCAUCCGUUGCAGAUCGAGCAUGUGCGAGGGAGGCCACCGCCGACUAUUGCUGGAGGAUGCCUCUUCUCCUCUCCUCCUUUUCCUCUUCAACUAUUCCUCUUCCCACAUACAUGUGCCCGGACGCUCGCAACCAGCAGCCAAGCCAAGGACCGCCGCUUGUAGGUCAUCGUCGCUGAGCGCAUCCAUGCCGGAUUUCCGCCCCCAAACCCAAACGCCUCCCUGUCGAUCGAUCGAUGGAUCUGGUUAGAUCCACCAUGCGGGUGUAGAGUGCCAUCAAUCUCGUCUUCAUCCUGUCACCACCGAUGCUGGCAGCAGCCACAUCACCGCAUGGUACGUCCGCAUCCACUCCACGCUCGGCCCUGCGUCUCUGUUCGCAACAUCACCUCGGAGGCAAGUUUCUGCAACAAAGGCGUUGUCGCGCAACGGCAACAGCGAACGAAGACGGUGCUAGUGUGCGGCGUGGCUGGAGAUGUUAUAACUUUUGCAACAAGAGUCUUGUUGUAAAAAAUUAGACGCGGCAUGAGAUGUUGUUACAAUUUUUGUAACAAGGGUAUUGUUGUAGAAAAUAAGAGAAGAAGAGGUUUUGCAACAUGAGUCUUGUUGAAAAGAGAAGUUUUUUUUGAAAGUACGCCAAAGGUAUACCUUAAUUUUAUAGAAGAGAAGAGUAUGGGUCAAUGUACAAGAAGAUAAGGAUGGAAGCGAGCUUCCAUCAAGGAUGCACACCCUAGCACACCCUACACGCUAGCCUAUGCCUACACUCUCACAAAACUGCCAUAACCUCCUCCUCCCAAGCCUGCCAACCUUCACUCUUUAAGCUCCGCAAUGAUGGCAAGGGACAGAUCUGGCGCAGUCUUCUGCUGGUUGGUCCGAUGAAACACUCUGGCGUUGUGUUGCUUCCAUAAAGCCGAAGUGGCCGCAAUGAUCACCGUGUCGAAACCACGCUUAAAACCCUUCCUGAAGUGAGCCCUCCUAGUCAGCCACCAGUCCAGCAAACUAUCCUCCGGCUCCGGAAUGUUGCCUUGCAAGCUCAACGCCUCGAAGAUGUUAUGCCAGACUUCCUUAGCGCAGACGCACUGUACAAGUAUGUGUUUCGCGUUGUCCUCAUCUUGAAGGCACAUGUAGCAAGUAGACGGGGCAUCCUGAAGGCCACGCAUUGCUCUUCUGUUUGACGUCCAAAUCCGAUGUUGCACUGCCAACCACACAAAGAUUUUGCAUUUCAGAAGAGCCCAGCUUUUCCAUAUGCAAGUGGUGUAUGGAACCCUCUCAGCACCUAGGCAAAGCCUACAGUAGGUGGACUUAGCAGUGUAUGUGCUAGACGGAUCCGCCGGCCAUGAGAAAGAAUCUUCUCUGGCCGGGUCUCGAUUGAUCGUGCUGAUCGCUAGGUUAAGAUGCAAGAGCUGCAUAUGGCCUCCAAAGUUGACUUCGCCGGUAAUAUCAAGCAGCCAUCUCCCGUCCGUCCUCUAAUCCUUCCUCGACAGUGUGGCGGUUGAUCGUUCGCGUGUCCACCAAUGCAUGAAUGUAAGGCGCAAUAUCCUUGACCGCGAAGCCAUGAACCCACCUAUCUCUCCAAAAUAGAACUUUGUUGCCCACCCCUACCGAAAUGUGCACCAAACUGUCGAAGACCGCACGUGCCUCUCUGUCCACAACCAUGGGUAGUCCUUGCCACGACCUCUCUGGGUCCGUCCGCCUCAACCACUCCCACCCGACUCUCAGGGCCAAGCCUUGCAACUGAAGGUUAUGAACUCCCAAUCCACCUAGCCAUGUGGGUUUGCAAACCGAGUUCCAAGCAACCAGGCACUGGCCGCCAUUCACUUUGUCUUUGCCAGCCCAGAAGAAAGAACGCAUCCAUUGAUCAAUCUCUUCAAACACCCACGCUGGAGCCUCCGUGACCAUGAAGUGAUGAAUAGGUUUGGCCGCGAUCACGGACUUAACCAAUGAAAGAACAUGCGGUGCCCCCAUGUUUGGUUUUGGUAAUUGAUGACAAUCUCUAUGGACUAAUGGUUGCCUUGAGUUAUAUUUGAAGGUUUUGUCCAUAGGCUUUUCUUGGAGUACAUGUGUUGGGUUCAAGGAGAGUUUGUGUCGACCAAGGUGCUAUUCAAGGAAUUACCUAAAGAUUGGUCUUGUGAGAGGUUUAUCAAGACUAAGUCAAAGAGUGAAUCAAGUUGAUCAACCCACAAAGCGUAGAAGAUGUACCGAGAGGGAUCAAGUGAUCCCAUCGUAUGGUAAGCAUUGCCAAUUACGCUUUGUGUACUAACCCAUGGUCUUCGUGAGGGUUCUUUGUGGGGUUAGGUUGCGGUGUGCAAGUUCAAGUGGAGCAUCACGAAGAGAUCAAAUGCUUGAAGCUUGCCGUCCUUUGUGGUAACAAUGGACUUGUGAAGAUGUGCGGAAGAGUGGCUCACCCAUAGUGAAGUAUGGGGGAGCAAUCAACUAGUCUUCAUCGAGUCAACCCAAUCAAGAAAGGUGGUCCAACUUGAGGGAGUCAAGAUCGUCAUCAUCUAGCUCAAGUGGACCAUGUGCAAGGCAAAGGUUUGCCCUUGAUAGGUUUUCUAUUUUACCGGUCUCAUGAUGGUAGUUGGGAGACCGGGUUAUAGGAUCGAUUGCCGUACUAUCAAGGGGGGCUCUCGAUGAGUAGCUUGAUCGUAUCGUUUGCUGAGAGCUCAAACCAUUGCAUCCUUGCAUCAUCUUUCUUGGUUCUUGUUUGGUUCUCUUUGAGAGUCUUAGAGCUUAUGGUCAUCUUGAUGACAAGCUCGAGUUCAUCGAAAACGGAGUUCACAUGCUUCUUCUAUGAUGUUUUCGAUGUUGAAGGUUUUGUCGGUUCUUCUCGGUUGGAGGUUUCACUCCUAUAUUUGUUAGGCAUACCUCCCCUGCCUCUUCUUCUAUAACCAAUCGCUGUUUUGAUGCUACUCGUCGUCUUGUUUCCAACAAGCUUGAGUUUGCUCAAUUCGGAGCUCAUAUGCAGAAGUUAUGGCAGUUCUUGUUUUCUUGAGUCUGGUUUUUGUCAGGGUCCGCGUUGGAAAGGUUUGGGUGGUUUCAUCACGUACACGCUUCCUUCUUUUCCCCUCCUUCUUCCUUGGGGCUUCCUCCGUUUUCCUGCCUCCUUUGACUGGCUGCUGUUGUGGUUGCGGUAGUACUGCUCCUGGAUCAACGGUAGUACCGUAGGCAUCCACGGUAGUACCGCGCGGUGGCGCGGUAGUACCGCUGAUGCCCAUGGUAGUACCGCUCCCCCGGAGCCGCACUACCGCUACCCACCAGGCUAGUGCCGCCCCCUUUGCGGUAGUAGGAGCGGAUGUAAUUUUUUACAUCCGCACCUGCCGCGAUAGUACCGCCUUCGCCGUGCGGUAGUACCGCGCUAUGCGGUCAGGCAGUAGUACCGCCCCUCGGCAGUACUACUGUGUCGGGUUUUUGCUACUUCCGUUUAUUUGCGGAAGUAGGCACGGUAGUUUCCCUUCUCCCCUGGCUGGGAUUUUUUGUUGGGGAACGUAGUAAUUUCAAAAAAUUUCCUACGCACACGCAAGAUCAUGGUGAUGCAUAGCAACGAGAGGGGAGAGUGUUGUCUACGUACCAACGCAGACCGACUGCGGAAGCGAUCACACAACGUAGAGGAAGUAGUCGUACGUCUUCUUCCCGAUCCGACCGAUCCAAGCACUGUUACUUCGGCACCUCCGAGUUCUUAGCACACGUACAGCUCGAUGACGAUCCUCGGGCUCCGAUCCAGCAAAGCGUCGAGGAAGAGUUCCGUCAGCACGAUGGCGUGGUGACGAUCUUGAUGUACUACUGACGCAGGGCUUCGCCUAUUUGGUGGCAGGAGGCACCGCACACGGCUAAGGAACAAUCACCAAGGAUCAACUUGUGUGUCUAGAGGUGCCCCCUGCCCCUGUAUAUAAAGGAGCCAAGGGGGAGGGGUGCGCCGGCCAGGGAGAGGGCGCAGGAGGAGUCCUACUCCCACCGGGAGUAGGACUCCCCCCCCAAUCCUAGUUGGGCUAGGUUUCCCAAAGGGGGAAAGAGAGAGAGGGGGGGCCGGCCCCUUCUCCUAGUCCUAAUAGGACUAAGGGAAGGGGGGGCGCACGGCCACCUAUGGGCUGCCCCAUUUCUCCUUUCCACUAAGGCCCAUGAAGGCCCAUAUGGCUCCCGGGGGGUUCCGGUAACCUCCCGGUAAUCCGGUAAAAUCCCGAUUUCACCCGGAACACUUCUGAUGUCCAAAUAUAGGCUUCCAAUAUAUUAAUCUUUAUAUCUCGACCAUUUCGAGACUCCUCGUCAUGUCCGUGAUCACAUCCGGGACUCCGAACAACCUUCGGUACAUCAAAAUGCAUAAACUCAUAAUAACUGUCAUCGUAACGUUAAGCGUGCGGACCCUAUGGUUCGAGAACAAUGUAGACAUGACCGAGACACGUCUCCGGUCAAUAACCAAUAGCGGGACCUGGAUGCCCAUAUUGGCUCCUACAUAUUCUACUAAGAUCUUUAUCGGUCAGACCGCAUAACAACAUACGUUGUUCCCUUUGUCAUCGGUAUGUUACUUGCCCGAGAUUCGAUCGUCGGUAUCCAAUACCUAGUUCAAUCUCAUUACUGGCAAGUCUCUUUACUCGUUCCGUAAUACAUCAUCUCACAACUAACAUAUUAGUUAUAAUGCUUGCAAGGCUUAUGUGAUGUGUAUUACCGAGAGGGCCCAGAGAUACCUCUCCGACAAUUGGAGUGACAAAUCCUAUUCUCGAAAUACGCCAACCCAACAUCUACCAUUGGAAACACCUGUAGUACUCCUUUAUAAUCACCCAGUUACGUUGUGACGUUUGGUAGCACCCAAAGUGUUCCUCCGGCAAACGGGAGUUGCAUAAUCUCAUAGUCAUAGGAACAUGUAUAAGUCAUGAAGAAAGCAAUAGCAACAUACUAAACGAUCGGGUGCUAAGCUAAUGGAAUGGGUCAUGCCAAUCAGAUCAUUCAACUAAUGAUGUGACUUCGUUAAUCAAAUAACAACUCUUUGUUCAUGGUUAGGAAACAUAACCAUCUUUGAUUAACGAGCUAGUCAAGUAGAGGCAUACUAGUGACACUCUGUUUGUCUAUGUAUUCACACAUGUAUUAUGUUUCCGGUUAAUACAAUUCUAGCAUGAAUAAUAAACAUUUAUCAUGAUAUAAGGAAAUAAAUAAUAACUUUAUUAUUGCCUCUAGGGCAUAUUUCCUUCAGUCUCCCACUUGCACUAGAGUCAAUAAUCUAGAUUACACAGUAAUGAUUCUAACACCCAUGGAGCCUUGGUGCUGAUCAUGUUUUGCUCGUGGAAGAGGCUUAGUCAACGGGUCUGCAACAUUCAGAUCCGUAUGUAUCUUGCAAAUCUCUAUGUCUCCCACCUGGACUAGAUCCCGGAUGGAGUUGAAGCGUCUCUUGAUGUGUUUGGUCCUUUUGUGAAAUCUGGAUUCCUUUGCUAAGGCAAUUGCACCAGUAUUGUCACAAAAGAUUUUCAUUGGACCCGAUGCACUAGGUAUGACACCUAGAUCGGAUAUGAACUCCUUCAUCCAGACUCCUUCGUUCGCUGCUUCCGAAGCAGCUAUGUACUCCGCUUCACAUGUAGAUCCCGCUACGAUGCUUUGUUUAGAACUGCACCAACUGACAGCUCCACCGUUUAAAGGAAACACGUAUCCGGUUUGCGAUCUAGAAUCGUCCGGAUCAGUGUCAAAGCUUGCAUCAAUGUAACCUCUUACGGUGAGCUCUUUGUCACCUCCAUAUACGAGAAACAUAUCCUUAGUCCUUUUCAGGUAUUUCAGGAUGUUCUUGACCGUUGUCCAGUGAUCCACUCCUAAAUUACUUUGGUACCUCCCUGCUAAACUUAUAGCAAGGCACACAUCAGGUCUGGUACACAGCAUUGCAUACAUGAUAGAGCCUAUGGCUGAAGCAUAGGGAACAUCUUUCAUUUUUUCUCUAUCUUCUACAGUGGUCGGGCAUUGAGUCUGACUCAACUUCACACCUUGUAACACAGGCAAGAACCCUUUCUUUGCUUGAUCCAUUUUGAACUUCUUCAAAAUCUUGUCAAGGUAUGUGCUUUGUGAAAGUCCAAUCAAGCGUCUUGAUCUAUCUCUAUAGAUCUUUAUGCCUAAUAUGUAAGCAGCUUCCCCGAGGUCUUUCAUCGAAAAACUUUUAUUCAAGUAUCCCUUUAUGCUAUCCAGAAAUUCUAUAUCAUUUCCAAUCAGCAAUAUGUCAUCCACAUAUAAUAUCAGAAAUGCUACAGAGCUCCCACUCACUUUCUUGUAAAUACAGGCUUCUCCAAAAGUCUGUAUAAAACCAAAUGCUUUUAUCACACUAUCAAAGCGUUUAUUCCAACUCCGAGAGGCUUGCACCAGUCCAUAAAUGGAUCGCUGGAGCUUGCACACUUUGUUAGCUCCCUUUGGAUCGACAAAACCUUCUGGUUGCAUCAUAUACAACUCUUCUUCUAGAAAUCCAUUCAGGAAUGCAGUUUUGACAUCCAUUUGCCAAAUUUCAUAAUCAUAAAAUGCGGUAAUUGCUAACAUGAUUCUGACAGACUUAAGCAUCGCUACGGGUGAGAAGGUCUCAUCGUAAUCAACCCCUUGAACUUGUCAAAAACCUUUUGCGACAAGUCGAGCUUUAUAGACAGUAAUAUUACCGUCAGCGUCAGUCUUUUUCUUGAAGAUCCAUUUAUUCUCAAUUGCUUGCUGAUCAUCGGGCAAGUCAACCAAAGUCCAUACUUUGUUCUCAUACAUGGAUCCCAUCUCAGAUUUCAUGGCUUCAAGCCACUUUGCGGAAUCUGGGCUCACCAUCGCUUCUUCAUAGUUCGUAGGUUCAUCAUGAUCUAGUAGCAUGACUUCCAGAAUUGGAUCACCGUACCACUCUGGUGCGGAUCUCACUCUGGUUGAUCUACGAGGUUCAGUAGUAUCUUGUCCUGAAGUUUCAUGAUCAUCAUCAUUAGCUUCCUCACUAAUUGGUAUAGGUGUCGCAGAAACAGUUUUCUGUGAUGUACUAUUUUCCAAUAAGGGAGUAGGUACAGUUACCUCGUCAAGUUCUACUUUCCUCCCACUCACUUCUUUCGAGAGAAACUCCUUCUCUAGAAAUGAUCCAUUCUUAGCAACGAAUGUCUUGCCUUUGGAUCUGUGAUAGAAGGUGUACCCAACAGUCUCCUUUGGGUAUCCUAUGAAGACACAUUUCUCCGCUUUGGGUUCGAGCUUAUCAGGUUGAAGCUUUUUCACAUAAGCAUCGCAGCCCCAAACUUUAAGAAACGACAACUUUGGUUUCUUGCCAAACCAUAGUUCAUAAGGCGUCGUCUCAACGGAUUUUGAUGGUGUCCUAUUUAACGUGAAUGCGGCCGUCUCUAAAGCAUAACCCCAAAACGAUAGCGGUAAAUCAGUAAGAGACAUCAUAGAUCGCACCAUAUCUAGUAAAGUGCGAUUACGACAUUCGGACACACCAUUACGCUGUGGUGUUCCGGGUGGCGUGAGUUGCGAAACUAUUCCACAAUUUUUUAAAUGUACACCAAACUCGUAACUCAAAUAUUCUCCUCCACGAUCAGAUCAUAGAAACUUUAUUUUCUUGUUACGAUGAUUUUCAACUUCACUCUGAAAUUCUUUGAACUUUUCAAAUGUUUCAGACUUGUGUUUCAUUAAGUAGAUAUAUCCAUAUCUGCUUAAAUCAUCUGUGAAAGUGAGAAAAUAACGAUAUCCGCCACGAGCCUCAAUAUUCAUCGGACCACAUACAUCGGUAUGUAUGAUUUCCAACAGAUCUGUUGCUCUCUCCAUAGUACCGGAGAACGGUGUUUUAGUCAUCUUGCCUAUGAGGCACGGUUCGCAAGUACCAAGUGAUUCAUAAUCAAGUGGUUCCAAAAGCCCAUCAGUAUGGAGUUUCUUCAUGCGCUUUACACCGAUAUGACCUAAACGGCAGUGCCACAAAUAAGUUGCACUAUCAUUAUCAACUCUGCAUCUUUUGGUUUCAACAUUAUGAAUAUGUGUAUCACUACUAUCGAGAUUCAUCAAAAAUAGACCACUCUUCAAAGGUGCAUGACCAUAAAAGAUAUUACUCAUAUAAAUAGAACAACCAUUAUUCUCUGAUUUAAAUGAAUAACCGUCUCGCAUUAAACAAGAUCCAGAUAUAAUGUUCAUGCUCAACGCUGGCACCAAAUAACAAUUAUUUAGGUCUAAUAUUAAUCCCGAAGGUAGAUGUAGAGGUAGCGUGCCGACCGUGAUCACAUCGACUUUGGAACCGUUUCCCACGCGCAUCGUCACCUCGUCCUUUGCUAGUGUCCGCUUAUUCCGUAGUCCCUGUUUCGAGUUGCAAAUAUUAGCAACAGAACCAGUAUCAAAUACCCAGGUGCUACUGCGAGCUCUAGUAAGGUACACAUCAAUAACAUGUAUAUCACAUAUACCUUUGUUCACCUUGCCAUCCUUCUUAUCCGCCAAAUACUUGGGGCAGUUCCGCUUCCAGUGACCAGUCUGCUUGCAGUAGAAGCACUCAGUUUCAGGCUUAGGUCCAGACUUGGGCUUCUUCUCCUGAGCAGCAACUUGCUUGCUAUUCUUCUUGAAGUUCCCCUUCUUCUUCCCUUUGCCCUUUUUCUUGAAACUAGUGGUCUUGUUGACCAUCAACACUUGAUGCUCCUUCUUGAUUUCUACCUCCGCAGCUUUCAGCAUUGCGAAGAGCUCGGGAAUAGUCUUGUUCAUCCCUUGCAUAUUAUAGUUCAUCACGAAGCUCUUGUAGCUUGGUGGCAGUGAUAGGAGAAUUCUGUCAAUGACGUAAUCAACUGGAAGAUUAACUCCCAAUUGAAUCAAGUGAUUAUUAUACCCAGACAUCUUGAGUAUAUGCUCACUGACAGAACUGUUCUCCUCCAUCUUGCAGCUAUAGAACUUAUUGGAGACUUCAUAUCUCUCAAUCCGGGCAUUUGCUUGAAAUAUUAACUUCAACUCCUGGAACAUCUCAUAUGCUCCAUGACGUUCAAAACGUCAUUGAAGUCCCGAUUCUAAGCCGUAAAGCAUGGCAUACUGAACUAUCGAGUAGUCAUCAGCUUCGCUCUACCAGACGUUCAUAACAUCUGGUGUUGCUCCAGCAGCAGGCCUGGCACCUAGCGGUGCUUCCAGGACGUAAUUCUUCUGUGCAGCAAUGAGGAUAAUCCUCAAGUUACGGACCCAGUCCGUGUAAUUGCUACCAGCAUCUUUCAACUUUGCUUUCUCAAGGAACGCAUUAAAAUUCAACGGAACAACAGCACGAGCCAUCUAUCUACAAUCAACACAAACAAGAAAGAUACUAUCAGGUACUAAGUUCAUGAUAAGUUUAAGUACAGUUAAUCAAAUUACUUAAGAACUCCCACUUAAAUAGACAUCCCUCUAAUCCUCUAAGUGAUCACGUGAUCCAAAUCAACUAAACCAUAACCGAUCAUCACGUGAGAUGGAGUAGUUUUCAAUGGUGAACAUCGUUAUGUUGAUCAUAUCUACUAUAUGAUUCACGCUCGACCUUUCGGUCUCUGUGUUCCGAGGCCAUAUCUGCAUAUGCUAGGCUCGUCAAGUUUAACCUGAGUAUUCUGCGUGUGCAAAACUGGCUUGCACCCGUUGUAGAUGGACGUAGAGCUUAUCACACCCGAUCAUCACGUGGUGUCUGGGCACGACGAAGUUUGGCAACGGUGCAUACUCAGGGAGAACACUUCUUGAUAAUUUAGUGAGAGAUCAUCUUAUAAUGCUACCGUCAAUCAAAGCAAGAUAAGAUGCAUAAAAGAUAAACAUCACAUGCAAUCAAUAUAAGUGAUAUGAUAUGGCCAUCAUCAUCUUGUGCCUGUGAUCUCCAUCUCCGAAGCACCGUCAUGAUCACCAUCGUCACCGGCGCGACACCUUGAUCUCCAUCGCAACAUCAUUGUCGUCUCGCCACUUUUAUGCUUCCACGACUAUCGCUACCGCUUAGUGAUAAAGUAAAGCAUUACAUCGCGAUUGCAUUGCAUACAAUAAAGCGACAACCAUAUGGCUCCUGCCAGUUGCCGAUAACUCGGUUACAAAACAUGAUCAUCUCAUACAAUAAAAUUUAGCAUCAUGCCUUGACCAUAUCACAUCACAACAUGCCCUGCAAAAACAAGUUAGACGUUAUCUACUUUGUUGUUGCAAGUUUUACGUGGCUGCUACGGGCUUUAAGCAAGAACUCAUCUCACCUACGCAUCAAAACCACAACGAUAGUUUGUCAAAUAGACUCCGUUUUAACCUUCUCAAGGACUGGGCGUAGCCACACUUGGUUCAACUAAAGUUGGAGAGACAGUCGCCCGCAAGCCAUCUAUGUGCAAAGCACGUCGAGGGAACCGGUCUCGCGUAAGCGUACGCGUAAGGUUGGUCCGGGUCGUCUCGUACAACAAUACCGCCGAACCAAAGUAUGACAUGCUGGUAGGCAGUAUGACUUGUAUCGCCCACAACUUACUUGUGUUCUACUCGUGCAAAUAACAUCAAACCAUAAAACCUAGGCUCUGAUACCACUGUUGGGGAACGUAGUAAUUUCAAAAAAAUUCCUACGCACACGCAAGAUCAUGGUGAUGCAUAGCAACGAGAGGGGAGAGUAUUGUCUACGUACCAACGCAGACCCACUGCGGAAGCGAUCACACAACGUAGAGGAAGUAGUCGUACGUCUUCUUUCCGACCCGACCGAUCCAAGCACCGUUACUCCGGCACCUCCGACUUCUUAGCACACGUACAGCUCGAUGACGAUCCUCGGGCUCCGAUCCAGCAAAGCGUCGAGGAAGAGUUCCGUCAGCACGACGGCAUGGUGACGAUCUUGAUGUACUACUGACGCAGGGCUUCGCCUAAGCACUGCAACAAUAUGAUCGAGGUGGAAUUUGGUGGCAGGGGGCACCGCACACGGCUAAGGAACGAUCACCAAGGAUCAACUUGUGUGUCUAGAGGUGCCCCCUGCCCCUGUAUAUAAAGGAGCCAAGGGGGAGGGGUGCGCCGGCCAGGGAGAGGGCGCAGGAGGAGUCCUACUCCCACCGGGAGUAGGACUACCCCCCCAAUCCUAGUUGGACUAGGUUUCCCAAAGGGAGAAAGAGACAGAGGGGGGGCCGGCCCCUUCUCCUAGUCCUAAUAGGACUAAGGGAAGGGGGGCGCGCGGCCACCUAUGGGCUGCCCCUUUUCUCCUUUCCACUAAGGCCCAUGAAGGCCCAUAUGGCUCCCGGGGGGUUGCGGUAACCUCCCGGUAAUCCGGUAAAAUCCCGAUUUCACCCGGAACACUUCCGAUGUCCAAAUAUAGGCUUCCAAUAUAUCAAUCUUUAUGUCUCGACCAUUUCGAGACUCCUCGUCAUGUCCGUGAUCACAUCCGGGACUCCGAACAACCUUCGGUACAUCAAAAUGCAUAAACUCAUAAUAACUGUCAUCGUAACGUUAAGCGUGCGGACCCUACGGUUCGAGAACAAUGUAGACAUGACCGAGACACGUCUCCGGUCAAUAACCAAUAGCGGGACCUGGAUGCCCAUAUUGGCUCCUACAUAUUCUACAAAGAUCUUUAUCGGUCAGACCGCAUAACAACAUACGUUGUUCCCUUUGUCAUCGGUAUGUUACUUGCCCGAGAUUCGAUCGUCGGUAUCCAAUACCUAGUUCAAUCUCGUUACUGGCAAGUCUCUUUACUCGUUCCGUAAUACAUCAUCUCACAACUAACAUCUUAGUUAUAAUGCUUGCAAGGCUUAUGUGAUGUGUAUUACCGAGAGGGCCCAGAGAUACCUCUCCGACAAUUGGAGUGACAAAUCCUAUUCUCGAAAUACGCCAACCCAACAUCUACCAUUGGAAACACCUAUAGUAUCCUUUAUAAUCACCCAGUUACGUUGUGACGUUUGGUAGCACCCAAAUUGUUCCUCCGGCAAACGGGAGUUGCAUAAUCUCAUAGUCAUAGGAACAUGUAUAAGUCAUGAAGAAAGCAAUAGCAACAUACUAAACGAUCGGGUGCUAAGCUAAUGGAAUGGGCCAUGCCAAUCAGAUCAUUCAACUAAUUAUGUGACCUCGUUAAUCAAAUAACAACUCUUUGUUCAUGGUUAGGAAACAUAACCAUCUUUGAUUAACGAGCUAGUCAAGUAGAGGCAUACUAGUGACACUCUGUUUGUCUAUGUAUUCACACAUGUAUUAUGUUUCCGGUUAAUACAAUUCUAGCAUGAAUAAUAAACAUUUAUCAUGAUAUAAGGAAAUAAAUAAUAACUUUAUUAUUGCCUCUAGGGCAUAUUUCCUUCAUUUUUGCCUCGCCGUAGUACCGCAUGGGGGGGGGGCGGUAGUACCGCGCAUGCGGAAGUACCGCCCCCAGCUCCUGUGCGUCUGUUUAUCGGUUCUUUGCUGGGGUUGCGGCAGUACCGUGGGUCGGUACGGUAGUACCGCACAGCCGUGCGGUAGUACCGCUUGGUUGCAAGCAGUAGUACCGUGCGGCCUUGCGGUAGUACCGCUGGCCAGGCGCGGUAGUACCGCUGGCCGCGGGCUGGUUGGUGGGUAACGAUUGGAUUUUCCCCCUCCUAUAAAAGGGGGUCUUCUUCCCCAUUGAACCUGAUUCUGAGAGCUCGUGUUCUUCCCCCAUUGUUGACCUUCUUCGAGCUUGCUAACUCUCAAUCCCUCCAUGGAUUCUUGCUAGUUUUUGAGGGAAAAGAGAGAGGAGAUCUAGAUCCACAUUUCCACCAAUCACUUUCUCCUCUAUGUGAGGGGAACCCCUUGGAUCUAGAUCUUGGAGUUCUUGGUGUUCUCUUUCUUGUUCUUCCUCUCAUUUUCCUCCCUAGCAUUAGUUGCUCCGGUGGGAUUUGAGAGAGAAGGACUUGGGCACGCCGUGUGCCCUUGCCAUUGCAUUUGGUGCAUCGGUUUGAGUUCUCCACGUGAUACGUGGAAGUUACAAGUUGAGAAGCUUAUUACUCUUGGGUGCUUGGUACCCUUGAGCUUGUUCCUCUUGGGUGCUUGGGCGCCCUAGACGGUUGUUGGUGUUCGGAGCUCAAUCAUUGUGGUGCAAAGCUCCGGGCAAGCAUCGGGGUCUCCAAUUAGGUUGUGGAGAUCGCCCCGAGCAAUUUGACGGGUACCGGUGACCGCCCCCAAGGGUUGCCAAAGUGUACGGGUUCGGUGACCGCCCCCAAGGGUUGCCAUUUGUACGGGUUCGGUGACCGCCCUCAAGGGUUCCUUAGUGGAAUCACGGCAUCUUGCAUUGUGCGAGGGCGUGAGGAGAUUACGGUGGCCCUAGUGGCUUCUUGGGGAGCAUUGUGCCUCCACACCGCUCCAAACGGAGAUUAGCAUCCGCAAGGGUGUGAACUUUGGGAUACAUCGUCGUCUCCGCGUGCCUCGGUUAUCUCUUACCCGAGCCCUUUACUUAUGCACUUUACUUUGUGAUAGCCAUAUUGUCCUUUGUCAUAUAUCUUGCUAUCUCAUAGUUGCUUAUCUUGCUUAGCAUAAGUUGUUGGUGCACAUAGGUGAGCCUAGUUGUUUUAGGUUUUGUGCUUGGCAUAUUAACCGCUAGGUUUAUUCCGCAUUUGUUCAAGCCUAAAUCGUAAUUAUUUUAAAACGCCUAUUCAUCCCCCCCCUCUAGGCGACAUCCACGAUCUUUCAAUUGGUAUCAGAGCCUCGUCUCUCUUUAUAGGGCUUAACUGCCUAGAGAGUAAGGAUGUCGACUAGGGGUUUAGGAUUCUCUGAUACUCUUAGUUUCGAUGGCACAAAUUUUGAUGUUUGGGUAAUUCGCAUGCUUAAUCUCUUUAGGGUCAUGGACCCAAAUUUAGAGCGAAUUGUAGAUAUGGGUUUUUCUCCUCCAAAGGAUCCCCAAAGAUUAUCUUUAGAGGAUGAGAAAAACUCUUAUCUCAAUGCUCAAGCUUCUAAUGUGCUUUUCGAUGCUUUGAGCAAUGUAGUUAUGUUUCAACUCAUGCCGUUCCGGGAUGCUCAUGAGUUGUGGACGAAGCUUAAAGAUAAAUAUGGUGUGUCCAAGAUUUGUGGGGAUGAUUGUUCUCCCUCCACCUCCGGUCGUAUAGUCUUCUCAACUUCUUCCACUUCACCUACAUGUGGUUUGCCACAAGGUAAUGAUAUGGUGAGUAGUGUUGGUCAUUGCAAUGAUGAUAGUAUGCUUAUUGUCGAUGAUACUUCAUCACUAUCUUAUUGCAAUGCAUCUUCUUUGGACUUUAACACUUCUAGCACCAUACAUGUUUCACAUGCUUGUGUUGAUAGUCCUUGCAUAUCAUGUAAAAAUUUCUUGACUAAAUCUCAUGAUGAUAUGCUUUCUAUAUCUUGUUGCCAUGAUAAAAAUGCAUGUAUUUCCUCGAGUUGUUGUGCUAACAAUGUAGGGAAACCCAACACUCCAUGGAACAAGAUGUGGUCUUGGAUGGUGCUUCAAGGGAUCCUACAUCAUCAUCUAUUGCAUUUUGCCUUAUGGCCAAGGCUUCAAAGGUAUCUCCCACUUUGAAUCCCAAUAUAUCUAGUGAUGAUAUUGAUGAUGGCAAGAGUGAUGAUGAUGUUGAUUAUGAUGAAGAGAAUGAUGAUGUUGCCUCCUUAAAAAUUAAGGGGGAAAUGAUUUUUAAAGCUCUUCAUAAAAAUAAAAUUGCUUGUUCCAACUUCAUGGAAAUCAUGUCCAUUGCCAUUGAGGGCAAGAAGUAUAUUGAUGAGUUGGAAUCUCGUCUUGAGGAGCAUGAGGUCACCAUUGAUAAAAUGGAAGGUUAUGAGCGUGAUUACGCUAAUGAAAUUACGGACCUCUCUCAAGCUCUUGAACUUGAACAAACCACCAAGGAAUAUCUUGAGGAGACUUCUGCUCUAGAAUUAUCUAGAGUGAGAGAAUCUCGUGAUAGAGCUCUUGAGGUGGCCAAUGAUUUUGAAACUAAAAAUGAGGAGCUUGAAGUUGCGCAUGCUAAAAUCCUUAAGGACUUUGAGCACCUCGAAAAUGGCUCAAGGGUCAUUAAGAGUGAGCUCAUCAAACUCACCGUGUCUCAUGCUCAACUUAAAGCUUCAUAUUCUAAAGAGCUUGCCAAGUUGUCUUCUCCUCUUGUUGCUAAUGAUGAUGCUUGUGCUACUAACUCUAUCUCUUGUGAAGCAUCCAUAUUGAAGGAGAAUGUUGAGCUAAGGGCUCAACUUGAGUUGCUAUCUAGCGAUUAUGGAAUGUUGGAAGAAAAUCAUGUAAAGCUCACAAGCUCUCAUGAUGAUCUCCUAGUAUCCCAUAAUGUGCUAAAAUUAGCUCAUGAGGCCAUGCUUGCUAAGGUAACAUCUAGUGAGCCUCAUGUGGAUACUAGCACUACUUCUAGUCAAAAUGCUAUAUUGCCAUGUGCUAAUCCUUGCAAUUCAUCUACUCACAAUGUUGGUACAUCUUGUGAUGAAUUGCUUUUCUUUCCUUGUUGCUCCAACGAUGAAGCUUAUACUUCCUCUAGUACUUGUGUUGAGACUAACCAUGUAGAGGAAAUCAAAGAGCUCAAGGCCCAAGUCACUUCUUUGAAGAAAGACUUGGAAAAGAGUCAUGAAGGGAAAUCCACACUCAACAAUAUCUUGAGUGUGCAAAAAUCCCCCAAUGACAAAGGUGGACUUGGAUUCAACUCCAAUAAGAAGAAGAAGUCCAAGAUGAUCAAGAAGAAGGGCCAAGAACAAGUCAAGAAUUCGGCCAAGAUUAUUUGCUUCAAGUGCAAAGUAGAAGGGCAUCAUGUUAGAUCUUGCCCAUUGAAGAAGAAGCCCAUUAGUGACAAGCAAUAAGGGAAGCGGCCACAAGUUCACUCUCAUUCUCAACCUCAAGUUGAAGAAAGGCCUCUUCCCAAGAAAACUCAAGCUAAUGCUUCUCAAGCUGAGAAAUCAAGUGAGAAGAAAGUAAAGAGUAGACGUUGCUACCUAUGUCGCGAGAAAGGUCACCUCGCUUCUUCACGCACUAGUGGUAACUUAUCCAACCCAAUUAUUAUUGAUGAUGUCUAUUCUCUUGGGAAGGAUAAGGUUGGCAAUGUGAUUGCCAAGUUUGUUGGUACUCAAAGUGGUUUGAAGCAAAGAACCAUUUGGGUAGCCAAGCCUAUUGUCACUAACCUCUUAGGACCCAACUUGGUUGGGGACCAACAAGCUCAAACUUGAUCAAUAGGUGAUGUUGGAGGUCAUUGGAGACUUGGCUACAUUAUGAAGAAUUAAGGGGACUUCAUCAUUCUUAUUGUCUCAAGCCAAGUCAUUCGGAUUAUCAAGUUUCUAUCUUAUAUCCAAUGUUCCUCCUUGUGGUAACUCGUGCUUAAAUUGUUUACAUUGAAAGUUACUUGCCCCUUUGCAUGUUUGGCUUUGUUCCUUGCAUGUGUUUGUAUAUGUUGUGCUUCCAACUUGAUUAUCUUGAGCAAUCAAGUAUGUGUGUGUUGGUUUGCACAUCAUGUACAUGUGUGUCGUUAGUUGAGCCUUUGUGCAUCUUGGUCAUAUCUUAGUUGGCUCUUGUGAGAGAUUAAUGGAAUAUCCCAUUAUGGGGGAGUGAUGUGCUUUGUGCACCUCACAAUCCUAUAUAUGUGUGUACAUGAGUAAUACCAUUUAGUAUUGAUAUUUCAAGAUUAUCUAGUCGCUAUGUGGUAUGUCUUCUCAUGAGAAAUUCAAAUUCUAAAUAGUCCAUUAAUUAUCUCUUGUUGGAUCCUUUAAUUGCCUCUUGUCUAUCUUUAAUUGGUAUCACAUUAUGGGGGAGUAAUAUGCUACGUGUAUAUUACUAGCCUAGAAAAUGUGUACAUUUGAGAUAUUGUCAUCUAGAGUUGAUAUUGUAAAUUAUCUUGUUCCUAGGUGGCAUGUUAGCUCUACACGUUGCAAUUUGCUUUUUGUUUGGUGUGAAGAUGAUGUCGGAUAUCCUUGUUAUCUACCACCGGGAAUUAUUCCCAAAUACUUCUUGUCUUUUGACAAUUGGUACUCACUUAUGUGUGGUAGAAAUUAUUGAUCAUCUUUACAUUGGCCUUUGCUUUUAUUUGCUUUAUCUCUUGCCUAGGAUUGUGUCAACUCCCAUUGUAUUCCAUACCACUUGUGGAUCUUGUUAAUUUCUUGACCUUGUCUAGUGUUUUCUAGAUAUAGUGAAAGUGGUGAUCCCACCUCGUGCAUUUUGUAUUCAAAUGCAAAUUCUCUAUAAUGCACUAGUCUUGGGGGAGCUAUCCUAUUCUCUAUAAAACACUCAUCUUGUGAUCCUUAUCAAGUGUGUGUUUGUGGAAGGCAAGCCGUUUCUGUUUGGUGCUUUGUGCCAUUAUGAAACUUUGUAGAGAGCUUGGUUUGUUUGGAACCAUCCUCUCUUUUGGGAGUUUGAUGUCUCUUCUUUGUGUAUAUCAAUGGAUAUCUCAUUCCUUGUUGUAUCCAUUAUGGAUACCCUCCAAGUGAUGAUUUAUUCAUUUGGUAUCUUUUCUUUCCUUGGUAUUUCUUUGUCUUUCGGUAUCGGUUCUUGAAAGUCUUGAGCAUGCAUAUUAACUUCGUGUAGUAUCUUUGGCAAGCUUUCUUUCUUUGACCCAAUAUAUAGGGGAAACUCCACCAAGUCUCAAAUUGGAUGAGAUGUGCAUGAAAUUCAUUUUCGUAUCUAUGUGCACAUAUUUAUGUGGAGUUUGUCCUAUGUAUUGUUGGUUCUCUAACUCUUUGGUCCCAAUGAGUUUGGGUACCAUUUUGUUUGUGUUGUUGUUCUAGGAACAAGUGGGGAUGCAUUGGAUGCUCGGCUCACUCACAACGAAGGUGUUGUCACCAUGUGCUUAUUGGAGUCAAGCUAGGAUGAUCAAUGAACUACUUUGUACCUUCAAUUGGCAUCUAGUACAUCCUUCCAAUGUUAUCUCGGUAACAAGUAUCUUCAUAUACUUCAUGCACACAUUUCUUGCAUCAACCUUGUGUAGGUUGCAUCUUAGCAUGAUUUUCAUUCCAUCUUGUGAUACUUGUUUCCUUUCUCAAAGCAUCUCAACGAUGAUCUCAUGUUGCUAGUUCUGAUGUCUUUGAUAGUUGUGUAGUAGGAAUUCAUUUGUAUACAAUAAGACUAUAUCUAGCCAUGUGCUAUGCUUUCAAGCAAAUAUCUUAUUGGUAUAUUUAUGAUUUCCUUGUGGAUAUCCUGUUCCUCGUGUUGCAACUAUUUCGGGUGUACAUCCUUCUUUGUAGAUAUAUAUCAUCAUGAUUUCGUCUACAUAGAAUCUUAUACACUUGAGAAAAGUUGCAUAUCUAGUUGAUAUCCUUUCUUUCACGACCACCUUGUCUUUCGUAUGUCAUUUCUUUGGUGGCUCCGUGAAAGCUUUUGCCUUGAGUGCGUGUCUUAUCUCGUUGCAUCUUGAUGCACUCUUGGGUGGUGAAGAUUAUUUUCGUCAUGCUUAUCUUUACGAGGCUUUUGCCAUCUUAAUUGGUAUCCCUCGUCUUGAUGAGGCUUUCAUCUUCUAUCUUCACCGCGGGUUGUCACAAGCAUAGGUUCUCUAUAUGCUUAUUAGUAAGCUUGUGAACCCAUUUACUUGUUGUGUGUGGGAAUGAUAGGCCUUGCACCGUGUUGCCUCAUUCUUUCAAGACUUUAUUGAUGUUUAAUGCUCAUCUGUACAUUAGUCUUCUCAAGUGCAUUGCCUUGACUCACACACAUCUUUUUGGUUGAGCCCAUUCUUAAGUUGCCUCUUUUACUUGUUGCUCAACCAUGUGUUUGUUGCAAGUGCUAGGCUUAGUUUCCUUUUGCUCUCUUGCACUUGUUGUUAGUUUCUAUUGAUUUUGGGGAAGCUAUGAUCCUAUUUUGUGCACUUUGUAUCCAAAUACAAACAUUCUUAUGUGUGCACAAAUCAUGGGGAGCUUCUCUAGUUUCUCUAGAAGAUCACUCCUAUGCUCAUAUCAUAAUAUCUUUCUUUUUUGUGGCUCUUAGGAUAUCUAGUCUAGUUGGUUCAAUUGAUAUCCGUUGAUUGCUUGCUUCAAUUGGUAUCUUUUGAUUGCUUGAUUGCUUGUGUCUCUCUUUGUUAUGUCCUCGUGGCAUAUCAUUCCUUUAGCAAUCUUUGGGCCUCAAUAUAGUUUGUCUUCCUCCAAGUAUUUACCGUUGGUUAUGUGUAUUGCUUUCCUCUCUCUUGUUGAGAAAUACACAACUUCUGGAGGAACUCAAUCUAUAUUGGCCUUCUAAGCUUUUCACCCAUUUUGGCAAUCGAUGCCAAUGGGGGAGAAGUUUCAGAGAGUUUUGUGGAGGGUUUCGGAGAGUUUUGUGGAGAAGUCUUUAGAGUUUUCUCCUUGCUUUGGUUUUGUUUCUAAGCAUUUGCAUCUCAUACGCACGCAUUAUUGGUUGUUGCAUUGCAUGGUGAUGUAUAAUUCCUUGUAUUAAACUCUCUUGAAAGUGAUUGUCAUCAAUUACCAAAAUGGGGGAGAUUGAAAGAACAUGCGGUGCCCCCAUGUUUGGUUUUGGUAAUUGAUGACAAUCUCUAUGGACUAAUGGUUGCCUUGAGUUAUAUUUGAAGGUUUUGUCCAUAGGCUUUUCUUGGAGUACAUGUGUUGGGUUCAAGGAGAGUUUGUGUCGACCAAGGUGCUAUUCAAGGAAUUACCUAAAGAUUGGUCUUGUGAGAGGUUGAUCAAGACUAAGUCAAAGAGUGAAUCAAGUUGAUCAACCCACAAAGCGUAGAAGAUGUACCGAGAGGGAUCAAGUGAUCCCAUGGUAUGGUAAGCAUUGCCAAUUACGCUUUGUGUACUAACCCAUGGUCUUCGCGAGGGUUCUUUGUGGGGUUAGGUUGCGGUGUGCAAGUUCAAGUGGAGCAUCACGAAGAGAUCAAAUGCUUGAAGCUUGCCGUCCUUUGUGGUGACAAUGGACUUGUGAAGAUGUGCGGAAGAGUGGCUCACCCAUAGUGGAGUAUGGGGGAGCAAUCAACUAGUCUUUAUCGAGUCAACCCAAUCAAGAAAGGUGGUCCAACUUGAGGGAGUCAAGAUCGUCAUCAUCUAGCUCAAGUGGACCAUGUGCAAGGCAAAGGUUUGCCCUUGAUAGGUUUUCUAUUUUACCGGUCUCAUGAUGGUAGUUGGGAGACCGGGUUAUAGGAUCGAUUGCCGUACUAUCAAGGGGGGCUCUUAAUGAGUAGCUUGAUCGUAUCGUUUGCUGAGAGCUCAAACCAUUGCAUCCUUGCAUCAUCUUUCUUGGUUCUUGUUUGGUUCUCUUUGAGAGUCUUAGAGCUUAUGGUCAUCUUGAUGACAAGCUCGAGUUCAUCGAAAACGGAGUUCACAUGCUUCUUCUAUGAUGUUUUCGAUGUUGGAGGUUUUGCCGGUUCUUCUCGGUUGGAGGUUUCACUCCUCUAUUUGUUAGGCAUACCUCCCCUGCCUCUUCUUCUAUAACCAAUCGCUGUUUUGAUGCUACUCGUCGUCUUGUUUCCAACAAGCUUGAGUUUGCUCAAUUCGGAGCUCAUAUGCAGAAGUUAUGGCAGUUCUUGUUUUCUUGAGUGUGGUUUUUGUCAAGGUCCAUGUUGGAAAGGUUUGGGUGGUUUCAUCACGUACACGUCUCCUUCUUUUCCCCUCCUUCUUCCUUGGGGCUUCCUCCGUUUUCCUGCCUCCUUUGACUGACUGCUGUUGUGGUUGCGGUAGUACUGCUCCUGGAUCAACGGUAGUACCGUAGGCAUCCACGGUAGUACCGCGCGGUGGCGCGGUAGUACCGCUGAUGCCCAUGGUAGUACCGCUCCCCCGGAGCCGCACUACCGCUACCCACCAGGCUAGUGCCGCCCCCUUUGCGGUAGUAGGAGCGGAUGUAAUUUUUUACAUCCGCACCUGCCGCGGUAGUACCGCCUUCGCCGUGCGGUAGUACCGCGCUAUGCGGUCAGGUAGUAGUACCGCCCCUCGGCAGUACUACUGUGUCGGGUUUUUGCUACUUCCGUUUAUUUGCGGAAGUAGGCACGGUAGUUUCCCUUCUCCCCUGGCUGGGAUUUUUGCCUCGCGGUAGUACCGCAUGGGGGGCGCGGUAGUACCGCGCAUGCGGAAGUACCGCCCCCAGCUCCUGUGCGUCUGUUUAUCGGUUCUGUGCUGGGGUUGCGGCAGUACCGUGGGUCGGUACGGUAGUACCGCACAGCCGUGCGGUAGUACCGCUUGGUUGCAAGCAGUAGUACCAUGCGGCCUUGCGGUAGUACCGCUGGCCAGGCGCGGUAGUACCGCUGGCCGCGGGCUGGUUGGUGGGUAACGGUUGGAUUUUCCCCCUCCUAUAAAAGGGGGUCUUCUUCCCCAUUGAACCUGAUUCUGAGAGCUCGUGUUCUUCCCCCAUUGUUGACCUUCUUCGAGCUUGCUAACUCUCAAUCCCUCCAUGGAUUCUUGCUAAUUUUUGAAGGAAAAGAGAGAGGAGAUCUAGAUCCACAUUUCCACCAAUCACUUUCUCCUCUAUGUGAGGGGAACCCCUUGGAUCUAGAUCUUGGAGUUCUUGGUGUUCUCUUUCUUGUUCUUCCUCUCAUUUUCCUCCCUAGCAUUAGUUGCUCCGGUGGGAUUUGAGAGAGAAGGACUUGGGCACUCCGUGUGCCCUUGCCAUUGCAUUUGGUGCAUCGGUUUGAGUUCUCCACGUGAUACGUGGAAGUUACAAGUUGAGAAGCUUAUUACUCUUGGGUGCUUAGUACCCUUGAGCUUGUUCCUCUUGGGUGCUUGGGCGCCCUAGACGGUUGUUGGUGUUCGGAGCUCAAUCAUUGUGGUGCAAAGCUCCGGGCAAGUAUCGGGGUCUCCAAUUAGGUUGUGGAGAUCGGCCCGAGCAAUUUGACGGGUACCGGUGACCGCCCCCAAGGGUUGCCAAAGUGUACGGGUUCGGUGACCGCCCCCAAGGGUUGCCAUUUGUACGGGUUCGGUGACCGCCCUCAAGGGUCCCUUAGUGGAAUCACGGCAUCUUGCAUUGUGCGAGGGCGUGAGGAGAUUACGGUGGCCCUAGUGGCUUCUUGGGGAGCAUUGUGCCUCCACACCGCUCCAAACGGAGAUUAGCAUCCGCAAGGGUGUGAACUUCGGGAUACAUCGUCGUCUCCGCGUGCCUCGGUUAUCUCUUACCCGGGCCCUUUACUUAUGCACUUUACUUUGUGAUAGCCAUAUUGUCCUUUGUCAUAUAUCUUGCUAUCUCAUAGUUGCUUAUCUUGCUUAGCAUAAGUUGUUGGUGCACAUAGGUGAGCCUAGUUGUUUUAGGUUUUGUGCUUGGCAUAUUAACCGCUAGGUUUAUUCCGCAUUUGUUCAAGUCUAAACCGUAAUUAUUUUAAAACGCCUAUUCAUCCCCCCCCCCCUCUAGGCGACAUCCAUGAUCUUUCAACCAACACGAGUCGUCCUGGGCGGUGCAACAGCCCCCUUUGCCAGGCCGGGGCAGACUUCUUAGCUUGGUCGAGCAUGGGCUGCCAUUCCACCCUCGAUAGCUGUCUAAUUGCCAGUUGAAGUCCAAGGUAUUUGCAAGGAAAGCUGCCAAGGCGGCAAUGAAGAAGAGACUCGACCCGAUCCUGGAUCUUAUUGCAGAAAAUUAGAGAAGAGAAGGUUUUGCAACAAGAGUCUUAUUGAAAACAUAAAGAACAAUAUAGAUAGUGGGACGGCUCGCAAGGGGACAUAUAUUUAAAAAGGGUAUUGAUAAAUCUCAGUCGACUGAGACUUAUGAUGCUAUAGGAUCUUACGUGAAGAUCCGUGCAUUUUUUGUUUUUCCUUUUUCUUUAUUGCAUGUUAUACUAUUUGACUUAGACUUGGUUAAGUCUUAGUCGAGUGAGAUCUUUAAAAAGAUCCGCCAGCCGACACGUAUGCCCCAUGUUUUAAGACCAAAAAAAUUGAGUUGCAAAGUGCAAGAUUUAAUCCAUGCAUGCAUGCCAUAUGAUUUCCGAUUAUGCUCCAUUUGGAUGUUGAUAUUCAGGGCCAUGGAAUUGAAUCGGCUCCAAUAUCAAAUCUCCCAGACUUUGAUAUUAACAUUGAACUUGAAUUCUGUUGUUUGGAUGUGCACGAUAUUGACAUUUGGAAUUCGCAUGAGAGGCUAAAUUCUGAAGCUUGUUUGGAUGGUCAUUGUCUACAUUGGAAUUGCCUCAGUACACUGGUACCUAUACGUUUUGUCAUUGGUUUUCAGUACCAACUAUAUAUAUUUAAGGAGCAGUAGCAAGUAUUUUUUUGAUUGUUCUGAAACGCAAACGCAUGAAUUGGCUGUGAAUACCUCUGCCUGAGACAACACUCUGGACAGUAGCAACUACCAUGUGAACUAGCGCUCUGAAUCUGAAACGCAUGAGCUUUCAUAGUUCAGACAAACACCGACUGGAUAAAUGAGCUCAUACAUACAUCAGCUCGUACAUACACGACACUACAAAGAUCAAAUUCAGAUCUGUGCAGUUCAAGCACUCCACAGCGGAAUCUGAAGAAUCAUUCGGAUCAAUUUCGACAGUGGUUUCCAACAUGUACAUUAGCUCGUAUGCCAAAUUAAAUAAACACUUCAGCAUCAGCUACUGAUGCAUUGUCUUGCACGUCUUGGCCUGCCGAGUACCAAAACGGAAGGACCAAAAGCAAAAUUUGUAUCAACAUCUCACGACUAUGAGCUGCAAAAGGUUAAGAAAAAAACUCAGAAUACUAGCACAUGUGGGCGAGGAUUAGAGGGGAUUAGAGCUUCUGUGUAGGGUUAGGGAGGGAGCUAGGGGACGGUGGCACCGGGGCUACAGGAAGAAGCAGCCAUGGGGGGAAGCAGCGGUCGUGCCAUCUGCCAUGGGAGGCGGGUGUACAGUGGGUCAAGCAGGCGGCGGCCAGAGGGACGAGCGCGCGGGAUGGGUCAGGUGGACGCGCAUGGAGGUGGGCCAUGGGCGCACGCGGGGGGAGGAGCGGACCCGCCGGAGAGAGGAGAGAAGAGAGAAGGAGGAGGAGGGCGGAGAGGUCGGACGUGCGCCGCCGGAGCUCCCUGUCGUGUCUCUGUUCGCAUCCUCUCUCGCUCGGUUGCCUGUUUAUUUUCCCUCCAGCGGGCGAAGCGGUAAGUCGAGCUCCUAUGCUCUGAAUUCGGCAACAGCUACGCGGGCUGUGAAUGGAGCCAGCCAAUAUCUUGGCCCAAUUCAGCCAGUCAAUACCCUAACCAUCCGAGCAAUGGCAUUCGGGCUGCCCAAUACCAAUAUCAAUUUCAAGGCCCCAAUAUCAACAUCCGAACGAGGUGUUACAUACCUUAUCUAAACAGAGCCAUGAAUCACCCUGUUUCCUCUGUUAAUCAUUUUCUGCCAUUCUCCACUCAGAGGGGUAAGAGCAAUGCUAGUAUUAUUGGAGGGGUAAACACACAAAGCUCCAUCUAGUUUUGUUCAUGGCGCUAUAUUCUUUCUUUUCCAUCCGGGGAUCGACCGAGAGUUCGUCGCACUCCAUGAAUUCCGCACCAGAAUCAAUGGCUGUCAGUCCUUUGACGAUCUGCGCACACCGACGGUUCAAACUCGGAGCGCUUCCUUGAGGUCACCGUCGUCGCCGGCGCCGGCGUCCCCCUGAACCAGCUGCUUGCUCUCGCCGGCCCACGCGCUGAUCCGUUCGUUGGCCUGCGCCGCCUCGUCCUCCCAGUCCGUGUUCCAGAUCACGGCGAGCAGGACCGCCGUCUGCAGCGCCGUCCCGCACAGCAUCCCGGCCCAGAUGCCCUGGGGCCCGAGCCGGAGGAGGUAGCCGAGGCAGAACCCGAGGGGGAGCCCGAAGGCGUAGUAGCAGCCCAGGUUGAUGUACGCCACCAGCGCCUGCCACCCGCCGCCGAUGGCCACCCCGGAGAUCACCGGCUGCACGCUGUUGAGCACCAUGGUGACCGCCAGCAGGUAGGCCACCUUCCCCACGGCGGCCUGCAUGGCCCGGUCCCCCGUGAAGAGCGCCGCGAAGCUGUUGCGGUAGGACAGGAUGAGAGCCAUGGCGAGCAGGCCGAUGAGCAGGGACUGGGCGAUGACCGACGCCACGGCGUGCUUCGCCGCGCGCGGCCGGCCGGAGCCCAGCUCGUUGGACACGCGCACGCUGAUGGCCGCGUUCAGCCCGAUGAACAGCAUCGCCUCCCACCCGUUGAGGUUCAUGCAGAUGGACACGGAGCCCACGGCGAUCUCCGCGUCGUCGAGGUGGCCCGUGAGGACCACUAGCACCAUCAUGUACCACACCUCCAGGCAGAGCAUCACGGCGGAGGCCAGCGAGAGCUUGGCGAACGCCCACAGCCCCUCGAACGCCUUCCACGACAGGCCAUCCCAGCCGCCGCCGUCCCCGCACCACCGCACCACGUACACCACCUGCGCCACGGCGAUGCCCCACGAGGUGACGUCGUAUGCCGCGGCGGCUCCGGCGAGCCCCCACCCGAGGCGCGACACGAAGAGGUACAGCAUGGCGACGUGCGCGGCGAGCGCGGCGAGGCUGAUCCAGGCCAGCACCAUCACCUUGCUCUGCGCCUGCAGGAACUUCUGCGUGGGGAAGGUGAGCGCGAGCGAGAACAUCUGCGGGAGGAUGCGGAGCGUGAAGUCGCCCGCGGCGCCGGCGAUGGCGUCGUCCUGGCCGAGCGCGCGCAGGAUGGGCGUGGCGAAGACGUAGAGCGGGGAGAGCAGGACGGCUGAGACGGCGAGGAUGAUCCACGACCGCUGCAUGUACACGCCGAGCGCGCCCAGCUGGCCGGCCCCGUACGCCUGCCCGCAGAGCGUCUCCAGCGCGCUGCCCAUGCCGAGGAGGAAGCCGAAGGAGAAGUUGGAGACGACGGAGAGGCCGACGGCGGCCGCGGAGAGCUGCAGGUUGCCGAGGCGGCCGGCGAAGAGCUGCGUGGCGGAGUUGACCCCGUAGAGGCAGAGGAUGUUGAAGGUGAUGGGCGCCGCGAUGACCCACAGCCGCUCCGCCUCCCGCACGAACGCCUGCCGCGCCUCCGCGUAGCUCCUCGGCGCCGCCGCGUCCUCCUCCGCGACCACGGACGGCCUCUUCACCAGCAGCGGCGCCUCCAUGAGGACCAUGACCGACCGACCAACAGACUCUGCUCGACUCCGACGACGUACGACUGAACUGAGAUGAGCAGCUAGGUAGCUAGCUAGCUCCCCGGCCGUCACCUCAGCUACUAGUCGGGUCGAGACUUACGAGAUCGAUCGGUCUGGCCGCCAUUGUCCAGGGCCAGCGCUCUCGAUAUAUAUACAGCCGGGCGGCCGAGGUAGGUGAGGUGAGGUAUCGAAGUGGGUUUUUGGUUGCGAUCGAUGGUAGCUAGCAGCUGCUGCAGGCUGCAGCAGCACAGUGCGUCGAUCGGGCAUGGCGGAAACUGGCGAGGGCGGGCGAGACGCGGGAGGUCGUCGUACGCGACGCAUCCGCUGCAUGUGGAUUCCGGCGCAGGAGGUUGACGGAAGGGACGAACCGACUAUAGCUUUGUUUGUCACAAAGGCAUGGCUCAUGUGAGUGAUCAGAUCGUAGAAACAAGAGUUGGUAAGGCAGGUAGAGGAGCAUGGAAGUGACGCGGAUUAUGUCUCUUUCUCUCGAGUCGUGACCAUGUCCUCCCCCGUAAAAAUGCUAAGUCACUGUCACGCCGGAAGAGCAUCUUCCCGCCCAAGACACAACGCGCCGGUCGUCUGUUUUUACGCGACAUGUGACGCUGGCUCCAGCGGCCGCUGUAAACUUUAGCGCGCCGUAACUUCAACAGACGCUGCAAAAAUGCGACGCGCGCGUCUUGCACAAACAAUAUAUGUACUCCGAACAAUAUAAAAAAACAUAUGCAUAGGUAAAAUAGAUAAAAAACGAUAUAUAGAUAUUUCACAAUGCGUACAUGGUUCAUCACAGCAUAGAUAGAAAAAAACGAGUCCAACACGAUAAAAACUACUACAAUAUAACUAGAUAAAACUACGGUGCAACUAGAACCUACUCCGAAUCGUCAUCACCAUUCUCGUUGGUGUCGUCCGAGGUAUCGAGCCACACGUCUUUCCAACGAGAAUCGUCUGAGUCGAGAAACGACCCCCACCUGCGUUAACGAGAUCGCACUGCGCCUCUGCGAGUGCAUUCCGCCGACGCCUGUCGGCCCGCUCCGCGUGGCGCCUUGCCGUCCUCUCCACCCAGAAGGCGUUUUCAUCGACGAUGUCCUGCGGGUAGCGCUAGCGCCACUCUGCCAUGGCUCGCUCGUCCUCCUCAGCGAUGAGGAGGUGGCGCCGCCGCCGACGGUGUUCCUCACGGUCUCGACGAGGCGGAGGGGCUACGUCCUGCGCCUGUUCGCGCGUGAAGACGUCGUGAAAGUUCAUCUGCGUGCGAGGCCUCUGGAGGCGCCAUGCCGCCACGUCGUACGCGCGGGCGGCCUCGUGCGCAGUCUCGAACGUGCCGAGGCUGAGGGGACGUCACCGGACCGAAUCUCCACGUAGAAGGCGCCGGAGGGGCGCUCGCGGACGCCGCGGUAGCGCGAAGAUCCCCGGCGGCGUGGCGGCAUGGUGGCGCAGUGGUGGCGCGUCGGUGGCAGGGCGAGGAAGCGAUAGAGGAAGCAGAGGAAGCGGGAGGAGUGUGCGUGGCAGUGUGGAUAGCGAUGGGAGGCCGCGUGGCGAGCGCCGCAAUUUAUAGGCGCGCCGGAAGCGGUGCGCCAAAUCUAGCGCGCGACCGCCCGCUUUCUCCCAAGCGCGCUAGUUUCCNNNNNNNNNNNNNNNNNNNNNNNNNNNNNNNNNNNNNNNNNNNNNNNNNNNNNNNNNNNNNNNNNNNNNNNNNNNNNNNNNNNNNNNNNNNNNNNNNNNNNNNNNNNNNNNNNNNNNNNNNNNNNNNNNNNNNNNNNNNNNNNNNNNNNNNNNNNNNNNNNNNNNNNNNNNNNNNNNNNNNNNNNNNNNNNNNNNNNNNNNNNNNNNNNNNNNNNNNNNNNNNNNNNNNNNNNNNNNNNNNNNNNNNNNNNNNNNNNNNNNNNNNNNNNNNNNNNNNNNNNNNNNNNNNNNNNNNNNNNNNNNNNNGCUAAAAUAGUAGUUUACCACGCGCGCGCGUAUUGACGCCGCUGUUGGAGAUGCUCUAAGAACAUCUACAGCCCCAAAUCCAGCCCUCUAUACGUCCGCUCCGGACCGGACCGCCCCUCAUAUGCCCCGCCUCGCAUACCUUAAAUCUGAACUCUUAAAUACAUACAAAUUCAUGCACGCCCAUCCAAUGUCACACGUAAAUAACAAAUAUCAGCAACAAAAAUACACAGUUCUUACAUAAAAUUGAUGUCAAGUGCACAAUUUAAAUAUUAGCUAUUUAGUUUUCAUUAUGUGUCCACAUAUGUUUCAUACAAUCACUGAGUAGCUACCUGUGGACAUAAUGAUUUCGAAGAUUCUGAUGCAUCAACAGAAAGUUCAUAAACUGAUUUGCAUCUUGAUCUAUCGGGAUUUAGACUUGUUCUCCACGCGCUUCAAAAUCAUUGAUUUAGGCUACCUCAUAACCCUCAUCGUCGACAAUUAUAUUGUGCAAAAAAACACAACAUGUCAUCGGCUGCCACAAAGUUUCCGAUUCUCACAUCAUUACAGCUCCAAGAACAAUUCCCCAACGAGCUUGAAGCACUCCAGGUGCCCUCUUCACAUCCUUCCUAGCUGCUUCUUGCAUUGUUGCAAAGUGACUUUUUUGUUGCCUUGUGGUUCGGAUAUAGUCUUCAUAAAUGCCGCCCACUGAGGAUAGAUUCCAUUGGCAAGAUAGUAUCGCAUGUUGCGGUCACGGCUGUUCGUAGUGUAGUUGCACGGCGGCGAUUCCCCAUUACAAAGCCUCCUGAACACGGAAGAUCGUUGAAGCACAUUGAUGUCGUUAUGAGAACCCAAUAUUCCAAAGAAAGCAUGCCAAAUACAUAAGUCAUGUGAUGCCACUGCUUCCAAUAUGAUGUUGACCUUUUUGGUGUGACCUUGGUACAUUCCAUGCAAACCUUUAGGAUAGUUCUUUCAUUACCAAUGCAUGCAAUCAAUUGAUUCGAGCAUUUCUGAAAACCCUCUUGCCUCUCCAGCAGCCAACAUUUUUUUGUGUGUCCUACACGUUUGAUUCUCCCAGAUACUCUACUCCAAACACCUGGAACACGGUGCGGGCAAACCUGAUAGUUGUCUUUGGGCAUGUGAUCUCCCCCAUCCGCACCAUCUCACCAACUGCAUCAGCGGCACUGCGGCAAUACCAAGUGCAAGCAUCCUCAGAGCAGCCGUGCAUUUCUGCAUAACAAAGAAAGAAAGUUGGCUGCAACAAUCCUACUGAGCCUGAAGUAGUCAAUGUGUGCCUCCACCCCCUCCAUAAUGCGCAAAAACAAUGAUUUGUGCAUACGAGCACGGCGAUGAAAUCAUGGAUCAUUAGAAAAGUUGGCUCAGGAUCAAAGUAGUCCUUGUACACUAGCCGUGCUCCGGAGACCCUAUCCCGAUUGAUUACUCUUCUCCUUUUGACUGAGCCCUUAAAGUUGAGAAUAUGCUUCACCUGCCAGUCCAUUUCCUCUUGCAUGCUCAUGAGCAUGAUCAUACCCACUUCUUCAUUUGAAUUCAAUGAAUCGAAUAACUCAUCUUCAAUCAUUUUAUCAAGCUUCGUCGGUCCAUACUCCUCGUCUGAUGAAGCAUCGAAAUCCAUCGACUUCCUUACGAAUAAAUCACAAAAAACCGGGUCGGACAAUGUGUUGAACACAUAGAGCAUAAGGGGCAGCCUGAAAGUUGUCGGACAUAUUGCGGUGGCGUCUGGGACGGCGACGAUGUCUGCGUUGGUGAGCACGGUAGAGAGGACUGCAGUGCCGCUGUCGGCAGUGCUGAGGCUCGGAACGGCGUUGGAGCUACGAGACGUCCACGUGAAGGAUGAGAAGAGAGGAGACAACAAAUGUAAUCGAUAGGCCGGGAUGAAAUUGGUGUAAUUUGUGAUGGGUCAAGGUGUCGGGUCUGACGUGACGGACCAGUCCAGUCAUACCCGGGUCUCCCAUAUCCACCCUAUAUUUGGAUAGAAUAUAAGGUGUGGUGAUCAGAUCGGGCGUUUAAGGCCAAUUUGAGGCACCCAUUUGAUCGAGUUUUUUUACCAAUCAAUGAUCGGACGUCCGUUCAAAUAGACGUUUGAGAGAAGUUUGAGGCGCCCUGUAGAUGCUUAAAACUUCCGUAAUAUUCCGUCGGGUGAUCUGUAGGUGCAGGCAUGUGCAAUCUUCAGAAUUUGCCCGACGUCCUGCAUGCAUGUUGGAACUGUCGCCUGUCUUGGAGCCAUUCACUGGUUAUUUUUUUAAUCAGUCGAUCGCGGUCACAGCCUAAAAUUGCACAAAAAACGUUUUUGCUUUACCAUUUACUGUGAGACAAGAGCCCCACGGCCCCUCGUAUAUUUUUUAAAAGAAUGUGCAAGAACAAAGUGAAAAAAAUGUACUACUUUUGUAUUACAAUAUAAGAUGUUAUAUAUAUAUAUAUUUUUAAUCACAAAACGUCGGAGAAAAAUGCGGAAGAAACCAGAAACUAAAAAUAAAAAGAGAGAGAGAGAACUUUAGCUAUGCUUUAAAAAGAAGGGUGAGAGCCAUGACCACUAUUGAUUGCAGUGAUCCUUGUACACUCUAGUACAUUCGUAGACAAAUAGCUGAAUUUUCUACCACCGUCGACAUGAUAACAAUCCAGAACACCCGUAAAUAAACUGACUAGACCACUAGUAUACAGCUAAAUGUUCAGCAAACACGGCGGUUUCCUUGCACUUUACUUUUUUAAAUUGCAACCUCCAUGGAGUUCUCUUUUUUUGUGUUUGCUAUUUGUAACUUGCUGGAAAAUGGUAAUCAGUCAAUUUUAAGAGAGAGGAAAAAGAAACACGCAAGGAGCUCUGAUGUCAGGGCCGGCCCUAGGGGAGGGGGCGGCCGCCCCGGGCCCCCUCCCAGGAGUGAUUACGUGUAAAGGUAAAUAGGAAGUAAGGAACGACAAGUUACAACGUAUAUGCACAUAAAUCACGUCAUCGCGUGGAAAAAAUGAUCAUGUUACAUACGUAAAUCACGUCGCCCCGUUAUCUUUACUAGCAAAAGAGCCCGUGCAUUGCAACGGGAGAGAAAACAUAACACACGCUCUUAACUCAACAAUCAUCACUUAAGACCACAAUAGGUCUAUCUCCUUUAUUUUUAUAAGGCAUCAUAUUUGUGUUUCCGCUUAUCCUCCUUCUCACCCUCGCCGGCGAUGGCCUCGGUGUUCACACAAAACAACAAAAAAUGUGUGUUGAAUAUGGUUAAUCCUAAGGCGUCUCUCUCUUCCUCUCUCCUCCCUCUCCCUCUCUCUCUCGCUCGUUUUCUCUCACUCUCGCGACGAGAAAUCUGUUGUUUUCCCCUGCGAUAUUUUUCAGGGUAUGCAUGUUUAGUUAUCGAUGUUUUUUUCAUAUAUGGUUAUAGUUGGGUGUUUAUUUGCAAUUCGGAUCGCCGCCGGUAUGAAAAAAAACGAAUCUUGCACUAUAAAUUAUAAGUUUGCUUCCAUAACAAUAUUUAAAAAAUAUUUAACAGGUAAAAUUAACAUCAUAUUUUGAUUCCACACAUUUUUCUAAUAAAAUUUCAUAUAUAAUAUGCUAAAAUCAAAAUUACGGUUUAAAAGAUACAGAUAAUUUAUAAAACCAUUUUGUUUGACUCAAAUAUAUUCCAAAAUAACAUUUAAAAACACUAAACAGGUAAAAAAUAAUCUCAUAUUCAUAUUCUACAUAUUUUUCUAAUCAAAUUUCAUAUAUAACAUGUUCAAAUCGAAGUUACGGUUUGAAAGAUAUGGAUGAUUUUAAAAAGCAUUUGUUUAACUUAAAUAUGAUCCGCGGAUGAAUUAUCUAAAACAUCAUGGGGUUUCGAAAAAUGUAAAAUAACGGUUCGGGUUUGACUUAAAUCCGGACGGCGGGGUUGAUUUCAAGAAAAGACAAUAACUUUUGUAUAAAAUACAAAAAUAAUGAUUCGUUUUAACUUAAAACAGGACUGCGGGUUGAAUUCUCUGAAAUAGAGAAACUUUUCUGAAAAAUGUCAUGACGGACGAAAGAAACCCAAUUUAUUUUAUUAUUAGGUAAAGAUAAAGAUUCCUUAUGAUCGUGAGAGGUGAUAAAUUCUCGCUAAAAAAGGAUCGUGCGCCAUGAGUUCAUCCCUAAUUUCCUUCCCAUGUACCAAACUCCAGAUCCCAAAUCCCAGAGGGCUGGCUGGUCUCCAAGCGCUGUACAUAGCGACGACGUAGCACGAACAUCGUCUAGCCCAUAAAAAUUGACACGGCCAGAGUUUGCACACACUACAUCGCCGAGCGCCUGCCAGCUGACAUGCACAUCACACCAUCGCUGGGCGUCCAUCGGCUGUUGUCAAUAUAAUCAAUAUCAGGUAUAUCAUAUUACUAUUGCCUACAAUUUCAAGUUUCUUUGUGUUUUGAGGAAGAAAUAGUUUGAUAAAAGUAGUAACUCAAGAAGAAAUUAUAGAAGACGAGAAGGAUUUUUCAUGUUAAAUAUCUGUUUUGUUUGGUUCAGAUGAAUCACUUCAUUGAAGAAAGGAUUUAAAAAAUUCAAGGUGUUUAAAGAUUUAUUCUGUUUUCUGUGCCUAUGAUUUUUUUUCAAACGGAUGUGCCUGCGGUUGUUGCAUCAGCUAAAAUAAGCUUUCCAACUUGAAAUGAUUAAAGAACCAUUUGGUAUAAACAAGGAAUUCCUAUAAACAAUGGCCAAUAGAGCUUAAAUGGUUAGGCAACAUUAUGCAUGGAGAAAAAAGAUGAGAUUGACAUCAACACAAAACCAUGAUUUUGCAUCAAAUAAUGUUGCAAGAAUUUUCUUACAAUAAUAUGUGUAAUUUAUUAUAUGAAUAUGGAUUUUGGAUGUAGUUAAGCAUUUAUUGGUACAUUUUGUAUACACUUAAAUGAAUCAAUAAUAUUAUUAUAAUGGUUAUCUUAGGCCUUGUACAUUGCAAGGUGUUUUGGGAAGGUGCUUAGUAAAAUAAACUAAGGUUUUCUCAAGCACCAUUACUUAUCUCAAUGAGAGGGGCGUCUAAUUAAGCAUCUAUCCUAUACAAAUACAGUUUUACUAUAGAACAUCUAGAUGUGCUCUAACUAUUGCACAUCUAAAUUACAUGUCAUUGUUUAUACGCUAAGAUUCAUGCAAGCAUUUUUUCCUUUUUUAGCUUGAUUGAGUCACUCAGUGUGCAAUAAUUAGGGCACAUCUAGAUGUGCCCUAUAUAGACCCAUACAAACACCGAUGCUUGCGAAAAACUGAUUUAUUUUUCUAAGCACCUGCCUUAAAGGGCCCCAAAUAUUACUUUCGCCCCGGGCCCCCAAAAUCUCAGGACCGGCGUUGUCUGAUGUUGAGAUGGAGGCGACACGACUAGCUGCAACGUCCCCGGCGUGGCCUAGCUAAGACCAUGUCAGAUAUGAGGUUAGGCAACAAGGUUUUGAAUUGUCAUAUUCACUUGUCUAUUUCUAAUAUUUUUGAACUUCCGUAUUUGAAGCAUGACAUGCAAUUGCAUUUAAUUUGUUUAUUUUUAUACUAUUUAUGGAUUAUAAGUUUAAUACUAGUGUGUAUAAAUUUGAUUUAUCUUUAAUCUGCAAUAUGGCGCUACACUAGUUGUUGUUGCUACUCUACUGUGUCCGAGGGAGUCCCAACGACAUCUAUGUUGAACAUCAAGGACAUCUACUCGGUAAUAUUAGUGCUCAUAGCUUAUUAUCUAAUAUAUUUGUUCAAAGGUCUCUAGAAAAAGUAGCUUAUUACCUUCAACUAACCUAUAGUUUCAUUUCACACUAGCCAAAUUAUGUGUGAGAAUUUUACAGCAAUACUUGCGAACCACAAAUUAUGAGUAAUAAAAUCCUAUGAAUGAACUGACCAAAAUCUAUAUUUUUCUACACCAAUAUUAAUAAAACUAAAAAUGACUUUUGUUGAUGGAUAUCUACGUCUACUAACCAUGGAUAACUAGUUAGGUUAGAAUUAGAGGGGCUUGCCCCUCCGCAACCUUAUCAAAAUUUAUUUACCUUGAGGUACAUGUAUCUUAUAAACAUCAAUUAUAUUGAUCAUACAUGCAUGUGUUAGAGCAUGUUUAAUAAUAUAGCCAACUGUUGGCUAUGUGAUGUUGGCAUAUCAUCUAUAGCCAUCAAUUAUAGUCACUCAUACAACAAGGUUCUAGGUUGGUUAUAAUAUUAGUACUUUUUCUCAUCUUCUCUCUAUCUCUUUCUUCACAUUUAUUGCAUUUGUUUAGGAGCACACAUAUAGCUAGACUCUUGCACGAGAGCCCACUCCCCUUACCUUUUUUAUUUCUCUCUUCUCCACACAGACAAAGUUGCCAUGUAAGAGGGCUAUAAGCCUGCUAUUGUACUUGCUCUUAAGAUGUUAUUUGCUAAACCAUUGAUUUGGUCUCAUCUACUCAUUUGAUAUGGAAACAUCAAUGAUGGAUAUCUUUAAUUUGCAUGAAACAUUAGGUUCAUGUUCCCAACGACUUUAAUCAGCAACUACACAUCCAUUCGACAUGGAUUAAAUUUUGCCAUAUUAACUUCUUCAUGCAUUUAAUAACCUUUCAUUUACACAAAGUAAAGUUUCUUAAAAAAAGUUACCCAGGGCAAUGCACGGGAGAUCCUUCUAGUUCUAACUGCAAACAAUUCUUUUUUCUUAUGUGGAGUGACAUGACGGGCCACGUGCUACUACUCACAGAUGGUGGGCCCACCACUUUGCUACGUCUCUCUCCAGUUUCUAUAGUAGCAAGAUCAUGGAGUGCACACGCUACAUCUAUGGCUCGCCUGGAACUUCCACGACGUUGCAAUGCUUGACACUAGAUGCUAAGCCUAAUGCGAGGUGCACCAUGGAGUAUUGGCAUGUGAAGAUGGCGAUCGUUAACUUCAACACGCUCAAGAACCGAUUGCACAAUUGGAACAUGAUAGUCUAGCACAACAGUCUGCAAUACUUGACACAGGUCUUUGGCUUCGCCUACUAGCUGCUUGUCCGAUAUGACACAAUAAGUAACUUGCACCUACCUAUUUGCCUUUAAACAUUUCAAAACGUUCAUGUCUUUCUAUAUUGCAAUGCGCAUCAUCCUACUUUAUGUACAAAUUGCAUAAUAAAGCAUAAUGCAAUUGUCUCAUUUCAUUGACCAAUUGGAGAGCACAAACAAUUCUAGAAAGAAGUGACGAUUGAGGUGAAAAUGAGUACCAUUGUGGNNNNNNNNNNNNNNNNNNNNNNNNNNNNNNNNNNNNNNNNNNNNNNNNNNNNNNNNNNNNNNNNNNNNNNNNNNNNNNNNNNNNNNNNNNNNNNNNNNNNNNNNNNNNNNNNNNNNNNNNNNNNNNNNNNNNNNNNNNNNNNNNNNNNNNNNNNNNNNNNNNNNNNNNNNNNNNNNNNNNNNNNNNNNNNNNNNNNNNNNNNNNNNNNNNNNNNNNNNNNNNNNNNNNNNNNNNNNNNNNNNNNNNNNNNNNNNNNNNNNNNNNNNNNNNNNNNNNNNNNNNNNNNNNNNNNNNNNNNNNNNNNNNNNNNNNNNNNNNNNNAUGUACUUCAUAAUGACAUUUUACACACAUAUAGUAUAGAUCUAUAAGUACAUGUGUACUUAUUUUCAGAUUUUUUAUUGAAACUUAUUGGCUCUUGGGUUGCAUGGAGCCUAUAAUUUUAAAAAUAUCAAAAGUGACGUUUUGUUCUUCUUGUAACGGGAGCAUUCGAUUAGGUCAUAAACUACUACAAAAAGAAACUAUGGUUGUCUGACACCUUAGCACCCAUGUUGCUCAGCCUGGCGACCAACGUUAUCCUUUAGACCGCGUUCAAAGAUCUUGCUCGACCACCUAGCGCUUGCCCGGAAGUGCUUCAUCGUUGCAAGAUGGCUACUGAACAAGAUCUGUACUUGCCGAUGUGCUCUCGCUUGAAGCGAGUAAGAAUAUCCCUUUAAAGCAUCACUCUUUCGUGAGGCUAAUAACUUUCUUUUGCAGAUGACAUAUGACUGUUUUGGAUACUCCCUGAUACGUCUCCAACAUAUCUAUAAUUUUUAAUUGUUUCAUGCUAUUAUACUAUCAAUCUUGUAUGCUUUAUAUAUCGUCUUAUAUUGUUUUCGGGAAUUAACCUAUUAACUCAGUGUCCAGUGUCAGUUGUUGUUUUUUGCAUGUUUUUGGUUUUACAUAAAAUACAUACCAAACGGAGUCCAAAGAUGAUAAAACUUAUUGACGAUUUUUUCUGGACUAAAAAAGACCCCAUGAGCUUCAGGGUGAGACCAGACAAUGCACGAGGAAGCCACAAGACAGGGGGACGAUGCAUGAGGAAGCCACAAGCAAUGGAUUUUCUCGAAACCAUCGGAUGUGGAAGCUGGAACAAGCAAUCAUAUAUGCUAGAACUGGCGGUUGGAGAUGUUGCAUCUCGUGAUGUUUUUGUUGGAAAUAUGCCCUAGAGGCAAUAAUAAAAUGAUUAUUAUAUUUCCUUGUUCAUGAUAAUUGUCUAUUAUUCAUGCUAUAAUUGUAUUAUCUGGAAAUCAUAAUACAUGUGUGAAUACAUAGACCAUAAUGUGUCCCUAGUGAGCCUCUAGUUGACUAGCUCGUUGAUCAACAGAUAGUCAUGGUUUCCUGGCUAUGGACAUGGGGAUGUCAUUGAUAACGGGAUCACAUCAUUAGGAGAAUGAUGUGAUGGACAAGACCCAAACCUAAGCAUAGCACAAAGAUCGUGUAGUUCGUUUGUUGUAGCUUUUCUGGAUGUCAAGUAUCAUUUCCUUAGACCAUGAGAUUGUGCAACUCCCGGAUACCGUAGGAGUGCCUUGGGUGUGCCAAACGUCACAACGUAACUGGGUGACUAUAAAGGUACAUUACAGGUAUCUCCGGAAGUGUCUGUUGGGUUGGCACGAAUCGAGACUGGGAUUUGCCACUCCGUAUGAUGGAGAGGUAUCUCUGGGCCCACUCGGUAAUGCAUCAUCAUAAUGAGCUCAAUGUGAUCAAGUGGUUGAUCACGGGAUCAUGCAUUACGGUAUGAGUAAAGUGACUUGCCGGUAACGAGACUGAACAAGGUAUUGGGAUACCGAUGAUCGAGUCUCGGGCAAGUAACGUACCGAUUGACAAAGGGAAUUGAGUACGGGAUUGAUUAGGUCCUCAACAUCGUGGUACAUCCGAUGAGAUCAUCGAGGAGCAUGUGGGUGUUGGGGAACGUAGCAGAAAUUCAAAAUUUUCCUACGUGUCACCAAGAUCUAUCUAUGGAGAGACCAGCAACGAGGGGAAGAAGAGUGCAUCUACAUACCCUUGUAGAUCGCUAAGCGGAAGCGUUCAAGAGAACGGGGUUGAUGGAGUCGUACUCGUCGUGAUCCAAAUCACCGAUGAUCCUAGUGCCGAACGGACGGCACCUCCGCGUUCAACACACGUACAGCCCGGUGACAUCUCCCACGCCUUGAUCCAGCAAGGAGAGAGGGAGAGGUUGAGGAAGACUCCAUCCAGCAGCAGCACAACGGCGUGGUGGUGGUGGAGGAGCGUGGCAAUCCUGCAGGGCUUCGCCAAGCACCACGGGAUAUGAGGAGAAAGAGAGGGAGGGCUGCACCAAUAGGGAGAGAUCAAAUCGCGUGUAUUGGGCAGCCCCUAGGCCAAGUAUAUAUAGGGGAAGGGGAGGGGCUGCGCCCCCUUAGGGUUUCCACCCCUAGGGGUGGCGGCCAGCCUAGAUCCCAUCUAAGGGAGGCGGCCAAGGGGGAGGGGAAGAGGGAGGCGCACUAGGAUGGGCCUUAGGGCCCAUCUGCCCUAGGGUUUGCCCCCUUCUCCUCUCCCUUGCGCCUUGGGCCCUUGUGUGUGGGGGGGGGUGCACCAGCCCACUUGGGGCUGGUCCCCUUCCACACUUGGCCCAUGAAGCCCUCCGGGGCUGGUGGCCCCACUUGGUGGACCCCCGGGACCCUCCCGGUGGUCCCGGUACGUUACCAAUAAACCCCGAAACUUUUCCGGUGACCAAAACAGGACUUCCCAUAUAUAAAUCUUUACCUCCGGACCAUUCUAGAACUCCUCGUGACGUCCGGGAUCUCAUCCGGGACUCCGAACAACAUUCGGUAACCACAUACAAACUUCCUUUAUAACCCUAGCGUCAUCGAACCUUAAGUGUGUAGACCCUACGGGUUCGGGAACCAUGCAGACAUGACCAAGACGUUCUCCGGUCAAUAACCAACAGCGGGAUCUGGAUACCCAUGUUGGCUCCCACAUGUUCCACGAUGAUCUCAUCGGAUGAACCACGAUGUCAAGGACUUAAUCAAUCCCGUAUACAAUUCCCUUUGUCUAGCGGUACGAUACUUGCCCGAGAUUCGAUCGUCGGUAUCCCGAUACCUUGUUCAAUCUCGUUACCGGCAAGUCUCUUUACUCGUUCCAUAACACAUCAUCCCGUGAUCAACUCCUUGAUCACAUUGUGCACAUUAUGAUGAUGUCCUAUCGAGUGGGCCCAAAGACACCUCUCCGUCACACGGAGUGACAAAUCCCAGUCUCGAUUCGUGCCAACCCAACAGACACUUUCGGAGAUACCCGUAGUGUACCUUUAUAGCCACCCGGUUACGUUGUGACGUUUGGCACACCCAAAGCACUCCUACGGUAUCCGGGAGUUGCACAAUCUCAUGGUAUAAGGAAAUGAUACUUGACAUUAGAAAAGCUUUAGCAUACGAACUACACGAUCUAGUGCUAUGCUUAGGAUUGGGUCUUGUCCAUCACAUCAUUCUCCUAAUGAUGUGAUCUCGUUAUCAACGACAUCCAAUGUCCAUGGUCAGGAAACCGUAACCAUCUAUUGAUCAACGAGCUAGUCAACUAGAGGCUUACUAGGGACAUGGUGUUGUCUAUGUAUCCACACAUGUAUCUGAGUUUCCUAUCAAUACAAUUAUAGCAUGGAUAAUAAACGAUUAUCAUGAACAAGGAAAUAUAAUAAUAACUUAUUUAUUAUUGCCUCUUGGGCAUAUUUCCAACAGUCUCCCACUUGCACUAGAGUCAAUAAUCUAGUUCACAUCGCCAUGUGAUUAACACUCACAGGUCACAUCACCAUGUGACCAACACCCAAGAGUUUACUAGAGUCAGUAGUCUAGUUCACAUCACUAUGUGAUUAACACUCAAUGAGUUCUAGGUUUGAUCAUGUUGCUUGUGAGAGAGGUUUUAGUCAACGGGUCUGAACCUUUCAGAUCCGUGUGUGCUUUACAAAUCUCUAUGUCAUCUCCUAGAUGCAGCUACCACGCUCUAUUUGGAGCUAUUCCAAAUAACUGUUCUACUAUACGAAUCCAGUUUACUACUCAGAAUAAUCUGGAUUAGUGUCAAAGUUUGCAUCGGCGUAACCCUUUACGACGAACUCUUUUACCACCUCCAUAAUCGAGAAAAUUCCUUAGUCCACUAGUUACUAAGGAUAACUUUGACCGCUGUCCUGUGAUCCAUUCUUGGAUCACUCUUGUACCCCUUGACUGACUCAUCGCAAGGCACACUUCAGGUGCGGUACACAACAUAGCAUACUGUAGAGCCUAUGUCUUAAGCAUAGGGGACGUCCUUCGUCCUUUCUCUCUAUUCUUCCGUGGUCAGGUUUCGAGUCUUACUCAAUGUUCACACCUUAUAACACAGCCAAGAACUCCUUCUUUGCCGACCCAUUUUGAACUCCUUCAAAAUCUUGUCAAGGUAUGUGCUCAUUUGAAAGUUCCAUUAAGUGUUUUGAUAUAUCCUUAUAGAUCUUGAUGCUCAAUGCUCAAGUAGCUUAAUCCAGGCUUUCCAUUGAAAAACACUUUCCAAAUAACCCUAUAUGCUUUCCAGAAAUUCUACGUCACUUCUGAUCAACAAUAUGUCAACAACAUAUACUUAUCAGAAAUUCUAUAGUGCUCCCACUCUCUUCUUUGGAAAUACAAUUUUCUCAUAAACUUUGCAUACACCAAAAUCUUUGAUCAUAUCAUCAAAGCAUACAUUCCAACUCCGAGAUGCUUACUCCAGUCCUUAGAAGGAUAGCUGGAGCUUUACACACUUGUCAGCAUCUUUCAGGAUUAACAAAACCUUCCGGUUGUAUCACAUACAACCUUUCCUCAAGAAAAUCGUCGAGGAAACAAUGUUUUGACAUCCUAUCUGCAAGAUUUCAUAAAUAAUGCAGUAAUCGCUAACAUAAUUCCAACAGACUCUUAGCAUCGCUACGAGCGAGAAAGUCUCAUCGUAGUCAACUCCUUGAACUUGUAAGAAAACAUCUUAACGACAAGUCGAGCUUUCUUAAUGGUGAUACUUACCAUCAUUGUCCGUCUUCCUUUUUUAAAAUCCAUAUGUACCUAACAGCCUUACGACCAUCAAGUAGUUCUUCCAAAGUCUACACUUUGUUUUCAUAUAUGGAUCCUCUCUCGGAUUAUAUGGCCUCGAGCCAUUUAUCGGAAUCCGGGCCCACCAUCGCUUCUCCAUAACUCGUAGGUUCAUUGUUGUCUAGCAACAUGACUUCCAAGACAGGAUUACGUACCACUCUGAAGUAGCACGCAUCCUUGUCAUCCCACGAGGUUUGGUAGUGACUUGAUCUGAAGUUUCAUGAUCACUAUCAUAAGCUUCCACUUCAAUUGGUGUAGGUGCCACAGGAACAAUUCUUUGUGCCCUGCUAUACACUAGUUGAACUGACGGUUCAAUAACCUCAUCAAGUCUCCAUCAUCCUCCCACUCAAUUCUUUCGAGAGAAACUUUUCCUCGAGAAAGGACCUGAUUCUAGAAACAAUCCCUUAUUGCUUUCAGAUCUGAGACAGGAGGUAUACCCAACUGUUUUGGGUGUCUUAUGAAGAUGCAUUUAUCCGCUUUGGGUUCGAGCUUAUCAGCCUGAAACUUUUUCACAUAAGCGUCGCAGCCCCAAACUUUUAAGGAAUGACAGCUUAGGUUUCUCUAAACCAAAGUUCAUACGGUGUCAUCUCAUCGGAAUUAUGUGGUGCCCUAUUUAAAGUGAAUGUGGUUGUCUCUAAUGCCUAACCCAUAAACUAUCGUGGUAAUUCGAUAAGAGACAUCAUGGUAUGCAUCAUAUCCAAUAGGGUGUAGUUAGGAUGUUCGGACACACCAUCACACUAUGGUGUUCCAGGCUGUAUUAGUUGUGAAACAAUUUCCACAAUGUCUUAAUUCUGUGCCAAACUCGUAAUUCAGAUAUUCAUCUCUAUGAUCAUAUCAUAGAUAUUUUAUCCUCUUGUCACGACGAUCUUUCAACUUCACCCUGAAAUUACUUGAACCUUUCAAUAAUUCAGACUCGUGAUUCAUCAAGUAAAUAUACUCAACAUCUACUCAAAUCAUCUGUGAGGUAAGAACAUAACGAUAUCCACUACAUGCCUCAACACUCAUUGGACUGCACACAUCAAAAUGUAUUACUUCCAACAAGUUGCUUUCUAGUUCCAUUUUACUGAAAACAAGGCUUUCAGUCAUCUUGCCCAUGUGGUAUGAUUUGCAUGUCUCAAGUGAUUCAAAAUCAAGUGAGUCCAAACGGUCCAUUUGCAUGGAGUUUCUUCAUGCAUAUACACCAAUAGACAUGGUUCGCAUGUCUCAAACUUUUCAAAAACGAGUGAGCCCAAAGAUCCAUCAACAUGGAGCUUCUUCAUGCAUUUUAUACCGAUAUGACUUACGUGGCAGUGCCACAAGUAGGUGGUACUAUCAUUACUACCUUAUAUCUUUUGGCAUGAACAUGUGUAUCACUACGAUCGAGAUUCAAUAAACCAUUCAUUUUAGGUCCAAGACCAUUAAAGGUAUUAUUCAAAUAAACAGAGUAACCAUUAUUCUCCUUAAAUGAAUAACCGUAUUGCGAUAGACAUAAUCUAAUCAUGUUUAUGCUCAACGCAAACACCAAAUAACAAUUAUUUAGGUUUAACACCAAUCUCGAUGGUAGAGGGAGCGUGCGAUGCUUGAUCAUAUCAACAUUGGAAACACUUCCAACACAUAUCGUCAGCUCACUUUUAGCUAGUCUCCGUUUAUUCCGUAGCUUUUAUUUCGAGUUACUAACACUUAGCAACCGAACCGGUAUCUAAUACCCUGGUGCUACUAGGAGUACUAGUAAAGUGCACAUCAACACAAUGUAUAUCCAAUAUACUUCUAUCGACCUUGGCAGCCUUCUCAUCUACCAAGUAUCUAGGGUAAUUCUGCUCCAGUGGCUGUUCCCCUUAUUACAAAAGCACUUAGUCUCGGGUUGAAGGAAAUAUGCCCUAGAGGCAAUAAUAAAGUUAUUAUUUAUUUCCUUAUAUCAUGGUAAAUGUUUAUUAUUCAUGCCAGAAUUGUAUUAACCGGAAACAUAAUACAUGUGUGAAUACAUAGACAAACAAAGUGUCACUAGUAUGCCUCUACUAGACUAGCUCGUUAAUCAAAGAUGGUUAAGUUUCCUAACCAUGAACAAGGAGUUGUUAUUUGAUUAACGAGGUCACAUCAUUAGUUGAAUGAUCUGAUUGACAUGACCCAUUCCAUUAGCUUAGCACCCGAUCGUUUAGUAUGUUGCUAUUGCUUUCUUCAUGACUUAUACAUGUUCCUAUGACUAUGAGAUUAUGCAACUCCCGUUUGCCGGAGGAACACUUUGUGUGCUACCAAACGUCACAACGUAACUGGGUGAUUAUAAAGGAGCUCUACAGGUGUCUCCAAUGGUAGAUGUUGGGUUGGCGUAUUUCGAGAAUAGGAUUUGUCACUCCGAUUGUCGGAGAGGUAUCUCUGGGCCCUCUCGGUAAUGCACAUCACUUAAGCCUUGCAAGCGUUGCAACUAAUAAGUUAGUUGCGGGAUGAUGUAUUACGGAACGAGUAAAGAGACUUGCCGGUAACAAGAUUGAACUAGGUAUUGGAUACCGACGAUCGAAUCUCGGGCAAGUAACAUACCGAUGACAAAGGGAACAAUGUAUGUUGUUAUGCGGUCUGACCAAUAAAGAUCUUCGUAGAAUAUGUAGGAGCCAAUAUGGGCAUCCAGGUCCCGCUAUUGGUUAUUGACCGGAGAAGUGUCUCGGUCAUGUCUACAUUGUUCUCGAACCGUAGGGUCCGCACGCUUAACGUUACGAUGACAGUUAUUAUGAGUUUAUGCAUUUUGAUGUACCGAAGGUUGUUCAGAGUCCCGGAUGUGAUCAUGGACAUGACGUGGAGUCUCGAAAUGGUCGAGACAUAAAGAUUGAUCUAUUGGAAGCCUAUAUUUGGAUAUCGGAAGUGUUCCGGGUGAAAUCGGGAUUUUACCGGAUUACCGGGAGGUUACCGGAACCCCCCGGGAGCCAUAUGGGCCUUCAUGGGCCUUAGUGGAAAGGAGAAAAGGGGCAGCCCAUAGGUGGCCGCGCGCCCCCCUUCCCUUAGUCCUAUUAGGACUAGGAGAAGGGGCCGGCCCCCCUCUCUCUCUUUCCCCCUUGGGAAUCCUAGUUGGAAUAGGAUUGAGGGGGGGAGUCCUACUCCCGGUAGGAGUAGGACUCCUCCUGCGCCCUCUCCCUGGCCGGCGCACCCCUCCCCCUUGGAUCCUUUAUAUACGGGGGCAGGGGGCACCUCUAGACACACAAGUUGAUCAUUGAGAUCGUUCCUUAGCCGUGUGCGGUGCCCCGUGCCACCAUAUUCCACCUCGAUCAUAUCGUUGUAGUGCUUAGGCGAAGCCCUGCGUCGGUAGUACAUCAAGAUCGUCACCACGCCGUCGUGCUGACGGAACUCUUCCUCAAUGCUUUGCUGGAUCAGAGCUCGAGGAUCGUCAUCGAGCUGAACGUGUGCUAAGAACUUGGAGGUGCCGGAGUAACGGUGCUUGGAUCGGUCGGAUCGGGAAGACGUAUGACUACUUCCUCUAUGUUGUGUGAUCGCUUCCGCAGUCGGUCUGCGUUGGUACGUAGACAACACUCUCCCCUCUCGUUGCUAUGCAUCACCAUGAUCUUGCGUGUGCGUAGGAAAUUUUUUGAAAUUGCUACGUUCCCCAACAGUGGCAUCCGAGCCUAGGUUUUAUGGUUUGAUGUUAUUUGCACGAGUAGAACACAAGUGAGUUGUGGGCGAUACAAGUCAUACUGCCUACCAGCAUGUCAUACUUUGGUUCGGCGGUAUUGUUGGACGAGACGACCCGGACCAACCUUACGCGUAUGCUUACGCGAGACCGGUUCCCUCGACGUGCUUUGCACAUAGAUGGCUUGCGGACGACUGUCUCUCCAACUUUAGUUGAACCAAGUGUGGCUAUGCCCGGUCCUUGAGAAGGUUAAAACGGAGUCUAUUUGACAAACUAUCAUUGUGGUUUUGAUGCGUAGGUGAGAUGAGUUCUUGCUUAAGCCCGUAGCAGCCACGUAAAACUUGCAACAACAAAGUAGAGGACGUCUAACUUAUUUUUGCAGGGCAUGUUGUGAUGUGAUAUGGUCAAGGCAUGAUGCUAAAUUUUAUUGUAUGAGAUGAUCAUGUUUUGUAACCAAGUUAUCGGCAACUGGCAGGAGCCAUAUGGUUGUCGCUUUAUUGUAUGCAAUGCAAUCGCGAUGUAAUGCUUUACUUUAUUACUAAGCGGUAGUGAUAGUCGUGGAAGCAUAAGAUUGGCGAGACGACAACGAUGCUACGAUGGAGAUCAAGGUGUCGCGCCGGUGACGAUGGUGAUCAUGACGGUGCUUCGGAGAUGGAGAUCACAAGCACAAGAUGAUGAUGGCCAUAUCAUAUCACUUAUAUUGAUUGCAUGUGAUGUUUAUCCUUUCAUGCAUCUUAUCUUGCUUUGAUUGACGGUAGCCUUAUAAGAUGAUCUCUUACUAAAUUAUCAAGAAGUGUUCUCCCUGAGUAUGCACCGUUGCCAAAGUUCGUCGUGCCCAGACACCACGUGAUGAUCGGGUGUGAUAAGCUCUACGUCCAUCUACAACGGGUGCAAGCCAGUUUUGCACACGCAGAAUACUCAGGUUAAACUUGACAAGCCUAGCAUAUGCAGAUAUGGCCUCGGAACACAGAGACCGAAAGGUCGAGCGUGAAUCAUAUAGUAGAUAUGAUCAACAUAACGAUGUUCACCAUUGAAAACUACUCCAUCUCACGUGAUGAUCGGUUAUGGUUUAGUUGAUUUGGAUCACGUGAUCACUUAGAGGAUUAGAGGGAUGUCUAUCUAAGUGGGAGUUCUUAAGUAAUUUGAUUAACUGAACUUAAACUUAUCAUGAACUUAGUACCUGAUAGUAUCUUGCUUGUUUAUGUUGAUUGUAGAUAGAUGGCUCGUGCUGUUGUUCCGUUGAAUUUUAAUGCGUUCCUUGAGAAAGCAAAGUUGAAAGAUGAUGGUAGCAAUUACACGGACUGGGUCCGUAACUUGAGGAUUAUCCUCAUUGCUGCUCAGAAGAAUUACGUCCUGAAAGCACCACUGGGUGCCAGGCCUGCUGCUGGAGCAACACCAGAUGUUAUGAACGUCUGGCAGAGCAAAGCUGAUGACUACUCGAUAGUUCAGUGUGCCAUGCUUUAUGGCUUAGAAUCGGGACUUCAACGACGUUUUGAACGUCAUGGAGCAUAUGAGAUGUUCCAGGAGUUUAAGUUAAUAUUUCAAGCAAAUGCCCGAAUUGAGAGAUAUGAAGUCUCCAAUAAGUUCUAUAGCUGCAAGAUGGAGGAGAACAGUUCUGUCAGUGAGCAUAUACUCAAAAUGUCUGGGUAUAAUAAUCACUUGAUUCAGAUGGGAGUUAAUCUUCCAGAUGAUUGCGUCAUUGACAGAAUUCUCCAAUCACUGCCACCAAGCUAUAAGAGCUUCGUGAUGAACUAUAAUAUGCAAGGGAUGAACAAGACUAUUCCCGAGCUCUUCGCGAUGCUAAAAGCUGCGGAGGUAGAAAUCAAGAAGGAGCAUCAAGUGUUGAUGGUCAACAAGACCACUAGUUUCAAGAAAAAGGGCAAAGGGAAGAAGAAGGGGAACUUCAAAAAGAACAGCAAGCAAGUUGCUGCUCAGGAGAAGAAGCCCAAGUCUGGACCUAAGCCUGAAACUGAUUGCUUCUACUGCAAGCAGACUGGUCACUGGAAGCGGAACUACCCCAAGUAGUUGGCGGAUAAGAAGGAUGGCAAGGUGAACAAAGGUAUAUGUGAUAUACAUGUUAUUGAUGUGUACCUUACUAGAGCUCGCAGUAGCACCUGGGUAUUUGAUACUGGUUCUGUUGCUAAUAUUUGCAACUCGAAACAGGGACUACGGAUUAAGCGAACACUGGCAAAGGACGAGGUGACGAUGCGCGUGGGAAACGGUUCCAAAGUUGAUGUGAUCGCGGUCGGCACGCUACCUCUACAUCUACCUUCGGGAUUAAUAUUAGACCCAAAUAAUUGUUAUUUGGUGCCAGCGUUAAGCAUGAACAUUAUAUCUGGAUCUUGUUUGAUGCGAGACGGUUAUUCAUUUAAAUCAGAGAAUAAUGGUUGUUCUAUUUAUAUGAGUAAUAUCUUUUAUGGUCACGCACCUUUGAAGAGUGGUCUAUUUUUGAUGAAUCUCGAUAGUAGUAAUACACAUAUUCAUAAUGUUGAAACCAAAAGAUGCAGAGUUGAUAAUGAUAGUGCAACUUAUUUGUGACACUGUCGUUUAGGUCAUAUCGGUAUAAAGCGCAUGAAGAAACUCCAUACUGAUGGGCUUUUGGAACCACUUGAUUAUGAAUCACUUGGUACUUGCGAACCGUGCCUCAUGGGCAAGAUGACUAAAACACCGUUCUCCGGUACUAUGGAGAGAGCAACAGAUUUGUUGGAAAUCAUACAUACCGAUGUAUGUGGUCUGAUGAAUAUUGAGGCUCGUGGCGGAUAUCGUUAUUUUCUCACUUUCACAGAUGAUUUAAGCAGAUAUGGAUAUAUCUACUUAAUGAAACAUAAGUCUGACACAUUUGAAAAGUUCAAAGAAUUUCAGAGUGAAGUUGAAAAUCAUCGUAACAAGAAAAUAAAGUUUCUACGAUCUGAUCGUGGAGGAGAAUAUUUGAGUUACGAGUUUGGUGUACAUUUGAAAAAUUGUGGAAUAGUUUUGCAACUCACGCCACCCGGAACACCACAGCGUAAUGGUGUGUUCGAACGUCGUAAUCGUACUUUACUAGAUAUGGUGCGAUCUAUGAUGUCUCUUACUGAUUUACCGCUAUCGUUUUGGGGUUAUGCUUUAGAGACGGCCGCAUUCACGUUAAAUAGGGCACCAUCAAAAUCCGUUGAGACGACGCCUUAUGAACUAUGGUUUGGCAAGAAACCAAAGUUGUCGUUUCUUAAAGUUUGGGGCUGCGAUGCUUAUGUGAAAAAGCUUCAACCUGAUAAGCUCGAACCCAAAGCGGAGAAAUGUGUCUUCAUAGGAUACCCAAAGGAGACUGUUGGGUACACCUUCUAUCACAGAUUCGAAGGCAAGAUAUUCGUUGCUAAGAAUGGAUCAUUUCUAGAGAAGGAGUUUCUCUCGAAAGAAGUGAGUGGGAGGAAAGUAGAACUUGACGAGGUAACUGUACCUGCUCCCUUAUUGGAAAGUAGUACAUCACAGAAAACUGUUUCUGCGACACCUAUACCAAUUAGUGAGGAAGCUAAUGAUGAUGAUCAUGAAACUUCAGGACAAGAUACUACUGAACCUCGUAGAUCAACCAGAGUGAGAUCCGCACCAGAGUGGUACAGUAAUCCAAUUCUGGAAGUCAUGCUACUAGAUCAUGAUGAACCUAUGAACUAUGAAGAAGCGAUGGUGAGCCCAGAUUCCGCAAAGUGGCUUGAAGCCAUGAAAUCUGAGAUGGGAUCCAUGUAUGAGAACAAAGUAUGGACUUUGGUUGACUUGCCCGAUGAUCGGCAAGCAAUUGAGAAUAAAUGGAUCUUCAAGAAAAAGACUGACGCUGACGGUAAUAUUACUGUCUAUAAAGCUCGACUUGUCGCAAAAGGUUUUCGACAAGUUCAAGGGGUUGACUACGAUGAGACCUUCUCACCCGUAGCGAUGCUUAAGUCUGUCAGAAUCAUGUUAGCAAUUGCCGCAUUUUAUGAUUAUGAAAUUUGGCAGAUGGAUGUCAAAACUGCAUUCCUGAAUGGAUUUCUGGAAGAAGAGUUGUAUAUGAUGCAACCGGAAGGUUUUGUCGAUCCAAAGGGAGCUAACAAAGUGUGCAAGCUCCAGCGAUUCAUUUAUGGACUGGUGCAAGCCUCUCGGAGUUGGAAUAAAUGCUUUGAUAGUGUGAUCAAAGCAUUUGGUUUUAUACAGACUUUUGGAGAAGCCUGUAUUUACAAGAAAGUGAGUGGGAGCUCUGUAGCAUUUCUGAUAUUAUAUGUGGAUGACAUAUUGCUGAUUGGAAAUGAUAUAGAAUUUCUGGAUAGCAUAAAGGGAUACUCGAAUAAAAGUUUUUCGAUGAAAGACCUCGGGGAAGCUGCUUACAUAUUAGGCAUAAAGAUCUAUAGAGAUAGAUCAAGACGCUUAAUUGGACUUUCACAAAGCACAUACCUUGACAAGAUUUUGAAGAAGUUCAAAAUGGAUCAAGCAAAGAAAGGAUUCUUGCCUGUGUUACAAGGUGUGAAGUUGAGUCAGACUCAAUGCCCGACCACUGCAGAAGAUAGAGAAAAAAAUGAAAGAUGUUCCCUAUGCUUCAGCCAUAGGCUCUAUCAUGUAUGCAAUGCUGUGUACCAGACCUGAUGUGUGCCUUGCUAUAAGUUUAGCAGAGAGGUACCAAAGUAAUCCAGGAGUGGAUCACUGUACAGCGGUCAAGAACAUCCUGAAAUACCUGAAAAGGACUAAGGAUAUGUUUCUCGUGUAUGGAGGUGACAAAGAGCUCACCGUAAGAGGUUACAUUGAUGCAAGCUUUGACACUGAUCCGGACGAUUCUAAAUCGCAAACCGGAUACGUGUUUAGUUUAAACGGUGGAGCUGUCAGUUGGUGCAGUUCUAAACAAAGCGUCGUAGCGGGAUCUACAUGUGAAGCGGAGUACAUAGCUGCUUCAGAAGCAGCGAACGAAGGAGUCUGGAUGAAGGAGUUCAUAUCCGAUCUAGGUGUCAUACCUAGUGCAUCGGGUCCAAUGAAAAUCUUUUGUGACAAUACUGGUGCAAUUGCUUUGGCAAAGGAAUCCAGAUUUCACAAGAGAACCAAACACAUCAAGAGACGCUUCAAUUCCAUCCGGGAUCUAGUCCAGGUGGGAGACAUAGAGAUUUGCAAGAUACAUACGGAUCUGAAUGUUGCAGACCCGUUGACUAAGCCUCUUCCGAGCAAAACAUGAUCAGCACCAAGGCUCCAUGGGUGUUAGAAUCAUUACUGUGUAAUCUAGAUUAUUGACUCUAGUGCAAGUGGGAGACUGAAGGAAAUAUGCCCUAUAGGCAAUAAUAAAGUUAUUAUUUAUUUCCUUAUAUCAUGAUAAAUGUUUAUUAUUCAUGCUAGAAUUGUAUUAACCGGAAACAUAAUACAUGUGUGAAUACAUAGACAAACAGAGUGUCACUAGUAUGCCUCUACUAGACUAGCUCGUUAAUCAAAGAUGGUUAAGUUUCCUAACCAUGAACAAGGAGUUGUUAUUUGAUUAACGAGGUCACAUCAUUAGUUGAAUGAUCUGAUUGACAUGACCCAUUUGAAGGAAACAUGCCCUAGAGCCAAUAAUAAAGUUAUUAUUUAUUUCCUUAAAAUCAUGAUAAGUGUUUAUUAUUCAUGCUAGAAUUAUAUUAACCGGAAACAUAAUACAUAUGUGAAUACAUAGACAAAACAGAGUGUCACUAGUAUGCCUCUACUAGACUAGCUCGUUAAUCAAAGAUGGUUAUGUUUCCUAACCAUGAACAAAGAGUUGUUAUUUGAUUAACGAGGUCACAUCAUUAGUUGAAUGAUCUGAUUGACAUGACCCAUUCCAUUAGCUUAGCACCCGAUCGUUUAGUAUGUUGCUAUUGCUUUCUUCAUGACUUAUACAUGUUCCUAUAACUAUGAGAUUAUGCAACUCCCGUUUACCGGAGGAACACUUUGGGUACUACCAAACGUCACAACAUAACUGGGUGAUUAUAAAGGAGUACUACAGGUGUCUCCAAUGGUAGAUGUUGGGUUGGCGUAUUUCGAGAUUAGGGUUUGUCACUCCGAGUGUCGGAGAGGUAUCUCUGGGUCCUCUCGGUAAUACACAUCACAUAAGCCUUGCAAGCAUUAUAACUAAGAUGUUAGUUGUGAGAUGAUGUAUUACGGAACGAGUAAAGAGACUUGCCAGUAACAAAAUUGAACUAGGUAUUGGAUACCGACGAUCGAAUCUCGGGCAAGUAACAUACCGAUGACAAAGGGAACAACGUAUGUUGUUAUGCGGUCUGACCGAUAAAGAUCUUCGUAGAAUAUGUAGGAGCCAAUAUGGGCAUCCAGGUCCCGCUAUUGGUUAUUGACCGGAGACGUGUCUCGGUCAUGUCUACAUUGUUCUCGAACCGUAGGGUCCGCACGCUUAACGUUACGAUGACAGUUAUUAUGAGUUUAUGCAUUUUGAUGUACCGAAGGUUGUUCGGAGUCCCGGAUGUGAUCACGGACAUGACGAGGAGUCUCGAAAUGGUCGAGACAUAAAGAUUGAUAUAUUGGAAGCCUAUGUUUGUGAAGGAAAUAUGCCCUAGAGGCAAUAAUAAAGUUAUUAUUUAUUUCCUUAUAUCAUGAUAAAUGUUUAUUAUUCAUGCUAGAAUUGUAUUAACCGGAAACAUAAUACAUGUGUGAAUACAUAGACAAACAGAGUGUCACUAGUAUGCCUCUACUUGACUAGCUCGUUAAUCAAAGAUGGUUAUGUUUCCUAACCAUGAACAAAGAGUUGUUAUUUGAUUAACGAGGGCACAUCAUUAGUUGAAUGAUCUGAUUGACAUGACCCAUUCCAUUAGCUUAGCACCCGAUCGUUUAGUAUGUUGCUAUUGCUUUCUUCAUGACUUAUACAUGUUCCUAUAACUAUGAGAUUAUGCAACUCCCGUUUACCGGAGGAACACUUUGGGUACUACCAAACGUCACAACGUAACUGGGUGAUUAUAAAGGAGUACUACAGGUGUCUCCAAUGGUAGAUGUUGGGUUGGCGUAUUUCGAGAUUAGGGUUUUGUCACUCCGAUUGUCGGAGAGGUAUCUCUGGGCCCUCUUGGUAAUACACAUCACAUAAGCCUUGCAAGCAUUAUAACUAAGAUGUUAGUUAUGAGAUGAUGUAUUACGGAACGAGUAAAGAGACUUGCCUAUAACGAGAUUGAACUAGGUAUUGGAUACCGACGAUCGAAUCUUGGGCAAGUAACAUACCGAUGACAAAGGGAACAACGUAUGUUGUUAUGCGGUCUGACCGAUAAAGAUCUUCGUGGAAUAUGUAGGAGCCAAUAUGGGCAUCCAGGUCCCGCUAUUGGUUAUUGACCGGAGACGUGUCUCGGUCAUGUCUACAUUGUUCUCGAACCGUAGGGUCCGCACGCUUAACGUUACGAUGACAGUUAUUAUGAGUUUAUGCAUUUUGAUGUACCGAAGGUUGUUCGGAGUCCCGGAUGUGAUCACGAACAUGACGAGGAGUCUCGAAAUGGUCGAGACGUAAAGAUUGAUAUAUUGGAAGGCUAUGUUUGGACAUCGGAAGUAUUCCGGGUGAAAUCGGGAUUUUACCAGAAUACCGGGAGGGUUACCGGAACCCCCCGGGAGGCAAAUGGGCCUAUUGGGCCUUAGUGGAAAAGAGAAAAGGGGCAGCCCAUAGCUGGCCGCGCCCCCUCCCUUCCCCAAGUCCUAUUAGGACUAGGAGAAGGGGUCGGCCCCCCUCUCUCUCCUUUCCCCCUUGGGAGUCCUAGUUGGAAUAGGAUUGAGGGGGGGAGUCCUACUCCCGGUAGGAGUAGGACUCCUCCCGCGCGCUCUCCUUGACCGGCCGAACCCCUCCCCUUGCUCCUUUAUAUAUGGGGGCAGGGGGCACCCCAUAGACAGACGAUUGAUCAUUGUUGAUCGUUCCUUAGCCGUGUGCGGUGCCCCCUGCCACCAAAAUCCACCUCGAUCAUACUGUUGUAGUGCUUAGGCGAAGCCCUGCGUCGGUAGUACAUCAAGAUCGUCACCACGCCGUCGUGCUGACGGAACUCUUCCUCGACGCUUUGCUGGAUCGGAGCCCGAGGAUCGUCAUCGAGUUGAACGUGUGCUAAGAACUCGGAGGUGCCGGAGUAACGGUGCUUGGAUCGGUCGGAUCGGGAAGACGUACGACUACUUCCUCUACAUUGUGUGAUCGCUUCCGCAGUCGGUCUGCGUCGGUACGUAGAUAACACUCUCCCCUCUCGUUGCUAUGCAUCACCAUGAUCUUGCGUGUGCGUAGGAAAAUUUUCGAAAUUACUACGUUCCCCAACAGUGGCAUCCGAGCCUAGGUUUUAUGGUUUGAUGUUAUUUGCACGAGUAGAACACAAGUGAGUUGUGGGCGAUACAAGUCAUACUGCCUACCAGCAUGUCAUACUUUGGUUCGGCGGUAUUGUUGGACGAGACGAUCCGGACCAACCUUACGCGUACUCUUACGCGAGACCGGUUCCCUCGACGUGCUUUGCACAUAGAUGGCUUGCGGAAGAUUGUCUCUCCAACUUUAGUUGAACCAAGUGUGGCUACGCCCGGUCCUUGAGAAGGUUAAAACAGAGUCUAUUUGACGAACUAUCAUUGUGGUUUUGAUGCGUAGGUGAGAUGAGUUCUUACUUAAGCCCGUAGCAGCCACGUAAAACUUGCAACAACAAAGUAGAGGACGUCUAACUUGUUUUUGCAGGGCAUGUUGUGAUGUGAUAUGGUCAAGGCAUGAUGCUGAUUUUAUUGUAUGAGAUGAUCAUGUUUUGUAACCAAGUUAUCGGCAACUGGCAGGAGCCAUAUGGUUGUCGCUUUAUUGUAUGCAAUGCAAUCGCGAUGUAAUGCUUUACUUUAUUACUAAGCGGUAGUGAUAGUCGUAGAAGCAUAAGAUUGGCGAGACCACAAUGAUGCUACGAUGGAGAUCAAGGUGUCGCGCCGGUGACGAUGGUGAUCAUGACGGUGCUUCGGAGAUGGAGAUCACAAGCACAAGAUGAUGAUGGCCAUAUCAUAUCACUUGUAUUGAUUGCACGUGAUGUUUAUCCUUUUAUGCAUCUUAUCUUGCUUUGAUUGACGGUAGCAUUAUAAGAUGAUCUCUCACUAAAUUAUCAUGAAGUGUUCUCCCUGAGUAUGCACCAUUGCCAAAGUUCGUCGUGCCCAGACACCACGUGAAGGUCGGGUGUGAUAAGCUCUAUGUCCAUCUACAACGGGUGCAAGCCAGUUUUGCACACGCAGAAUACUCAGGUUAAACUUGAUGAGCCUAGCAUAUGCAGAUAUGGCCUCAGAACACAGAGACCGAAAGGUCGAGCGUGAAUCAUAUAGUAGAUAUGAUCAACAUGACGAUGUUCACCAUUGAAAACUACUCCAUCUCACGUGAUGAUCGGUCAUGGUUUAGUUGAUUUGGAUCACGUGAUCACUUAGAGGAUUAGAGGGAUGUCUAUCUAAGUGGGAGUUCCUAAGUAAUUUGAUUAACUGAACUUAAACUUAUCAUGAACUUAGUACCUGAUAGUAUCUUGCUUGUUUAUGUUGAUUGUAGAUAGAUGGCUCGUGCUAUUGUUCCGUUGAAUUUUAAUGCGUUCCUUGAGAAAGCAAAGUUGAAAGAUGAUGGUAGCAAUUACACGGACUGGGUCCGUAACCUGAGGAUUAUCCUCAUUGCUGCACAGAAGAAUUACGUCCUGGAAGCACCGCUAGGUGCCAGGCCUGCUGCUGGAGCAACACCAGAUGUUAUGAACGUCUGGCAGAGCAAAGCUGAUGACUACUCGAUAGUUCAGUGUGCCAUGCUUUACGGCUUAGAAUCGGGACUUCAACGACGUUUUGAACGUCAUGGAGCAUAUGAGAUGUUCCAGGAGUUGAAGUUAAUAUUUCAAGCAAAUGCCCGAAUUGAGAGAUAUGGAGUCUCCAAUAAGUUCUAUAGCUGCAAGAUGGAGGAGAACAGUUCUGUCAGUGAGCAUAUACUCAAAAUGUCUGGGUAUAAUAAUCACUUGAUUCAGAUGGGAGUUAAUCUUCCAGAUGAUUGCGUCAUUAACAGAAUUCUCCAAUCACUGCCACCAAGCUACAAGAGCUUCGUGAUGAACUAUAAUAUGCAAGGGAUGAACAAGACUAUUCCCGAGCUCUUCGCAAUGCUGAAAGCUGCGGAGGUAGAAAUCAAGAAGGAGCAUCAAGUGUUGAUGGUCAACAAGACCACUAGUUUCAAGAAAAAGGGCAAAGGGAAGAAGAAGGGGAACUUCAAGAAGAACAGCAAGCAAGUUGCUGCUCAGGAGAAGAAGCCCAAGUCUGGACCCAAGCCUGAAACUGAGUGCUUCUACUGCAAGCAGACUGGUCACUGGAAGCGGAACUGCCCCAAGUAUUUGGCGGAUAAGAAGGAUGGCAAGGUGAACAAAGGUAUAUGUGAUAUACAUGUUAUAGAUGUGUACCUUACUAGAGCUCGCAGUAGCACCUGGGUAUUUGAUACUGGUUCUGUUGCUAAUAUUUGCAACUCAAAACAGGGACUACGGAAUAAGCGGACGCUAGCAAAGGACGAGGUGACGAUGCGCGUGGGAAACGGUUCCAAAGUCGAUGUGAUCGCGGUCGGCACGCUACCUCUACAUCUACCUUCGGGAUUAAUAUUAGACCUAAAUAAUUGUUAUUUGGUGCCAGCGUUGAGCAUGAACAUUAUAUCUGGAUCUUGUUUAAUGCGAGACGGUUAUUCAUUUAAAUCAGAGAAUAAUGGUUGUUCUAUUUAUAUGAGUAAUAUCUUUUAUGGUCAUGCACCUUUGAAGAGUGGUCUAUUCUUGUUGAAUCUCGAUAGUAGUGAUACACAUAUUCAUAAUGUAGAAGCCAAAAGAUGCAGAGUUGAUAAUGAUAGUGCAACUUAUUUGAGGCACUGCCGUUUAGGUCAUAUCGGUGUAAAGCGCAUGAAGAAACUCCAUAUUGAUGGGCUUUUGGAACCACUUGAUUAUGAAUCACUUGGUACUUGCGAACCGUGCCUCAUAGGCAAGAUGACUAAAACACCGUUCUCCGGUACUAUGGAGAGAGCAACAGAUUUAUUGGAAAUCAUACAUACCGAUGUAUGUGGUCCGAUGAAUAUUGAGGCUCGUGGCGGAUAUCGUUAUUUUCUCACCUUCACAGAUGAUUUAAGCAGAUAUGGGCAUAUCUACUUAAUGAAACAUAAGUCUGAAACAUUUGAAAAGUUCAAGGAAUUUCAAAGUGAAGUUGAAAAUCAUCAUAACAAGAAAAUAAAGUUUCUACGAUCUGAUCGUGGAGGAGAAUAUUUGAGUUACGAGUUUGGUGUACAUUUGAAAAAUUGUGGAAUAGUUUCGCAACUCACGCCACCCGGAACACCACAACGUAAUGGUGUGUCCGAAUGUCGUAAUCGUACUUUACUAGAUAUGGUGCGAUCUAUGAUGUCUCUUACUGAUUUACCGCUAUCAUUUUGGGGUUAUGCUUUAGAGACGGCCACAUUCACGUUAAAUAGGGCACCAUCAAAAUCCGUUGAGAUGACGCCUUAUGAACUAUGGUUUGGCAAGAAACCAAAGUUGUCGUUUCUUAAAGUUUGGGGCUGCGAUGCUUAUGUGAAAAAGCUUCAACCUGAUAAGCUCGAACCCAAAGUGGAGAAAUGUGUCUUCAUAGGAUACCCAAAGGAAACUGUUGGGUAUACCUUCUAUCACAGAUCCGAAGGCAAGACAUUCGUUGCUAAGAAUGGAUCAUUUCUAGAGAAGGAGUUUCUCUCGAAAGAAGUGAGUGGGAGGAAAGUAGAACUUCACGAGGUAACUGUACCUGCUCCCUUAUUGGAAAAUGGUACAUCACAGAAAACUUUUUCUGCGACACCUAUACCAAUUAGUGAGGAAGCUAAUGAUGAUGAUCAUGAAACUUCAGGACAAGAUACUACUGAACCACGUAGAUCAACCAGAGUGAGAUCCCACCAGAGUGGUACGGUAAUCCAGUUCUGGAAGUCAUGCUACUAGAUCAUGAUGAACCUACGAACUAUGAAGAAGCGAUGGUGAGCCCAGAUUCCGCAAAGUGGCUUGAGGCCAUGAAAUCUGAGAUGGGAUCCAUGUAUGAGAACAAAGUAUGGACUUUGGUUGACUUGCCCGAUGAUCGGCAAGCAAUUAAGAAUAAAUGGAUCUUCAAGAAUAAGACUGACGCUGACGGUAAUGUUACUGUCUAUAAAGCUCGACUUGUCGCAAAAGGUUUUCGACAAGUUCAAGGGGUUGACUACGAUGAGACCUUCUCACCCGUAGCUAUGCUUAAGUCCGUCAGAAUCAUGUUAGCAAUUGCCGCAUUUUAUGAUUAUGAAAUAUGGCAGAUGGAUGUCAAAACUGCAUUCCUGAAUGGAUUUCUGGAAGAAGAGUUGUAUAUGGUACAACCAGAAGGUUUUGUCGAUCCAAAAGGAGCUAACAAAGUAUGCAAACUCCAGCGAUCCAUUUAUGGACUGGUGCAAGCAUCUCGGAGUUGGAAUAAACGCUUUGAUAGUGUGAUCAAAGCAUUUGGCUUUAUACAGACUUUUGGAGAAGCCUGUAUUUACAAGAAAGUGAGUGGGAGCUCUGUAGCAUUUCUGAUAUUAUAUGUGGAUGACAUAUUGCUGAUUGGAAAUGAUAUAGAAUUUCUGGAUAGCAUAAAGGGAUACUUGAAUAAAAGUUUUUCGAUGAAAGACCUCGGGGAAGCUGCUUACAUAUUAGGCAUAAAGAUCUAUAGAGAUAGAUCAAGACGCUUAAUUGGACUUUCAUAAAGCACAUACCUUGACAAGAUUUUGAAGAAGUUCAAAAUGGAUCAAGCAAAGAAAGGGUUCUCUGGGCCCUCUCGGUAAUACACAUCACAUAAGCCUUGCAAGCAUUAUAACUAAGAUGUUAGUUAUGAGAUGAUGUAUUAUGAAACGAGUAAAGAGACUUGCCGGUAACGAGAUUGAACUAGGUAUUGAGAUACCGACGAUCGAAUCUCGGGCAAGUAACAUACCGAUGACAAAGGGAACAACGUAUGUUGUUAUGCGGUCUGACCGGUAAAGAUCUUCGUGGAAUAUGUAGGAGCCAAUAUGGGCAUCCAGGUCCCACUAUUGGUUAUUGACCGGAGACGUGUCUCGGUCAUGUCUACAUUGUUCUCGAACCGUAGGGUCCGCACGCUUAACGUUACGAUGACAGUUAUUAUGAGUUUAUGCAUUUUGAUGUACCGAAGGUUGUUCGGAGUCCCGGAUGUGAUCACGGACAUGACGAGGAGUCUCGAAAUGGUCGAGACGUAAAGAUUGAUAUAUUGGAAGGCUAUGUUUGGACAUCGGAAGUAUUCCGGGUGAAAUCGGGAUUUUACCGGAAUACCGGGAGGGUUACCGGAACCCCCCGAGAGGCAAAUGGGCCUAUUGGGCCUUAGUGGAAAAGAGAAAAGGGGCAGCCCAUAGCUGGCCGCACCCCCGCCCCUUCCCCAAGUCCUAUUAGGACUAGGAGAAGGGGCCGGCCCCCCUCUCUCUCCUUUCCCCCUUGGGAGUCCUAGUUGGAAUAGGAUUGAGGGGGGGGGAGUCCUACUCCCGGUAGGAGUAGGACUCCUCCCGCGCCCUCUCCUUGGCCGGCCGAACCCCUCCCCUUGCUCCUUUAUAUACGGGGGCAGGGGGCACCCCAUAGACAGACGAUUGAUCAUUGUUGAUCGUUCCUUAGCCGUGUGCGGUGCCCCCUGCCACCAAAAUCCACCUCGAUCAUACUGUUGUAGUGCUUAGGCGAAGCCCUGCGUCGGUAGUACAUCAAGAUCGUCACCACGCCGUCGUGCUGACGGAACUCUUCCUCGACGCUUUGCUGGAUCGAAGCCCGAGGAUCGUCAUCGAGCUGAACGUGUGCUAAGAACUCGGAGGUGCCGGAGUAACGGUGCUUGGAUCGGUCGGAUCGGGAAGACGUACGACUACUUCCUCUACGUUGUGUGAUCGCUUCCACAGUCGGUCUGCGUCGGUACGUAGAUAACACUCUCCCCUCUCGUUGCUAUGCAUCACCAUGAUCUUGCGUGUGCGUAGGAAAAUUUUCGAAAUUACUACGUUCCCCAACAGUUUGGACAUCGGAAGUGUUCCGGGUGAAAUCGGGAUUUUACCGGAUUACCGGGAGGGUUACCGGAACCCCCCGGGAGCCAAAUGGGCCAACAUGGGCCUUAGUGGAAAGGUGAGAGGGCAGCCCACAUAGGGCUGCGCCUCCCCCUCUCCCUAGUCCUAUUAGGACUAGGAGAGGGGCCGGCCACCUCUCUCUUCUCUUCCCCUUUGGGGAAUCCUAUUAGGAAUAGGAUUGGGGGGGGAGUCCUACUCCCGGUAGGAGUAGGACUCCUCCUGCGCCUCCUAGCUUGGCCGACCAGCCUCCCCCCCUUCAUCCUUUAUAUACGGGGGCAGGGGGCACCUCUAGACACACAAGUUGAUCCUUGAGAUCGUUCCUUAGCCGUGUGCGGUGCCCCCUGCCACCAAAUUCCACCUCGAUCAUACCGUUGUAGUGCUUAGGCGAAGCCCUGCGUCGGUAGUACAUCAAGAUCGUCACCACGCCGUCGUGCUGACGGAACUCCUCCCCGAAGCUUUGCUGGAUCGGAGCCCGGGGAUCGUCAUCGAGCUGAACGUGUGCUAAGAACUCGGAGGUGCCGGAGUAACGGUGCUUGGAUCGGUCGGAUCGGGAAGAAGACGUACGACUACUUCGUCUAUGUUGUGUGAUCGCUUCCGCAGUCGGUCUGCGUUGGUACGUAGACAACACUCUCCCCUCUCGUUGCUAUGCAUCACCAUGAUCUUGCGUGUGCGUAGGAAAUUUUUUGAAAUUACUACGUUCCCCAACACCAUUCCAUUAGCUUAGCACCCGAUCGUUUAGUAUGUUGCUAUUGCUUUCUUCAUGACUUAUACAUGUUCCUAUGACUAUGAGAUUAUGCAACUCCCGUUUGCCGGAGGAACACUUUGUGUGCUACCAAAUGUCACAACGUAACUGGGUGAUUAUAAAGGAGCUCUACAGGUGUCUCCAAUGGUAGAUGUUGGGUUGGCGUAUUUCGAGAAUAGGAUUUGUCACUCCGAUUGUCGGAGAGGUAUCUCUGGGCCCUCUCGGUAAUGCACAUCACUUAAGCCUUGCAAGCGUUGCAACUAAUAAGUUAGUUGCGGGAUGAUGUAUUAUGGAACGAGUAAAGAGACUUGCCGGUAACAAGAUUGAACUAGGUAUUGGAUACCGACGAUCGAAUCUCGGGCAAGUAACAUACCGAUGACAAAGGGAACAACGUAUGUUGUUAUGCGGUCUGACCGAUAAAGAUCUUCGUAGAAUAUGUAGGAGCCAAUAUGGGCAUCUAGGUCCCGCUGUUGGUUAUUGACCGGAGAAGUGUCUCGGUCAUGUCUACAUUGUUCUCGAACCGUAGGGUCUGUUGGAAAUAUGCCCUAGAGGCAAUAAUAAAAGCAUUAUUAUUAUAUUUCCUUGUUCAUGAUAAUUGUCUUUAUUCAUGCUAUAAUUGUGUUAUCCGGAAAUCGUAAUACAUGUGUGAAUAACAGACACCAACAUCUCCCUAGUAAGCCUCUAGUUGACUAGAUCGUUAAUCAACAGAUAGUCAUGGUUUCCUGGCUAUGGACAUAGGAUGUCAUUGAUAACGAGAUCACAUCAUUAGGAGAAUGAUGUGAUGGACAAGAUCCAAUCCUAAACAUAGCAUAAAGAUCGUGUAGUUCGUUUGCUAGAGUUUUGCAAUGUCAAGUAUCUUUUCCUUAGACCAUGAGAUCGUGUAACUCCCGGAUACCGUAGGAGUGCUUUGGGUAUACCAAACGUCACAACAUAACUGGGUGGCUAUAAAGGUAGACUACGGGUAUCUCCGAAAGUGUCUGUUGGGUUGACACGGAUCAAGACUGGGAUUUGUCACUCCGUAUGACGGAGAGGUAUCACUAGGCCCACUCGGAAAUGCAUCAUCAUAAUGAGCUCAAAGUGACCAAGUGUCUGGUCACGGGAUCAUGCAUUACGGUAUGAGUAAAGUGACUUGCCGGUAACGAGAUUGAACGAGGUAUUGGGAUACCGACGAUCAAAUCUCGGGCAAGUAAUAUAUCGAUUGACAAAGGGAAUUGCAUCCGGGGUUGAUUGAAUCCUCGACAUCGUGGUUCAUCCGAUGAGAUCAUCGUGGAGCAUGUGGGAGCCAACAUGGGUAUCCAGAUCCCGUUGUUGGUUAUUGACCGGAGAGUCGUCUCGGUCAUGUCUACAUGUCUCCCAAACCCGUAGGGUCUACACACUUAAGGUUCGGUGACGCUAGGGUUGUGAAGAUAUGUAUAUGCAGUAACCCGAAUGUUGUUCGGAGUCCCGGAUGAGAUCCCGGACGUCACGAAGAGUUCCGGAAUGGUCCGGAGGCAAAGAAUUAUAUAUAGGAAGUGCUGUUUCGGCCAUCGGGACAAGUUUCGGGGUUACCGGUAUUGUACCGGGACCACCGGAAGGGUCCCGGGGGUCCACCGGGUGGGGCCACCUAUCCCGGAGGGCCCCAUGGGCUGAAGUGGGAAGGGACCCAGCCCACAGUGGGCUGGGGCGCCACCCCCUAAGGGCCCAUGCGCCUAGGGUUUAGGGGAAACCCUAAAGGGGGGCGCCCCCUUGCUUGGGGGGCAAGCCCCCCACCCCUUGGCCGCCCCCCCCCUAGGAGAUCCAUCUCCUAGGGCCGCCCCCCCUAGGCACCCCUAUAUAUAGUGGGGGAGAGGAGGGACUUGAGGCUACGGCUUUUGGUGCAUCCCUCUCUCCCUGUUACUGUUGGGGAACGUAGUAAUUUCAAAAAAAUUCCUACGCACACGCAAGAUCAUGGUGAUGCAUANNNNNNNNNNNNNNNNNNNNNNNNNNNNNNNNNNNNNNNNNNNNNNNNNNNNNNNNNNNNNNNNNNNNNNNNNNNNNNNNNNNNNNNNNNNNNNNNNNNNNNNNNNNNNNNNNNNNNNNNNNNNNNNNNNNNNNNNNNNNNNNNNNNNNNNNNNNNNNNNNNNNNNNNNNNNNNNNNNNNNNNNNNNNNNNNNNNNNNNNNNNNNNNNNNNNNNNNNNNNNNNNNNNNNNNNNNNNNNNNNNNNNNNNNNNNNNNNNNNNNNNNNNNNNNNNNNNNNNNNNNNNNNNNNNNNNNNNNNNNNNNNNNNNNNNNNNNNNNNNNNNNNNNNNNNNNNNNNNNNNNNNNNNNNNNNNNNNNNNNNNNNNNGGCGUGGUGACGAUCUUGAUGUACUACCGACGCAGGGCUUCGCCUAAGCACUACAACGGUAUGAUCGAGGUGGAAUUUGGUGGCAGGGGGCACCGCACACGGCUAAGGAACGAUCUCAAGGAUCAACUUGUGUGUCUAUGGGGUGCCCCCUGCCCCUGUAUAUAAAGGAUGGAGAAGGAGGAGGCCGGCCAAGGCAAAGGUGCGGCCAGGAUAGGGAGUCCUACUAGGACUCCAAGUCCUAGUAGGAGUCCACCAAAAGGGGAGGAAGGGAGAAGGAAUAGGAGGAGAAGGAGAGGUGGCCGGCCCCCUUUUCCCUAGUCCAAUUCGGACCAAAGGGGAGGGGGGGCGCAGCAGCCUUUUCCUCUUCCCACUAAAGCCCAUCAACGCCCAUUACCUCUCCCGUAACUACCCGGUACUCCGAAAAAUACCCGAAUCACUCGGAACCUUUCCGAUGUCCGAAUAUAGUCGUCCAAUAUAUCGAUCUUUACGUCUCGACCAUUUCGAGACUCCUCGUCAUGUCCCCAAUCUCAUCCGGGACUCCGAACUCCUUCGGUACAUCAAAACUCAUAAACUCAUAAUAUAACUGUCAUCGAAACCUUAAGCGUGCGGACCCUACGGUUCGAGAACAAUGUAGACAUGACCGAGACACGUCUCCGGUCAAUAACCAAUAGCGGGACCUGGAUGCCCAUAUUGGCUCCUACAUAUUCUACGAAGAUCUUUAUCGGUCAGACCGCAUAACAACAUACGUUGUUCCCUUUGUCAUCGGUAUGUUACUUGCCCGAGAUUCGAUCGUCGGUAUCCUAUACCUAGUUCAAUCUCGUUACCGGCAAGUCUCUUUACUCGUUCUGUAAUACAUCAUCCCACAACUAACUCAUUAGUUGCAAUGCUUGCAAGGCUUAAGUGAUGUGCAUUACCGAGAGGGCCCAGAGAUACCUCUCCGACAAUCGGAGUGACAAAUCCUAAUCUCGAAAUACGCCAACCCAACAUCUACCUUUGGAGACACCUGUAAUGCUCCUUUAUAAUCACCCAGUUACAUUGUGACGUUUGGUAGCAUCCAAAGUGUUCCUCCGGCAAACGGGAGUUGCAUAAUCUCAUAGUCAUAGGAACAUGUAUAAGUCAUGAAGAAAGCAAUAGCAACAUACUAAACGAUCGUGUGCUAAGCUAAUGGAAUGGGUCAUGUCAAUCAGAUCAUUCAACUAAUGAUGUGACCUCGUUAAUCAAAUAACAACUCUUUUGUCCAUGGUUAGGAAACAUAACCAUCUUUGAUUAACGAGCUAGUCAAGUAGAGGCAUACUAGUGACACUCUGUUUGUCUAUGUAUUCACACAUGUAUUAUGUUUCCGGUUAAUACAAUUCUAGCAUAAAUAAUAAACAUUUAUCAUGAUAUAAGGAAAUAAAUAAUAACUUUAUUAUUGCCUCUAGGGCAUAUUUCCUUCAGCCUCCCACUUGCACUAGAGUCAAUAAUCUAGUUCACAUCGCCAUGUGAUUUAACAGCAAUAGUUCACAUCACCAUGUGAUUAACACCCAUAGUUCACAUCGUCAUGUGACCAACACUCAAAGGGUUUACUAGAGUCAGUAAUCUAGUUCACAUAUCUAUGUGAUUAACACCCAAAGAGUACUAAGGUGUGAUCAUGUUUUGCUUGUGAGAUAAUUUUAGUCAACGGGUCUGUCACAUUUAGAUCCGUAAGUAUUUUGCAAAAUUCUAUGUCUAUAAUGCUCUGCAUGGAGCUACUCUAGCUAAUUGCUCCCACUUUCAAUAUGUAUCCAGAUUGAGACUUUAGAUUCAUCUGGAUCAGUGUCAAAAACUUGCAUCGACGUAACCCUUUACGACGAACCUUUUUGUCACGUCCAUAAUCGAGAAACAUAUCCUUAUUUCACUAAGGAUAAUUCUGACCGCUGUCCAGUGAUCUACUCCUAGAUCACUAUUGUACUCCCUUGCCAAAUCAGUGCAGGGUAUACAAUAGAUCUGGUACACAACAUGGCAUACUUUAUAGAACCUAUGAAUGAGGCAUAGGGAAUGACUUUCAUUCUCUUUCUAUCUUCUGCCGUGGUCGGGCUUUGAGUCUUUACUCAACUUCACACCUUGUAACACAGGCAAGAAACUUUUUCUUUGACUGUUCCAUUUUGAACUACUUCAAAAUCUUGUCAAGGUAUGUACUUAUUGAAAAAACUUAUCAAGCGUCUUGAUCUAUCUCUAUAGAUCUUGAAGCUCAAUAUGUAAGCAGCUUUACCGAAGUCUUUCUUUGAAAAACUCCUUUUCAAACACUACUUUUAUGCUUUACAGAAUAAUUCUACAUUAUUUCCGAUCAACAAUAUGUCAUUCACAUAUACUUAUCAGAAAUGCUGUAGUGCUCCCACUCACUUUCUCGUAAAUACAGGCUUCACUGCAAGUCUGUAUAAAACUAUAUGCUUUCAUCAACUCAUCAAAGCGUAUAUUCCAACUCCGAGAUGUUUGCACCAGUCCACAGAUAGAUCGCUGGAGCUUGCAUAUUUAGUUAACACCUUUAGGAUCGACAAAACCUUCUAGUUGCAUUGUAUACAACUCUUCUUUAGCAAAUCCAUUAAGGAAUGCAGUUUUGUUUAUCCAUUUGCCAGAUUUCAUAAAAUGCGGCAAUUGCUAACAUGAUUCGGACAGACUUAAGCAUAGAUACGAGUGAGAAAAUCUCAUCGUUGUCAACACCUUGAACUUGUCGAAAACCUUUUGCGACAAUUCUAGCUUUGUAGAUAGUAACACUACUAUUAGCGUCCGUCUUCCUCUUGAAUAUCCAUUUAUUUUCUAUGGCUUGCCGAUCAUCGGGCAAGUCAACCAAAGUCCAUAAUUUGUUCUCAUACAUGGAUCAUAUCUCAGAUUUCAUGGCUUCAAGCCACUUUGCGGAAUCUGGGCUCACCAUCGCUUCUUCAUAGUUCGUAGGAUCAUCAUGAUCUAGUAGCAUGACUUCCAGAACAGGAUUACCGUACCACUCUGGCGCGGAUCUUACUCUGGUUGAUCUACGAGGUUCAGUAGUGUCUUGUUCUGAAGUUUCAUGAUCAUCAUCAUUAGCUUCCUCACUAACUGGUGUAGGUGUCACAGAAACAUUUUUCUGUGAUGUACUACUUUCCAAUAAGGGAGCAAGUAUAGUUACCUCGUCAAGUUCUACUUUCCUCCCACUCACUUCUUUCGAGAGAAACUCCUUCUCCAGAAAGUUUCCGAAUUUAGCAACAAAAGUCUUGCCUUCGGAUCUGUGAUAGAAGGUGUAUCCAAUAGUUUCCUUUGGAUAUCCUAUGAAGAUGCACUUCUCCGAUUUGAGUUUUGGGCUUAUCAGGAUGAAACUUUUUCAUAUAAGCAUCGCAACCCCAAACUUUAAGAAACGACAACUUUGGUUUCUUGCCAAACCAUAGUUCAUAAGGCGUCGUCUCGACGGAUAUAGAUGGUGCCCCUUUUUAACGUGAAUGCAGCUGUCUCUAAUGCAUGACCCCAAAAACAAAUAGUGGUAAAUCGGUAAGAGACAUCAUAGAUUGCACUAUAUCCAAUAAAGUACGGUUAUGACGUUCGGACACACCAUUAUGAUGUGGUGUUCCAGGUGGCGUGAGUAGUGAAACUAUUUCACAUUGUUUUAACUGAAGACCAAACUCGUAACUCAAAUAUUUGUCUCCGCGAUCAGAUCGUAGAAACUUUAUUUUCUUGUCACGAUGUUUUUCACUUCACUCUGAAAUUCUUUGAACUUUUCAAAUGUUUCAGACUUAUGUUUCAUCAAGUAGAUAUACUCAUAUCUGCUCAAAUCAUUUGUGAAGAUCAGAAAAUAAUGAUACCUGUCGCGAGCCUCAAUAUUCAUCGGACCACAUACAUCAGUAUGUAUGAUUUCCAACAAAUCUUUUAUCGCUCCAUUGUUCCGGAGAACCGCGUUUUAGUCAUCUUGCCCAAAAGGCAUGGUUCGCAAGCAUCAAGUGAUUCAUAAUCAAGUGAUUCCGAAAGCCCAUCAGCAUGGAGUUUCUUCAUGCGCUUUAUACCAAUAUGACCUAAACAGCAGUGCCACAAAUAAGUUGCACUAUCAUUAUUAACUUUGCAUCUUUUGGUUUCAAUAUUAUGAAUAUGUGUAUUAUUAAGAUCGAGAUCCAAUGAACUAUUUUCAUUGGGUGUGUAACCAUAUACGGUUUUAUUCAUGUAAACAGAACAACAAUUUAUUCUUUUACUUAAAUGAAUAACCGUAUUACAAUAAACAUGAUCAAAUCAUAUUCAUGCUCAACACAAACACCAAAUAACACUUAUUUAGGUUCAACACUAAUCCCGAAAGUAUAGGGGAGUGUGCGAUGAUGAUCAUAUCAAUCUUGGAACUACUUCCAACACACAUCGUCACUUCACCCUAACUAGUCUCUGUUUAUUCUGCAACUCCCGUUUCGAGUUACUACUCUUAGCAACUGAACUAGCAUCAAAUACUAAGGGGUUGCUAUAAACACUAGUAAAGUACACAUCAAUAACAUGUAUAUCAAAUAUACUUAUGUUUACUUUGCCAUCCUUCUUAUCCGCCAAUCAUUUGGGGUAGUUCCGCUUCCAGUGAUCAGUUCCUUUGCAGUAUAAGCACCUAGUCUCAGGCUUAGGAUCAGACUUGGGCUUCUUCACUUGAGCAGCAACUUGCUUGCCGUUCUUCUUGAAGUUCCCCUUCUUCCCUUUGCCCUUUUCUUGAAACUAGUGGUCUUGUCAACCAUCAACACUUGAUGUUUUUCUUGAUUUCUACCUUCGUUGAUUUCAGCAUCAUGAAGAGCUUAGGAAUUACUUUUGUCAUCCCUUGCAUAUUAUAGUUCAUCACAAAGUUCUACUAACUUGGUGAUGGUGACUAGAGAAUUCUGUCAAUCACUAUCUUAUCUGGAAGAUUAACUCCCACUUGAUUCAAGCGAUUGUAGUACUCAGACAAUCUGGGCACAUGCUCACUAGUUGAGCGAUUCUCCUCCAUCUUUUAGCUAUAGAACUUGUUGGAGACUUCAUAUCUCUCAACUCGGGUAUUUGCUUGAAAUAUUAACUUCAACUCCUGGAACAUCUCAUAUGUUCCAUGACGUUCAAAACGUCUUUGAAGUCCCGAUUCUAAGCUAUUAAGCAUCGUGCACUAAACUAUCAAGUAGUUAUCAUAUUGAGCUAGCCAAACGUUCAUAACGUCUGCAUCUGCUCCUGCAAUAGGUCUGUCACCUAGCGGUGCAUCAAGGACAUAAUUCUUCUGUGCAGCAAUGAGGAUAAACCUCAGAUCACGGAUCCAAUCCGCAUCAUUGCUACUAACAUCUUUCAACACAAUUUUCUCUAGGAACAUAUCAAAAUAAACACAGGGAAGCAACAACGCGAGCUAUUGAUCUACAACAUAAUUUGCAAAAUACUACCAGGACUAAGUUCAUGAUAAAUUUAAGUUCAAUUAAUCAUAUUACUUAAGAACUCCCACUUAGAUAGAUAUCCCUCUAAUCCUCUAAGUGAUCACGUGAUCCAAAUCAACUAAACCAUAACCGAUCAUCACGUGAGAUGGAGUAGUUUCAAUGGUGAACAUCACUAUGUUGAUCAUAUCUACUAUAUGAUUCACGCUCGACCUUUCGGUCUCCGUGUUCCGAGGCCAUAUCUGUAUAUGCUUGGCUCGUCAAGUAUGACCUGAGUAUUCCGCGUGUGCAACUGUUUUGCACCCGUUGUAUUUGAACGUAGAGCCUAUCACACCCGAUCAUCACGUGGUGUCUCAGCACGAAGAACUUUCGCAACGGUGCAUACUCAGGGAGAACACUUCUUGAUAAUUUAGUGAGAGAUCAUCUUAUAAUGCUACCGUCAAUCAAAGCAAGAUAAGAUGCAUAAAAGAUAAACAUCAUAUGCAAUCAAAAUAUGUGACAUGAUAUGGCCAUCAUCAUCUUGCUUCUUUGAUCUCCAUCUCCAAAGUACUGUCAUGAUCUAUAUCGUUACCGGCAUGACACCAUGAUCUCCAUCAUCUUGAUCUAUAUCAAUGUGUCGUCACGUGGUCGUCUCGCCAACACUUGCUCUUGCAACUAUUGCUAUCGCAUAGCGAUAAAGUAAAGCAAUUAUUGGGCGCUUGCAUCUUAUGCAAUAGACAGACAACCAUAAGGCUUUUGCCAGUUGCCGAUAAGUUCAACAAAACAUGAUCAUCUUAUAUAACAACUUAUAACUCAUCACGUUUUGACCAUAUCACAUCACAACAUGCCCUGCAAAAACAAGUUAGACGUCCUCUACUUUGUUGUUGCAAAUUUUACGUGGCUGCUACGGGCUUAAGCAAGAACCAAUCUCACCUACGCAUCAAAACCACAACGAUAGUUUGUCAAAUAGACUCCGUUUUAACCUUCGCAAGGACCGGGCGUAGCCACACUUGGUUUAACUAAAGUUGGAGAGACAGUCGCCCGCAAGCCAUCUAUGUGCAAAGCACGUCGAGGGAACCGGUCUCACGUAAGCGUACGUGUAAGGUUGGCCCGGGUCGUCUCGUCCAACAAUACCGCCGAACCAAAGUAUGACAUGCUGGUAGGCAGUAUGACUUGUAUCGCCCACAACUCACUUGUGUUCUACUCGUGCAAAUAACAUCAAACCAUAAAACCUAGGCUCGGAUGCCACUGUUGGGGAACGUAGUAAUUUCAAAAAAUUUCCUACGCACACGCAAGAUCAUGGUGAUGCAUAGCAACGAGGGGGAGAGUCUGGUCUACGUACCCUUGUAGAUCGCAACGGAAGCGUUGAUACAACGUAGAGGAAGUAGUCGUACGUCUUCUUCCCGAUCCGACCGAUCCAAGCACCGUUACUCCGGCACCUCCGAGUUCUUAGCACACGUUCAGCUCGAUGACGAUCCUCGGGCUCCGAUCCAGCAAAGCGUCGAGGAAGAGUUCCGUCAGCACGACGGCGUGGUGACGAUCUUGAUGUACUACCGACGCAGGGCUUCGCCUAAGCACUACAACGGUAUGAUCGAGGUGGAAUUUGGUGGCAGGGGGCACCGCACACGGCUAAGGAACGAUCUCAAGGAUCAACUUGUGUGUCUAUGGGGUGCCCCCUGCCCCUGUAUAUAAAGGAUGGAGAAGGAGGAGGCCGUCCAAGGCAAAGGUGCGGCCAGGAUAGGGAGUCCUACUAGGACUCCAAGUCCUAGUAGGAGUCCACCAAAAGGGGAGGAAGGGAGAAGGAAUAGGAGGAGAAGGAGAGGUGGCCGGCCCCCUUUUCCCUAGUCCAAUUCGGACCAAAGGGGAGGGGGGGCGCAGCAGCCUUUUCCUCUUCCCACUAAAGCCCAUCAACGCCCAUUACCUCUCCCGUAACUACCCGGUACUCCGAAAAAUACCCGAAUCACUCGGAACCUUUCCGAUGUCCGAAUAUAGUCGUCCAAUAUAUCGAUCUUUACGUCUCGACCAUUUCGAGACUCCUUGUCAUGUCCCCAAUCUCAUCCGGGACUCCGAACUCCUUCGGUACAUCAAAACUCAUAAACUCAUAAUAUAACUGUCAUCGAAACCUUAAGCGUGCGGACCCUACGGUUCGAGAACAAUGUAGACAUGACCGAGACACGUCUCCGGUCAAUAACCAAUAGCGGGACCUGGAUGCCCAUAUUGGCUCCUACAUAUUCUACGAAGAUCUUUAUCGGUCAGACCGCAUAACAACAUACGUUGUUCCCUUUGUCAUCGGUAUGUUACUUGCCCGAGAUUCGAUCGUCGGUAUCCAAUACCUAGUUCAAUCUCGUUACCGGCAAGUCUCUUUACUCGUUCUGUAAUACAUCAUCCCACAACUAACUCAUUAGUUGCAAUGCUUGCAAGGCUUAAGUGAUGUGCAUUACCGAGAGGGCCCAGAGAUACCUCUCCGACAAUCGGAGUGACAAAUCCAAAUCUCGAAAUACGCCAACCCAACAUCUACCUUUGGAGACACCUGUAAUGCUCCUUUAUAAUCACCCAGUUACGUUGUGACGUUUGGUAGCACCCAAAGUGUUCCUCCGGCAAACGGGAGUUGCAUAAUCUCAUAGUCAUAGGAACAUGUAUAAGUCAUGAAGAAAGCAAUAGCAACAUACUAAACGAUCGUGUGCUAAGCUAAUGGAAUGGGUCAUGUCAAUCAGAUCAUUCAACUAAUGAUGUGACCUCGUUAAUCAAAUAACAACUCUUUUGUCCGUGGUUAGGAAACAUAACCAUCUUUGAUUAACGAGCUAGUCAAGUAGAGGCAUACUAGUGACACUCUGUUUGUCUAUGUAUUCACACAUGUAUUAUGUUUCCGGUUAAUACAAUUCUAGCAUGAAUAAUAAACAUUUAUCAUGAUAUAAGGAAAUAAAUAAUAACUUUAUUAUUGCCUCUAGGGCAUAUUUCCUUCAGUUACGUCUCUCUCUCUUGUAGUAUAGGCGAAGCCCUGCUACUGUGACGCCCUGCAUCCACCACCACGCCGUCGUGCUGCUGGAUCAUCAUCAACCUCUCCUCCCCCCUUGCUGGAUCAAGAAGGAGGAGACGUCUCCCGUCCCAUACGUGUGUUGAACACGGAGGUGCCGUCCGUUCGGCACUCGGUCAUCGGUGAUUUGGAUCACGUCGUGUUCGACUACAUCAUCCCCGUUCUUUGAACGCUUCCGCACGCGAUCUACAAAGGUAUGUAGAUGCAUCUGAUGACUCGUUGCUAGAUGAACUCCUAGAUGGAUCUUGCUGAAACGAGUAGGAAAUUUUUUGUUUUCUGCAACGUUCCCCAACAGUGGCAUCAUGAGCUAGGUCUAUGCGUAGUUCUUCUUGCGCGAGUAGAACACAAUUUGUUGUGGGCGUGGAUUUGUCAACUUUCUUGCCGCUACUAGUCUUUUCUUGCUUCAGCGGUAUUGUGGGAUGAAGCGGCCCGGACCAACCUUACACGUACGCUUACGUAAGACCGGUUCCACGGACUAACAUGCACUAGUUGCAUAAGGUGGCUGGCGGGUGCCUAUCUCUCCUACUUUAGUUGGAGCGGAUUCGAUGAACAGGGUCCUUAUGAAGGGUAAAUAGAAGUUGACAAAUCACGUUGUGGCUUUCACGUAGGUAAGAAAACGUUCUUGCUAGAACCCUAAUUCAGCCACGUAAAACUUGCAACAACAAUUAGAGGACGUCUAACUUGUUUUUGCAGCAAGUGGUUUGUGAUAUGAUAUGGCCAAAGUUGUGAUGAAUGAUGAAUGAUCUAUAUGUGAUGUAUGAGAUGUUCAUGCUAUUGUAAUAGGAAUCACGACUUGCAUGUCGAUGAGUAUGACAACCGGCAGGAGCCAUAGGAGUUGUCUUUAUUUUUUGUAUGACCUGCGUGUCAUUGAGAAACGCCAUGUAAAUUACUUUACUUUAUUGCUAAACGUGUUAGCCAUAGUAGUAGAAGUAAUAGUUGGCGAGCAACUUCAUGGAGACACGAUGAUGGAGAUCAUGGUGUCAAGCCGGUGACAAGAUGAUCAUGGAGCCCCAAGAUGGAGAUCAAAGGAGCUAUGUGAUAUUGGCCAUAUCAUGUCACGUUUAUUAUUUGAUUGCAUGUGAUGUUUAUCAUGUUUUGCAUCUUGUUUACUUAGAACGACGGUAGUAAAUAAGAUGAUCCCUCAUAACAAUUUCAAGAAGUGUUCUCCCCUAACUGUGCACCGUUGCUAAAGUUCGUCGUUUCAAAGCACCACGUGAUGAUCGGGUGUGAUAGAUUCUUACGUUCACAUACAACGGGUGUAAGACAGUUUUACACAUGCAAAACACUUAGGGUUAACUUGACGAGCCUAGCAUGUGUAUAGACAUGGCCUCGGAACACAGAAGACCGAAAGGUCGAGCAUGAGUCGUAUAGAAGAUACGAUCAACAUGAAGAUGUUCACCGACGUUGACCAGUCCGUCUCACGUGAUGAUCGGACACGGCCUAGUUAACUCGGAUCAUGUAAUACUUAGAUGACUAGAGGGAUGUCUAAUCUAAGUGGGAGUUCAUUAUAUAAUUUGAUUACAUGAACUUUAUUAUCAUGAACUUAGUCUAAAAUAUUUUACAAUAUGUCUUGUAGAUCAAAUGGCCCACGUAGUCCUCAACUUCAACGCGUUCCUAGAGAAAACCAAGCUGAAAGACGAUGGCAACAACUAUACGGACUGGGUCCGGAACCUGAGGAUCAUCCUCAUAGCUGCCAAGAAAGAUUACGUCCUACAAGCACCGCUAGGUGAAGCUCCCGUCCCACAGAACCAAGACGUUAUGAACGCUUGGCAGACACGUGUUGACGACUACUCCCUCGUUCAGUGCGGCAUGCUUUACAGUUUAGAGCCGGGGCUCCAAAAGCGUUUUGAGAGACAUGGAGCAUAUGAGAUGUUCGAAGAGCUGAAAAUGGUUUUCCAAGCUCAUGCCCGGGUCGAGAGAUAUGAGGUCUCCGACAAGUUCUUCAGCUGUAAGAUGGAGGAAAAUAGUUCUGUCAGUGAGCACAUACUCACUAUGUCUGGGUUACAUAACCGCUUGACUCAGCUGGGAGUUAAUCUCCCGGAUGAUGCGGUCAUUGACAGAAUCCUCCAGUCGCUUCCACCAAGCUACAAGAGCUUUGUGAUGAACUUCAACAUGCAGGGGAUGCAAAAGACCAUUCCUGAGUUGUUUUCAAUGCUGAAAUCAGCGGAAGUAGAAGUCAAGAAGGAACAUCAAGUGUUGAUGGUCAAUAAAACCACUAAGUUCAAGAAAGGCAAGGGUAAAAAGAACUUCAAGAAGGACGGCAAGGAAGUUGCCGCGCCCGGCAAGCAAGCUGCCGGGAAGAAGCCAAAGAAUGGACCCAAGCCCGAGACUGAGUGCUUUUAUUGCAAGGGAAGCGGUCACUGGAAGCGGAACUGCCCCAAAUACUUAGCAGACAAGAAGGCCGGCAAAACAAAAGGUAUAUGUGAUAUACAUGUAAUUGAUGUGUACCUUACCAGUGAUCGUAGUAGCUCUUGGGUAUUUGAUACCGAUGUAGUUGCUCACAUUUGUAACUCACAGCAGGAACUACGGAAUAAGCGGAGACUGGCAAAGGACGAGGUGACGAUGCGCGUCGGGAAUGGUUCCAAAGUCGAUGUGAUCGCCGUCGGCACGCUACCUCUUCAUUUACCUACGGGAUUAGUUUUAAACAUCAAUAAUUGUUAUUUAGUACCAGCUUUGAGCAUGAACAUUGUAUCGGGAUCUCGUUUAAUUCGAGAUGGCUACUCAUUUAUAUCCGAGAAUAAUGGUUGUUCUAUUUAUAUGAGAGAUAUGUUUUAUGGUCAUGCUCCUAUGGUGAAUGGUUUAUUCUUUAUGAAUCUCAAACGUAAUGCUACACAUGUUCAUAGUGUGAGUACCAAAAGAUGUAAGGUUGAUAAUGAUAGUCCCACAUACUUGUGGCACUGCCGCCUUGGUCACAUAGGUGUCAAACGCAUGAAGAAGCUCCAUGCAGAUGGACUUUUAGAGUCUCUUGAUUAUGAAUCAUUUGACACGUGCGAACCAUGCCUUAUGGGUAAAAUGACCAAGACUCCGUUCUCAGGAACAAUGGAGCGAGCAACCAACUUAUUGGAAAUCAUAAAUAUUGAUGUGUGCGGUCCAAUGAGUGUUGAGGCUCGUGGUGGCUAUCGUUAUGUUCUCACCCUCACUGAUGACUUGAGUAGAUAUGGGUAUGUCUACUUGAUGAAACACAAGUCUGAAACCUUUGAAAAGUUCAAGGAAUUUCAGAAUGAGGUUGAGAAUCAACGUGACAAGAAAAUCAAGUUUCUACGAUCAGAUCAUGGAGGAGAAUACUUGACUCAUGAAUUUGGCACACACUUAAGAAAAUGUGGAAUAGUUUCACAACUCACGCCGCCUGGAACACCUCAGCGUAAUGGUGUGUCCGAACGUCGUAAUCGCACUCUAUUAGAUAUGGUGCGGUCUAUGAUGUCUCUUACCGAUCUACCGCUAUCUUUUUGGGGCUAUGCUUUAGAGACUGCUGCAUUCACUUUAAAUAGGGCUCCGUCAAAAUCCGUUGAGACGACACCGUUUGAAUUGUGGUUUGGGAAGAAACCUAAGUUGUCGUUUCUGAAAGUUUGGGGAUGCGAUGCUUAUGUCAAGAAACUUCAACCUGAAAAGCUCGAACCCAAGUCGGAAAAAUGCGUCUUCAUAGGAUACCCAAAAGAAACUAUUGGGUAUACCUUCUACCUCAGAUCCGAAGGCAAGAUCUUUGUUGCCAGGAAUGGAUCCUUUCUAGAGAAGGAGUUUCUCUCGAAAGAAGUAAGUGGGAGGAAAGUAGAACUUGAUGAAGUGUUACCUCUUGAACCGGAAAAUGGCGCAACUCAAGAAAAUGUUCCUGAGGUGCCUGCACCGACUAGAGAGGAAGUUAAUGAUGAUGAUCAUGAAACUUCUAAUCAAGUUGCUACUGAACUUCGAAGGUCCACAAGGACACGUUCCGCACCAGAGUGGUACGGCAACCCUGUCUUGGAAAUCAUGUUAUUAGACAACGGUGAACCUUCGAACUAUGAAGAAGCGAUGGCGGGCCCGGAUUCCGACAAAUGGCUAGAAGCCAUGAAAUCCGAGAUAGGAUCCAUGUAUGAAAACGAAGUAUGGACUUUGACUGACUUGCCCGUUGAACGGCGAGCCAUAGAGAAUAAAUGGAUCUUUAAGAAGAAGACAGACGCGGAUGGUAAUGUGACCAUCUAUAAAGCUCGGCUUGUCGCUAAGGGUUAUCGACAAGUUCAAGGGGUUGACUACGAUGAGAGUUUCUCACCGGUAGCGAAGCUAAAGUCCGUCCGAAUCAUGUUAGCAAUUGCCGCAUUUUACGAUUAUGAAAUAUGGCAAAUGGACGUCAAAACGGCAUUCCUUAAUGGUUUCCUUAAGGAAGAAUUGUAUAUGAUGCAGCCGGAAGGUUUUGUCGAUCCUAAGAAUGCUAACAAGGUGUGCAAGCUCCAACGCUCAAUUUAUGGGCUGGUGCAAGCAUCUCAUAGUUGGAACAUUCGCUUUGAUGAGAUGAUCAAAGCGUUUGGGUUUACGCAGACUUAUGGAGAAGCCUGCGUUUACAAGAAAGUGAGUGGGAGCUCUGUAGCAUUUCUCAUAUUAUAUGUAGAUGACAUACUUUUGAUGGGAAAUGAUAUAGAACUCUUGGACAGCAUCAAGGCCUACUUGAAUAAGAGUUUUUCAAUGAAGGACCUUGGAGAAGCUGCUUAUAUAUUAGGCAUCAAAAUCUAUAGAGAUAGAUCGAGACGCCUCAUAGGUCUUUCACAAAGCACAUACCUUGAUAAGAUAUUGAAGAAGUUCAAUAUGGAUCAAUCUAAUAAGGGGUUCUUGCCUGUGUUACAAGGUAUGAAAUUGAGCUCAGCUCAAAGUCCGACCACGGCAGAAGAAAUAGAAGAGAUGAGUGUCAUCCCCUAUGCCUCAGCCAUAGGUUCUAUUAUGUAUGCCAUGCUGUGUACCAGACCUGAUGUAAACCUUGCCGUAAGUUUGGUAGGAAGGUACCAAAGUAAUCCCGACAAGGAACACUGGACAGCGGUCAAGAAUAUCCUGAAGUACCUGAAAAGGACUAAGGAAAUGUUUCUCGUUUAUGGAGGUGACGAAGAGCUCGUCGUAAAGGGUUACGUCGAUGCUAGCUUCGACACAGAUCUGGAUGACUCAAAGUCACAAACCGGAUACGUGUAUAUUUUGAAUGGUGGGGCAGUAAGCUGGUGCAGUUGCAAGCAGAGCGUCGUGGCGGGAUCUACAUGUGAAGCGGAGUACAUCGCAGCCUCGGAGGCAGCACAUGAAGCAAUAUGGGUGAAGGAGUUCAUCACCGACCUCGGAGUCAUACCCAAUGCGUCGGGGCCGAUCAAGCUCUUCUGUGACAACACUGGAGCUAUUGCACUUGCCAAGGAGCCCAGGUUUCACAAGAAGACAAGGCACAUCAAGCGUCGCUUCAACUCCAUUCGUGAAAAUGUUCAAGAUGGAGACAUAGAUAUUUGUAAAGUACAUACGGACCUGAAUGUAGCAGAUCCGUUGACUAAACCUCUCCCUAGGGUAAAACAUGAUCAACACCAGAAUUCCAUGGGUGUUCGAUUCAUCACAAUGUAACUAGAUUAUUGACUCUAGUGCAAGUGGGAGACUGUUGGAAAUAUUCCCUAGAGGCAAUAAUAAAAGCAUUAUUAUUAUAUUUCCUUGUUCAUGAUAAUUGUCUUUAUUCAUGCUAUAAUUGUGUUAUGCGGAAAUCGUAAUACAUGUGUGAAUAACAGACACCAACAUGUCCCUAGUAAGCCUCUAGUUGACUAGCUCGUUAAUCAACAGAUAGUCAUGGUUUCCUGGCUAUGGACAUAGGAUGUCAUUGAUAACGAGAUCACAUUAUUAGGAGAAUUAUGUGGUGGACAAGACCCAAUCCUAAACAUAGCAUAGAGAUCGUGUAGUUCGUUUGCUAGAGUUUUGCAAUGUCAAGUAUCUUUUCCUUAGACCAUGAGAUCGUGUAACUCCCAGAUACCGUAGGAGUGCUUUGGGUAUACCAAACGUCACAACGUAACUGGGUGACUAUAAAGGUAGACUACGGGUAUCUCCGAAAGUGUCUGUUGGGUUGACACGGAUCAAGACUGGGAUUUGUCACUCCGUAUGACGGAGAGGUAUCACUGGGCCCACUCGGUAAUGCAUCAUCAUAAUGAGCUCAAAGUGACCAAGUGUCUGGUCACGGGAUCAUGCAUUACGGUACGAGUAAAGUGACUUGCCGGUAACGAGAUUGAACGAGGUAUUGGGAUACCGACGAUCGAAUCUCGGGCAAGUAAUAUAUCAAUUGACAAAGGGAAUUGCAUACGGGGUUGAUUGAAUCCUCGACAUCGUGGUUCAUCCGAUGAUAUCAUCGUGGAGCAUGUGGGAGCUGAUGUAGUCAUAUACCUACGGUAGGGACACGGACCCGUCCUAAAGAGCCCUAUCGUAGGACGUCCUUAAAGGAAGUCACCUUUCAGACAACUUGAAGAUAUCCCACUCGACGGGGCCAACGCACUCGACUAAGAAGCUGUCACUCGACCAACAAGCCAACCACUCGACCGCCAGGGGAUCUCAAAUCGCUCCCAGGCAAACGGUCAGCUAUUAAGUAGUCUUUAUGAUCAUCAUGACGCUUUAUUAGGGACGUUAUCAGUAACGCCCACCUUAAAUAUACCUUAAACCCUGCAUUACUGAGGGCAAGAGAGGGCUGGCGAACUCUAUAUAAGCCACCCCCUCCUCAGUAUGAAGGGUUCGCACCCCUGUAAUCUUACUCACGCAUAAUCCAAUCGACCGCCUCCGGGCACCAAGACGUAGGGCUGUUACUUCCUCAGAGAAGGGCCCGAACUCGUAAACCUUGCGUGCUUACAACUUCCCAAUAGCUAAGGCCUAGCCUCUUCAUACAUACCCCCCUACCUCACUGUCAGACUUAGAACCACGACAGUUGGCGCCCACCGUGGGGCAGUAGUCUUAGCGCCUAAUUUGGAGAAGUUGCGAUUUUCGUCGAUCCACUCAAUCAUGUUUUCCUGCGGAGCCUUGGCGGCGGGCCGCGAGAUCCGUCUCGGCCGACUUACUUUCAUCGCCGACGACUCCGCUUGGCUCCAGGAGGCGCCGCUCGACGUCGACGCACUCCCCGUCCGCGGUGCGACGCACUUCCGCGCGUGCAUCCGUGGCGUCCUCCUGAGGCAGCCCUCGACCCCUUAUCGGUCGACUCCCGUGCCAUCUCCCCCUCCUGUCUCCCGCCAGCGCAAGCGCUCGGGUCGGUCGAGGCUCCAGCGGUGGAUGAAGCGCGCCCUGGCCCGCCAGUCGGCGACCCAGCAGGUCGCUACAAUCGAGCCUAACGAAUCCCUCUGCGGCCUGUUCGAUCUGUCGACUGGCUCCAUGGAGUCCGCUUCCGAGUGCGACAGCAGCGACCCUCUGGCAGAGGUCCUGGCGGUCGAAGGGACGCGCAGUCCCCCCGGAUUCCCUCGUACUGACGAUGGUGCCGACAGGGGCGAUCCGUCGCGCCCUCACGACGAAUAUCUCCCCGAACCUCUGACGUCGCUGCAGCGGGAGGAGCUUCGUCGCCGGAACAUGGACGCACUCUACACACCUAUUGUUGGAGAAACCCCCGAGGCCCGGGCCUUGGAGGAUGCGCGCUUGGCUAAUCUAGCCGAGCGCACUCGACUAGAGAACCUACAGCGAGCUCUCGACGAGCAGGCGCGUCAGCGGGCUCCCGAGUCCAGUCGACGUCAGCGGGCUCCCGAGUCUAGUCGACGCCAACCGGCACUCGAACCCAGUCGACGGCAGCUCUUCCCGUCACCACAGGUGUACCGAACUCCGGUUUAGAACCUGGCUGCCGCGGCCCGCAUAGCGGAGUCGAUCCAGCCCUCCCAGUCGGAGGCCGGAAGAGGAUUGCUGCAGAUCAGAGCUUUGCUCCGAGCAGCGGGGAAUCAGAAUUCCGCCGUCUCUCAGUCGCGGGACAGGAUCCACAGUCGAUCCGUCGCAACGGAGACCGUCUAGUCGGCUCACAGCCCGAGAUCGCCCCCGAGGCGUGAGGGGCGUGGAGACCGGCACGAUCGGCAUAGGGGGAACGAGCAAUACGAUCACCGACUCAACCGUGAUGAUGGGCGUCGGGUGCCUUCCCCUCCUCUACGGAGUGGAUCGUAUGCACCUCGACAUCAAGACGACAGGCGCCCUCAUCACACUGGGCAGAGGGUCCUAGUCGACCCCAGAGACCCAGGCUUUGACGCGAGAUCCAUCCUCGUUCAAGGUCUGGUGGACAGGAACAGGGCUCAUCGUGAGGGCCACAACAGAGAUACGCCUACCGACAGUAGGGCACAUGCCUCGGGGCCUGAGUGUUUCAGUCGAGCCAUCAGAGCCGCGGUGAUCCCACCCAACUUCCGGAUGGCGACUGGAAUCAGCAAGUUCACCGGCGAGUCCAAGCCUGACACGUGGCUCGAAGAUUACCGAGUGGCUGUGCAGAUCGGUGGCGGCAACGACGAGGUGGCCAUGAAGCAUUUACCCCUCAUGUUGGAAGGCUCAGCUAGGGCGUGGCUAAAUCAGCUGGCGCCCAGCAGCAUUUACACUUGGGAGGAUCUCUCCCGAGUGUUUGUUACAACCUUCGAAGGGACAUGCAAGCGCCCUGCAGGCCUUACAGAGCUGCGGUCUUGCAUACAGAAGCCGAAUGAAACACUGAGGGAAUACAUCCAAAGGUGGAUCACACUGCACCACUCGGUCGAAAACGUUCCUGACCAUCAAGCAGUCUGCGCUUUCAAGGAAGGGGUCAAGUACAGGGAGUUGAAUCUGAAAUUUGGCCGGACCGGAGAGAUGUCCCUUAAUCAGAUGAUGGAGAUUGCCACCAAGUACGCUAAUGGAGAAGACGAAGACCGACUCCGAAGCGGCAAACUUAAAUCAGUCGCCCAAGAAACCGGAGGAAACUCCAGUCGGAAGCAAAAGCGGAAGGCCGAGCCAGCCGCUCCCGGGGAGGCCUUAGCUGUGGCUCAGGGAAACUUCAAGGGGAAACCCAAGAACACUUGGAAGCCCAAGAAAGUCAAGGAUCAGGAUGGGAAUGAUGUUUUGGAUUUGCCAUGUCACAUCCACACCAAGAAAGACGAAGAGGGUAAUUUUAUUUAUCCCAAACAUACCACUCGACAAUGCCGGCUCCUGAUCCAACAGUUUCAGGGCAAGCAGCCCAAGGAUAAAGAGAAAGAGCCGGACAGAGUUGAGGACAGGGAUGAUAGUGACGAUGGAUACCCCCAGGUCAAUUCCACCCUGAUGAUUUUUGCCGAUGUCGAAAGCAAAAGUCGACUGAAAGUCAUUAACCGGGAAGUGAACAUGGUUGCCCCUGCAACUCCCAGUUACCUAAAGUGGUCCCAGACGGCCAUCACGUUCGACCAAUCCGAUCAUCCAACCCACAUUGCCACCCCUGGGAGGCAAGCUUUGGUGGUCGACCCAGUUGUCGAAGGCACUCGACUGACCAAAGUCCUAAUGGACGGUGGCAGUGGCCUGAACAUACUGUACGCGGAAACCUUGAAAGGAAUGGGCAUUCCGAUGUCCAGACUCAGCGCCAGUAACAUGAGUUUCCACGGAGUCAUUCCUGGGAAGAAAGCCGAGUCACUCGGCCAAAUUGCUCUUGACGUGGUUUUCGGUGAUUCAAAGAAUUACCGCAAAGAAAAGUUAACGUUUGAAGUCGUGGACUUCCAGAGUGCUUACCACGCCAUCUUGGGCAGACCGGCUUAUGCACGCUUCAUGGCUCGACCAUGCUACGUGUAUCUUAAAUUAAAGAUGCCUUGUCCCAAAGGUGUGAUCAUUGUUACAGGCAACCGGAAGAAGGCGGAGGAAUGUUUCCGGAAGGGAUCAAAGAUCGCCGACGCUCAGAUGGCAGUAGUCGAGCUGAAAGAGUACCAGAAGACUAUCGACCCGAGUGAAUUGCUGCGGGCUAAGAAGCCUGCCUUCGAGUCAGCUUUUCAGUCGGCCGGCGAAACGAAGACGGUCCACAUUCACCCGACCGACCCCGACGCAGCUCCGACUCACAUCUCAACAACUCUCGACUCCAAAUAGGAAGAAGCGCUCAUCCAGCUCCUCCGUGAGAACUGGGACAUCUUCGCAUGGAAACCCUCUGACAUGCCCGGAGUUCCCAGGGGGCUGGCUGAGCACCGCCUACGAGUCGACUCAAAGUUCAAACCCGUGAAGGAACAUCUGCGACGGUCCGCCGUCCAGAAAAAACAAGCUAUCGGCGAAGAGGUGGCUCGGCUCUUAGCAGCUGAGUUCUUUCGAGAGAUCUACCACUCCGAGUGGCUCGCCAAUGUUGUCAUGGUCCCCAAGAAGGACAAGUCACUCCGCAUGUGCAUUGAUUUCAAGCAUAUCAAUCGGGCCUGCCCGAAAGAUCAUUUUCCUCUUCCUCGCAUCGACCAAAUUGUCGACUCAACUGCGGGAUGUGAGAGAUUGUCUUUUCUAGAUGCCUAUUCCGGGUACCAUCAGAUCCGUCUGUAUGGACCCGACGAAAUCAAAACAGCUUUCAUCACUCCAUUCGGAUGCUUCUGUUACGUCACCAUGCCGUUCGGCCUCAAGAACACCGGAGCCACAUUCAUGAGAAUGAUCCAGAAGUGUUUACUCACUCAAAUCAGUCGGAAUGUGGAGGCGUACAUGGACGAUAUCGUAGUCAAGUCUCGGAAAGGUUCCGACCUACGGGCUGACCUUACUGAAACCUUCGCCAACCUCAGGAGGUACGAUAUCAAGCUCAAUCCGUCAAAAUGCACUUUCGGAGUUCCAGGUGGCAAGCUACUCGGUUUUCUCGUUUCCGAACGGGGAAUCGACGCCAAUCCUGAAAAAAUUGGAACCAUACUCCGGAUGAAGCGUCCUGUACGUGUGCAUGAUGUCCAAAAACUUACAGGUUGCUUGGCCGCCUUAAGUCGAUUCAUCUCUCGACUCGGUGAAAAAGCGUUGCCUCUUUACCGACUGAUGAAAAAGUCCGACAAGUUCGAAUGGACUCCAGAAGCUGAUGCAGCGUUUGUGGAGCUCAAAGCUCUGCUCUCCACCCAGCCGGUGCUAGCUGCUCCAAUCAGCAAAGAGCCUCUGCUGCUUUAUAUUGCAGCCACGGGACAAGUUGUCAGUACAGUACUUACGGUCGAGAGAGAAGAGGAAGGGAAGGCCUUCAAAGUUCAACGCCCUGUUUAUUAUGUGUCUGAAGUUUUGACCCCUUCAAAACAAAGAUACCCCCACUACCAGAAGCUUGUAUAUGGGAUUUACAUGACCACGAAGAAAGUUGCACACUAUUUCUCUGACCACUCCAUUACAGUCGUCAGCGACGCUCCAUUAUCGGAGAUCCUGCAUAACAGAGAUGCAACUGGUCGAGUGGCCAAAUGGGCGAUUGAACUCCUUCCUUUGGACAUCAAGUUUGAAGCAAAGAAAGCCAUCAAGUCUCAAGCAAUCGCUGAUUUUAUCGCCGAGUGGAUUGAACAGCAACUUCCGACUCAAGUUCACUCGAAACACUGGACUAUGUUCUUCGAUGGAUCCAAGAUGCUGAAUGGUUCGGGCGCGGGAGUAGUUCUGGUCUCCCCCCGAGGAGACAAGCUCAGAUACGUUCUCCAGAUUCACUUCGAUUCCUCCAAUAACGAAGCAGAAUAUGAAGCACUUUUGUAUGGGUUGCGCAUGGCCAUUUCACUCGGCGUCCGUCGCCUCAUGGUCUAUGGCGACUCAGAUCUGGUGGUUAAUCAAGUGAUGAAGGAAUGGGAUGUCAGGAGACCGGCAAUGACUGGAUACUACAAUGCAGUACGGAAGCUAGAGAAGAAGUUCGAGGGGUUGGAACUCCACCACAUCCCUCGACUGAAAAACCAGGCAGCCGACGACUUGGCAAAGAUAGGCUCCAAGAGAGAAGCCGUUCCAAGCAACGUGUUCUUGGAACACAUUCACUCGCCGUCAGUACAAGAAGAUCCUUUCACAGAAGAAGCCCCGCAGCCAAAAAGUGCCGCGGACCCGACUGAAGUUGAAGUGCCUGCAGUGGUCGACCUGAUCAUGGAAGUCUUGGCAAUCACCCCCGACUGGACGAUACCAUACAUUGCAUAUAUCCUAAGGAAAGAACUCUCGGAGGACAAGGAGGAGGCUCGACAGAUCGUCCGUCGAUCUAAGGCCUUCACAGUCAUAAGGGGACAGCUGUACAGAGAAAGUGCGUCCGGAGUCGGCCAGAAAUGCAUAACGCCAGAAGAAGGUCAAAUAAUCCUCAACGAUAUCCACUCGGGAACUUGCGGUCACCAUGCGUCCUCUCGGACCAUUGUGGCUAAAGCAUACCGAGCUGGAUUUUAUUGGCCAAGGGCAAAUGAGAUGGCAAAAGAGAUAGUCGACAGGUGCGAGGGCUACCAGUUCUACUCCAACAUCUCACACAAGCCCGCGUCAGCCCUGAAAACCAUUCCGCUCGUCUGGCCCUUUGCCGUCUGGGGAUUGGACAUGGUUGGCCCCUUGAGAACGGGCAGGAGUGGGUUCACUCACGUGCUUGUGGCAGUCAACAAGUUUACCAAAUGGAUCGAAGCUAAGCCCAUAAAGAGCCUUGACGCUAGCACCGCUAUCAGUUUCGUCAGAGGGUUGACAUUCAGAUAUGGAGUCCCACACAGCAUCAUCACUGAUAACGGGUCAAACUUUGAUUCGGACGAUUUCAGGGCAUUUUGCGCUUCUCAAGGCACACGAGUCGACUACGCCUCAGUCGCUCAUCCCCAGUCGAAUGGACAGGCUGAGAGAGCAAAUGGUCUGAUUCUCAAAGGGCUAAAACCUCGGCUGAUGCGCGAUCUCAAGCACGCGGCAGGCGCUUGGGUCGACGAGCUUCCGUCAGUACUGUGGGGAUUAAGGACUACCCCUAACCGGUCGACUGGAAGGACCCCGUUCUUUCUGGUUUAUGGAGCCGAAGCUGUCCUGCCAAGCGAUCUCCUUCACAAUGCGCCUCGAGUUGAACUUUACACCGAAGAUGAAGCAGAGCAGGCCCGGCAAGACGCAGUCGACCUCUUGGAGGAAGAAAGGGAGAUGGCAAUGAUCAGAUCGACCAUUUACCAGCAGGACUUGCGUCGGUUCCACGCCCGGAAUGUGAAGAGUCGAGCCUUUCAAGAAGGAGAUUUGGUCCUCCGAGUGGAUCAACAGAAACCUCACAAGCUCGCUCCCACUUGGGAAGGCCCCUUCAUCAUCACCAGAGUCCUCCACAAUGGAGCAUACCAUCUUUACAAUGUUGAUCGACAAACCGACGAACCUCGAGCUUGGAACGCGGAGCUUCUCCGCCCCUUUUACACUUGAGUCCGCUCUUAUACCAGAUGUAAUAAGAAAAACUCCUAAGGUUCAUUUUUAUCAGAAAUAAGAGUGUUCCAAUAAUUGUUGUCACUGUUGUAUGUGUCCGAAAUCCCCCAGUGGGUGACUUAGUUGCAAAUCCGGUUCGCCUAAGUUUGAAAAUUCCUACCGAGUGGAGAGCAACCCUCCCACUCGGGGGGCUUAGCUGCAGUUCAGCACUCGCCUAAGUUCUCCACGAGGAGACUUAGCUGCAGUCAGACACUCGCCUAAGUUUGAAAAAUCCUACCGAGUGGAGAGUAACCCUCCCACUCGGGGGCUUAGCUGCAGUUCAGCACUCGCCUAAGUUCCCCACGAGGAGACUUAGCUGCAGUCAGACACUCGCCUAAGUUUGAAAAAUCCUACCGAGUGGAGAGCAACCCUCCCACUCGGGGGCUUAGCUGCAGUUCAGCACUCGCCUAAGUUCUCCACGAGGAGACUUAGCUGCAGUCAGACACUCGCCUAAGUUUGAAAAAUCNNNNNNNNNNNNNNNNNNNNNNNNNNNNNNNNNNNNNNNNNNNNNNNNNNNNNNNNNNNNNNNNNNNNNNNNNNNNNNNNNNNNNNNNNNNNNNNNNNNNNNNNNNNNNNNNNNNNNNNNNNNNNNNNNNNNNNNNNNNNNNNNNNNNNNNNNNNNNNNNNNNNNNNNNNNNNNNNNNNNNNNNNNNNNNNNNNNNNNNNNNNNNNNNNNNNNNNNNNNNNNNNNNNNNNNNNNNNNNNNNNNNNNNNNNNNNNNNNNNNNNNNNNNNNNNNNNNNNNNNNNNNNNNNNNNNNNNNNNNNNNNNNNNNNNNNNNNNNNNNNNNNNNNNNNNNNNNNNNNNNNNNNNNNNNNNNNNNNNNNNNNNNNNNNNNNNNNNNNNNNNNNNNNNNNNNNNNNNNNNNNNNNNNNNNNNNNNNNNNNNNNNNNNNNNNNNNNNNNNNNNNNNNNNNNNNNNNNNNNNNNNNNNNNNNNNNNNNNNNNNNNNNNNNNNNNNNNNNNNNNNNNNNNNNNNNNNNNNNNNNNNNNNNNNNNNNNNNNNNNNNNNNNNNNNNNNNNNNNNNNNNNNNNNNNNNNNGUGGAGAGCAACCCUCCCACUCGGGGGCUUAGCUGCAGUUCAGCGCUCGCCUACGUUCUCCACGAAGAGACUUAGCUGCAGUCAGACACUCGCCUAAGUUUGAAAAAUCCUACCGAGUGGAGAGCAACCCUCCCAUUCGGGGGCUUAGCUGCAGUUCAGCACUCGCCUAAGUUCUCCACGAAGAGGCUUAGCUGCAGUCAGACACUCGCCUAAGUUUGAAAAUUCCUACCGAGUGGAGAGCUCCGCCACAAAUACAAUGUAUAACAACGGAGUAUGGGUCGACUACCACCUUCUCCCAAGAGCUCCACCACAAAUACAAUGUACAACAACGGAGUGUGGGCCGACUGCCACCUUCUCCCGAGAGCUCCGCCACAAAUACAAUGUAUGACAACGGAGCAUGGGUCGACCGCCACCUUCUCCCGAGGGCUCCGCCACAAAUGCAAUAUACAACGACAGGGUGGGGGCCGGCCAUCAAGCCUCUCACGACAGUUCCAGAUCACAGAGACAUUCAGCAAAAAUAAAGUUCGGAUAAAGCUUAAAAGGCCCCGGGCCCCGAAUCAAAGUACUCGAGCCCUCGGCUCAGCAGAGUUUAAACAACUACAAAUCCACUCGGCAUCCCGAGGCUAAUUUAAGGAAAGGCAUGAAAAGUUUUCUCACUCCUCAAGGGGAGGGCUGGCAGGAGCGACGAACUCAUCCAAGUCGAUCCCGUCCGCAAUGCGAGUAGCUGCAGCGAUGAAGGUCUCCAUGAAGUCCUGGAAGCUAUGCCUCUUGGUAUUGGCGACUUGGAUGGCGGCCAGCUUUUCUUCUCGCGCCUCCUUGCAAUGAACACGGACUAAGGAUAGAGCCACGUCAGCACCGCACCGGGCAGAGGACUUCUUCCACUCCUGCACUCGAUCGGGGAUUUUGUCAAGUCGAGCCAUAAGAGACUCGAGAUCGUUCUGGAGCGCAGAUUCUGGCCAAAGUGUCGAGUCGAUCCGCGACACGGCAACCUUCAGUCGAGCCAGGUAAUCCAUGGCGCCGUCGAUUCGAGAUUCCAGUCAGAGCAAGUUCAUGGCAGUGUCGUCUUUCACCGGGGAAUUGAUUGGGUCAAGACCCGUUUCGAUCCGCCCGGUCUCCUCUUCGAAGUUCUGACAGAAUUCUGCACACAAGACCUAAGGAUAAGCCAACGAACACAGGAUUGAGUCGACACAAAAAGUACAAAAUAGUCAAAAUUAGAGGAGCACCUUCAAGUUUGGUGUACAGCCUCUUGGCGAGGCUCCUCAGGAAGCUCUCCAGGUCGUCCCUCCUACGGGCGACGCCUUCCAUCUCCUCACCCAAGAGGAGGUUCUUCUUCUUCCAACUGGCAGCCAGCUUGUUGGCAUCAGUCAGAGCGGCCUGCAACCUAACGUUCUCUUGCUCCAAUUGGCCGACCGAAGCCAGCUUCUGUUCGGCCAGAACCAUCUUGUCGUCAGCCGCCUUACGGGCGACAGCCAGGUCCUGAUCCUUCCUCGCCAACGCUCUGUCCAAUUCACCUACAAAGAAACGGCGACGGAAUCAGAAACAGCAAAGGAAUGCCCGAGCCUGAAAACAGAACCAGUCGACAAAGUUGCUUUACCUGCGGCGCCCUCCCUGACCUUCUGCAACUCCGUCCUGGCCAGCUCUAAAUCAAGGUCCAGCUGAAUCUUCUGCUUCUCCAAUUCAGCAUAACGAGCGACAAGUUCACAGGAUCUCUGCAAAAGAAAAAACCAGCCGACAGACAUUUGAGAUAAGUUGCUCCCGAGUAACUAAGGAACAAUGGUGACGUUCCUAAGACCACAGCCGAAUAAAAAAAUAUUCGACCGUAGUCUCGGGGACUACACCCAGUGGGUGCACUCAGCGUGCCCCCACUGGUUUGACCAAAAAAACGACUGCAUACAGUCGACAGGCCACGGACCGCUCGACCUGGCAGGGCAGACCGAGUGAAGAAGUUCAGAUUCACAACCACAAUAUACAGACUACAGUCGACUGCCAGCAGUCCACCGUAGUCUCGGGGACUACACCCAGUGGGUGCACUCAGCGUGCCCCCACUGGUUCGACCAAAGAGCAAACACACCCAGUGGGUGUAUAGAUACAGAAACAAAGAUCUUCAAAAAAAAGGAAGAGAAAGAGAGAGAAAGACUCUUCAAACAAACAAACAUCAAAUCAACUGACCUGGACGUUACUCUGAAGCGCCGAACUUGCGUCGUAAGCCGCCUGGCUGGCCUCCCGAGCCCUCUUCACCUGCUCCAUCAUGACCCCUGCCUGGCGUAUGGCCUCCUUCGCAGCGGCCACUUCAUCUUCAGGGGCAGAGUACGCGACAAAGAGUGAAGUCGGAUCGGCAGUCGACGCCGAGGGCGGCGCACUCGAUGGAGGAUUGGCAGUCGGAUCGGCAGCCGACGCCGAAGGCUGCGCACUCGACGGAGGAUUGGCAGUCGGAUCGGCAGCCGACGCUGAAGGCUGCGCACUCGACAGGGGAUUGGCGAAGGACACAGAGGCCCGAGGGGCAUCGCCGCCGUCUCGUGCCACGGCCUCAGGCGCCAGAGCAGGCUGGGGAGCCUUGUCAGUCGGCGGCCUCCUGGUCCUCCCUAUCCUCAGCGGCUCAUUGUCAUCAUCAUCCGGGAGGUCGAUAACUUGAGGAGGAGCUGCAGGAAGAACUUUCAAUCGACAAGAAUCGCAAGAAACAACCAAGUCAACUCAAAAGCAAAACGUCGAUGAUCGUACCAGGGUUGGAGGUUGCAGCGUCCCCCAUCUCUUGGUCGUCGUCCUUGGCUGAGACCUCAGAGGUAGCAGCACUGCAAAUUUCGAAGAAUCAACCAGUUCAGCAUAAUGAGUCGACUCAGGAUCUGUCCUCCAAUCGACGAAAGAAGUCAAAGCUUGUUACCCAAAGAUGACAGGGACAGUUAUCUUCAUCUUCGGCAGAGUUUUGGGCGGCUUAGACUGCGUCGUGUGCGGUUGCUUAAGAACCUUCCCAGUCGGUGUCGGAGAGGAGGUCCGAGGGCGUUUCGACGAUGGCCCGACAAAGGCAGUCGCCUGACCACAUCCCUGCGCCGGGUCGUGCAUGAGCUUGGAUCGUCUCUCUAGGCGGGGAGGUUCGGCUUCUCCCUCCUCCUCCUCGCUGGAGAAGAUGUCGUCGCCUUCCUCUUCUUCGCCGUCUGACUCCCACUCGCCCUGGUCGUCGCCGCUCUCGCCUCCGCUUCCCUCACCUUCCUCAGUCGACCCCUGCGCCCCGUUGGGCGUCGAAUACAUCUCAGUGGUCGCCUAAAAGACAGCAGGCAGACUGGAAAGUCAGUCGACUCGCUCAAAAGAAGACCAGUGCAGAAAGCAAGAUUUCAGUCGAAAAUGCAAAUACACACCUGGUCGACCUCAUAAGAGUUGUCGAGCGGAACGACCCUCCUGGCUCCUCGGGGGUUGUCUUUGUUCCCUGUAAUGCUUGACAGCCACCCCUCCAGCAUCUCGUCGGUGACCUCCUCUGGGUGGACCCGAGUGGAGUCCUCAAGGCCGGAGUACAACCACAUCGGGUGAUCCCGAGCCUGGAGGGGUUGGAUUCUCCUCCUGAGGAAGACUUCGAGCAGGUCCAUCCCCGUCACGCCCUCACGGACAAGUUCGACCACUCGACGCGCCAGUAUCUUGACAUGGGCCUUUUCUUCGGGCGUCACCUUCAGAGAAGCCGGCUUUUCAGCUCGGUCGAGGGUGAAGGGUGGGAGUCCGGUCGACUGCCCCGGGGUCACUUGAUCCUGGCAGUAGAACCAAGUCGCCUGCCACCCUCGGACUGACUCCGGGAAAGUGAUGGAGGGAAAACAACUUUUCCCCCUUGUCUGGAUCGCCAAGCCUCCGCACAACUGGAUCACCCGUGUCUUCUCGUCACUCGACUUAGCCUUCUUCACCGACUGAGAGCGAACGGUGAAGAUAUGCUUGAAAAGUCCCCAGUGCGGGCGGCACCCCAGAAACGCCUCGCACAUAGAAAUGAAAGCGGCGAGAUAGACUAUGGAGUUCGGAGUGAAGUGGUGGAGCUGCGCCCCGAAGAAAUUCAAGAAAUUGCGAAAAAAGGGUGGGGCGGCAAGGAGAAACCACGAUCAAUGUGAGUCGCCAGGAGGACGCGCUCACCGUCACGUGGCUGGGGCUCGAUUUCUCUCCCCGGAAGACGCGCCGCCUUGUGGAGGAUGACUCCUCCCUCGACCAUAUCAUCGAGGUCCUCCUGACGAAGCACCGUGGGCAUCCAGUCGCCCUGGAUCCACCCCUUGGGCAGGGUCGUCCGAGAAGAAGAGCCCCCGCGCGCAGACUUCUUCCCCUUCCCGGCCGCCGCCGCCUUCUUCGCACGCUCCAGGGCAGUCGUCUUGCUCUUCACCAUCGCCGCCGGCAAGGUCUCGGGCUGGUUUUCUAUGGUGACAGGGCGAGAGCGAAGGAAGCGGAGGGGGCGACGGAGAGACAGAGAGAGGGGCAGAAGAGAUGAGCACGCGUACUGAAGAAGGACCCCGGGCCAGCUAUUUAUAAGGGGCCACUCCCGAGUGGCUGACAGGUAGGCCCGAGCUAUCCAGUCAAAUCCCUUGGCAGGCGCGCGCGCUGUACGUGGCGAAAAAGGUGGCGCGGGGAUCGAGGAGCCCUCGCACUGUCGCUCCCGAUUACUGCGGCCGCCCCCGCUCCGCGCGCUUCCCAAAAAAUCCGAACCCCGCGAUCCCCGCCAGCUGCAGAACAACUUGGCGAAACGGCAAUCCCGCGCACGCCAACGCUCGAUGCCUCGCAAGUGAAGAAAUCCAUUCGACGAAAGACUUGGAACGGAUCAAGUCGACUGAAAAAGGUUAAUGGCGUCAUCCGUGACAGUCGACCCAGAACGAAGCACCCAUAAUAACCCGAGGGGUCGGAUGAAAAGGUCCCUAACCUCUUUUUCCACUCCAGCCUCGAUCCGUUCGGGGGCUAAUGAUGUAGUCAUAUACCUACGGUAGGGACACGGACCCGUCCUAAAGAGCCCUAUCGUAGGACGUCCUUAAAGGAAGUCACCUUUCAGACAACUUGAAGAUAUCCCACUCGACGGGGCCAAGGCACUCGACUAAGAAGCUGUCACUCGACCAACAAGCCAACCACUCGACCGCCAGGGGAUCUCAAAUCGCUCCUAGGCAAACGGUCAGCUAUUAAGUAGUCUUUAUGAUCAUCAUGACGCUUUAUUAGGGACGUUAUCAGUAACGCCCACCUUAAAUAUACCUUAAACCCUGCAUUACUGAGGGCAAGAGAGGGCUGGCGAACUCUAUAUAAGCCACCCCCUCCUCAGUAUGAAGGGUUCGCACCCCUGUAAUCUUACUCACGCAUAAUCCAAUCGACCGCCUCCGGGCACCGAGACGUAGGGCUGUUACUUCCUCAGAGAAGGGCCCGAACUCGUAAACCUUGCGUGCUUACAACUUCCCAAUAGCUAAGGCCUAGCCUCUUCAUACAUACCCCCCUACCUCACUGUCAGACUUAGAACCACGAUAGGAGCCAACAUGGGUAUCCAGAUCCUGCUGUUGGUUAUUGACCGGAGAGUCGUCUCGGUCAUGUCUACAUGUCUCCCGAACCCGUAGGGUCUACACACUUAAGGUUCGGUGACGCUAGGGUUGUGAAGAUAUGUAUAUGCAGUAACCUGAAUGUUGUUCGGAGUCCCGGAUGAGAUCCCGGACGUCACGAGGAGUUCCGGAAUGGUCCGGAGGCAAAGAAUUAUAUAUAGGAAGUGCUGUUUCGGCCAUCGGGACAAGUUUCGGGGUUACCGGUAUUGUACCGGGACCACCGGAAGGGUCCCGGGGGUCCACCGGGUGGGGCCACCUAUCCCGGAGGGCCCCAUGGGCUGAAGUGGGAAGGGACCCAGCCCAUAGUGGGCUGGGGCGCCACCCCCUAAGGGCCCAUGCGCCUAGGGUUUAGGGGAAAUCCUAAAGGGGGGCGCCCCCUUGCUUGGGGGGCAAGCCCCCCACCCCUUGGCCGCCCCCCCCCCUAGGAGAUCCAUCUCCUAGGGCCAGCGCCCCCCCUAGGCACCCCUAUAUAUAGUGGGGGAGAGGAGGGACUUGAGGCUACGGCUUUUGGUGCAUCCCUCUCUCCCUGUUGCGUCUCUCUCUCUCUCUCUUGUAGUAUAGGCGAAGCCCUGCUACUGUGACGCCCUGCAUACACCACCACGCCGUCGUGCCACUGGAUCAUCAUCAACCUCUCCUCCCCCCUUGCUGGAUCAAGAAGGAGGAGACGUCUCCCGUCCCGUACGUGUGUUGAACGCGGAGGUGCCGUCCGUUCGGCACUCGGUCAUCGGUGAUUUGGAUCACGUCGUGUUCGACUACAUCAUCCCCGUUCUUUGAACGCUUCCUCACGCGAUCUACAAAGGUAUGUAGAUGCAUCUGAUGACUCGUUGCUAGAUGAACUCCUAGAUGGAUCUUGGUGAAACGAGUAGGAAAUUUUUUGUUUUCUGCAACGUUCCCCAACAGGGUCCGCACGCUUAACGUUACGAUGACAGUUAUUAUGAGUUUAUGCAUUUUGAUGUACCGAAGGUUGUUCGGAGUCCCGGAUGUGAUCACGGACAUGACGAGGAGUCUCGAAAUGGUCGAGACAUAAAGAUUGAUAUAUUGGAAGCCUAUAUUUGGAUAUCGGAAGUGUUCCGGGUGAAAUCGGGAUUUUACCGGAUUACCGGGAGGUUACCGGAACCCCCCGGGAGCCAUAUGGGCCUUCAUGGGCCUUAGUGGAAAGGAGAAAAGGGGCAGCCCAUAGGUGGCCGCGCCCCCCUUCCCUUAGUCCUAUUAGGACUAGGAGAAGGGGCCGGCCCCCCUCUCUCUCUUUCCCCCUUGGGAAUCCUAGUUGGAAUAGGAUUGAGGGGGGGGGGGGUCCUACUCCCGGUAGGAGUAGGACUCCUCCUGCGCCCUCUCCCUGGCCGGCGCACCCCUCCCCCUUGGAUCCUUUAUAUACGGGGGCAGGGGGCACCUCUAGACACACAAGUUGAUCAUUGAGAUCGUUCCUUAGCCAUGUGCGGUGCCCCCUGCCACCAUAUUCCACCUCGAUCAUAUCGUUGUAGUGCUUAGGCGAAGCCCUGCGUCGGUAGUACAUCAAGAUCGUCACCACGCCGUCGUGCUGACGGAACUCUUCCUCGAUGCUUUGCUGGAUCGGAGCCCGAGGAUCAUCAUCGAGCUGAAUGUGUGCUAAGAACUCGGAGGUGCCGGAGUAACGGUGCUUCGAUCGGUCGGAUCGGGAAGACGUACGACUACUUCCUCUAUGUUGUGUGAUCGCUUCCGCAGUCGGUCUGCGUUGGUAUGUAGACAACACUCUCCCCUCUUGUUGCUAUGCAUCACCAUGAUCUUGCGUGUGCGUAGGAAUUUUUUUGAAAUUGCUACGUUCCCCAACACGGGUUUGGGUUCAACCUUGGGUUUCUUCACUAGAGCAGCAUCUGAAUUGCCGUUUCAUGAAGUAUCCCUUCUUGCCCUUGCCCUUCUUGAAACUAGUGGUUUCACCAACCAUCAACAAUUGAUGCUCCUUCUUGAUUUCUACUUUUGUGGUGUCAAACAUCGCGAAUAUCUCAAGGAUCAUCAUAUAUGUCCCUGAUAUAUUAUAGUUCAUCACGACGCUCUAGCAGCUUGGUGGCAAUGACUUCGGAGAAACAUCACUAUCUCAUCUGGAAGAUUAACUCCCACUCGAUUCAAAUGAUUGUUGUACUCAGACAAUCUGAGCACAAGCUCAACAAUUGAACUUUUCUCCCUAGUUUGUAGGCUAAGAAAAUCGUCAGAGGUCUUAUACCUCUUGACGUGGGCACGAGCCUGAAAUCCCAAUUUCAGCCCUCGAAACAUCUCAUAUGUUUCGCGAUGUUUCAAAACGUCUUUGGUGCCUCAACUCUAAACCGUUUAACUGAACUAUCACGUAGUUAUCAAAAUGUGUAUGUCAGAUGUUCGCAACAUCCAUAGACGACGUUUGAGGUUCAGCACACUGAGCGGUGCAUUAAGGACAUAAGCCUUCUAUGAAGCAAUGAGGACAAUCCUCAAUUUACGGACCUAGUCCGCAUAAUUGCUACUAUCAACUUUCAACUAAAUUUUCUCUAGGAACAUAACUAAACAGUAGAACUAAAGCGCGAGCUACGACAUAAUUUGCAAAGACCUUUUGACUAUGUUCAGGAUAAUUAAGUUCAUCUUAUGAACUCCCACUCAGAUAGACAUCCCUCUAGUCAUCUAAGUGAUUACAUGAUCCGAGUCAACUAGGCCGUGUCCGAUCAUCACGUGAGACGGACUAGUCAACGUCGGUGAACAUCUUCAUGUUGAUCGUAUCUUCUAUACGACUCAUGCUCGAGCUUUCGGUCUUCUGUGUUCCGAGGCCAUGUCUGUACAUGCUAGGCUCGUCAAGUCAACCUAAGUGUUCGCAUGUGUAAAUCUGUCUUACACCCGUUGUAUGUGAACGUUGGAAUCUAUCACACCCGAUCAUCACGUGGUGCUUAGAAACGAACGAACUGUCGCAACGGUGCACAGUUAGGGGGAACACUUUCUUGAAAUUUUAAUGAGGGAUCAUCUUAUUUACUACCGUCGUUCUAAGCAAAUAAGAUGUAUAAACAUGAUAAACAUCACAUGCAAUCAAAUAGUGACAUGAUAUGGCCAAUAUCAUAUUGCUCCUUUUGAUCUCCAUCUUCGGGGCUCUAUGAUCAUCUUGUCACCGGCAUGACACCAUGAUCUCCAUCAUCGUGUCUUCAUGAAGUUGUCUCGCCAACGAUUACUUCUACUACUACAGCUAACGGUUAGCAAUAAAGUAAAGUAAUUACAUGGCGUUGUUCAAUGACACGCAGGUCAUAAAUAAAUUAAGACAACUCCUAUGGCUCCUGCCGGUUGUCAUACUCAUCGACAUGCAAGUCGUGAUUCCUAUUACAAGAACAUGAUCAAUCUCAUACAUCACAUAUAUCAUUCAUCACAUCCUUUUGGCCAUAUCACAUCACAUGGCAUACCCUGCAAAAACAAGUUAGACGUCCUCUAAUUGUUGUUUGCAUGUUUUACAUGGCUGCUAUGGGUUUCUAGCAAGAACGUUUCUUACCUACGCAAAACCACAACGUGAUAUGUCAAUUGCUAUUUACCCUUCAUAAGGACCCUUUUCAUCGAAUCCAUUCCGACCAAAGUGGGAGAGACAGACACCCACCAGCCACCUUAUGCAACUAGUGCAUGUCAGUCGGUGGAACCAGUCUCACGUAAGCGUACGUGUAAGGUUGGUCCGGGCCGCUUCAUCCCACGAUGCCGCCGAAUCAAGAUAAGACUAGUAACGGCAAGCAUAUUGAACAAAAUCAACGCCCACAACUACUUUGUGUUCUACUCGUGCAUAGAAUCUAUGCAAUAGACCUAGCUCAUGAUGCCACUGUUGGGGAACGUAGCAGAAAUUCAAAAUUUUCCUACGUGUCACCAAGAUCUAUCUAUGGAGAGACCAGCAACGAGGGGAAGAAGAGUGCAUCUACAUACCCUUGUAGAUCGCUAAGCGGAAGCGUUCAAGAGAACGGGGUUGAUGGAGUCGUACUCGUCGUGAUCCAAAUCACCGAUGAUCCUAGUGCCGAACGGACGGCACCUCCGCGUUCAACACACGUACAGCCCGGUGACGUCUCCCACGCCUUGAUCCAGCAAGGAGAGAGGGAGAGGUUGAGGAAGACUCCAUCCAGCAGCAGCACAACGGCGUGGUGGUGGUGGAGGAGCGUGGCAAUCCUGCAGGGCUUCGCCAAGCACCACGGGAUAUGAGGAGGAAGAGAGGGAGGGCUGCACCAACAGGGAGAGAUCAAAUCGCGUGUAUUGGGAAGCCCCUAGGCCAAGUAUAUAUAGGGGAAGGGGAGGGGCUGCGCCCCCUUUAGGGUUUCCACCCCUAGGGGUGGCGGCCAGCCUAGAUCCCAUCUAAGGGAGGCGGCCAAGGGGGAGGGGGAGAGGGAGGCGCACCAGGAUGGGCCUUAGGGCCCAUCUGCCCUAGGGUUUGCCCCCUUCUCCUCUCCCUUGCGCCUUGGGCCCUUGUGGGGGGGGGCGCACCAGCCCACUUGGGGCUGGUCCCCUUAGUGUGGCCCAUGAAGCCCUCCAGGGCUGGUGGCCCCACUUGGUGGACCCCCGGGACCCUCCCGGUGGUCCCGGUACGUUACCGAUAAACCCCGAAACUUUUUCGGUGACCAAAACAGGACUUCCCAUAUAUAAAUCUUUACCUCCGGACCAUUCUGGGACUCCUCAUGACGUCUGGGAUCUCAUCUGGGACUCUGAACAACAUUCGGUAACCACAUACAAACUUCCUUUAUAACCCUAGCGUCAUCGAACCUUAAGUGUGUAGACCCUACGGGUUCGGGAACCAUGCAGACAUGACCGAGACGUUCUCCGGUCAAUAACCAACAGCGGGAUCUGGAUACCCAUGUUGGCUCCCACAUGUUCCACGAUGAUCUCAUCGGAUGAACCACGAUGUCAAGGACUUAAUCAAUCCCGUAUACAAUUCCCUUUGUCUAGCGGUACGAUACUUGCCCGAGAUUCGAUCGUCGGUAUCCCGAUACCUUGUUCAAUCUCGUUACCGGCAAGUCUCUUUACUCGUUCCGUAACACAUCAUCCCGUGAUCAACUCCUUGAUCACAUUGUGCACAUUAUGAUGAUGUCCUACCGAGUGGGCCCACAGACACAUCUCCGUCACACGGAGUGACAAAUCCCAGUCUCGAUUCGUGCCAACCCAACAGACACUUUCGGAGAUACCCGUAGUGUACCUUUAUAGCCACCCAGUUACGUUGUGACGUUUGGCACACCCAAAGCACUCCUACGGUAUCCGGGAGUUGCACAAUCUCAUGGUCUAAGGAAAUGAUACUUGACAUUAGAAAAGCUUUAGCAUACGAACUACACGAUCUAGUGCUAUGCUUAGGAUUGGGUCUUGUCCAUCACAUCAUUCUCCUAAUGAUGUGAUCCCGUUAUCAACGACAUCCAAUGUCCAUGGUCAGGAAACCGUAACCAUCUAUUGAUCAACGAGCUAGUCAACUAGAGGCUUACUAGGGACAUGGUGUUGUCUAUGUAUCCACACAUGUAUUUGAGUUUCCUAUCAAUACAAUUAUAGCAUGGAUAAUAAACGAUUAUCAUGAACAAGGAAAUAUAAUAAUAACUUAUUUAUUAUUGCCUCUAGGGCAUAUUUCCAACAGUGGGAGCCAACAUGGGUAUCCAGAUCCCGCUGUUGGUUAUUGACCAGAGAGUCGUCUCGAUCAUGUCUGCUUGUCUCCCGAACCCGUAGGGUCUACACACUUAAGGUUCGGUGACGCUAGGGUUGUAUAGAUAUGAGUAUGCAGUAAUCCGAAAGUUGUUCGGAGUCCCGGAUGAGAUCCUGGAUGUCACGAGGAGUUCCGGAAUGGUCCGGAUGUGAAGAAUUAUAUAUAGGAAGUGUAGUUUCAGCUAUCGAGAAAGUUUCGGGGUCACCGGUAUUGUACCGGGACCACCGGAUGAGUCCCGGGGGUCCACCGGGUGGGGCCACCCAUCUCGGAGGGCCCCAUGGGCUUAAGUGGGGAGGGGAACCAACCCAUAGUGGGCUGGUGCGCCCCCCCUUGGGCCCCCCACGCGCCUAGGGUUGGGAACCCUAGGGAAGGGGGCGCCUCCACUUGCCUUGGGGGCUACUCCACCCCUUGCCCCACCCUAGGAGAUCCCAUCUCCUAGGGCCGGCGCACCCCCUAGGGGGCCUAUAUAAAGAGGGUGAGGGAGGGCAGCCGCACCCCAAGCCUUGGCGCCUCCCUCUUCGCUACUACACCUCUCCCUCUCGCAGAAACUCGGCGAAGCCCUGCUGCGUUCACUGCUGCAUCCACCAUCACGCCGUCGUGCUGCUGGAUCUUCUUCAACCUCUCCUUCCCCCUUGCUGGAUCAAGAAGGAGGAGACGUCAUCCGCUCCGUAUGUGUGUUGAACGCGGAGGUGCCGUCCGUUCGGCACUUGGUCAUCGGUGAUUUGAAUCACGGCGAGUACGACUCCAUCAUCCCCGUUCUCUUGAAUGCUUCCGCUCGCGAUCUACAAGGGUAUGUAGAUGCACUCUCCUCUCGUUGCUAGAUGACUCCAUAGAUUGAUCUUGGUGAAACGCAGGAAUUUUUUUUGUUUUCUACAACGUUCCCCAACAGUUUUUUUGCUGGAACCAGAGCUGCAGCCGAAGACGCAGUCGUCAUCGUUUGUUACAACUGUAUCCAGCAGAAGUUACAUCCACUAUACAUAGAGCUGCAACCCUUUCAUACGGGAGUUGCAACCGCCGACGACAUAGGUUGACGAAUGCUACAACCGUACACUACAAAAGCUUCAUCCAUGUUUCCGAGAGGUGCAACCGGCGACACCAUCGUCGGGUGAAUGCUACAACAGUGUACUUAAGAAGCUUCAUCCAUGGCCGCCAUGAAUUUUUUGCUGGAACCGCUUCUCUUUUCUUUUUGCUGGAACCUUCUUUAGAUUUUGCUGCAAUUGAGAGGACCGUGGUGCCGUUGCCGCCGUGAUUUUUUGCUGCAUCAAUUUUUUUCCUACAACCACUCCCGAUUUUUGCUACUACCAGCUUUGUGUUUUUGCUGGAACCAGCGGCCAUUUUUGUUACUACCUUUUUUUGG
Molecule: long non-coding RNA, 97143 nt
Filed under: Triticum aestivum (bread wheat)
Lineage: Eukaryota; Viridiplantae; Streptophyta; Magnoliopsida; Poales; Poaceae
Description: long non-coding RNA (TAES_LNC010947)
Source: RNAcentral